This 123313-nucleotide long non-coding RNA is filed under the name Hordeum vulgare. RNAcentral describes it as "long non-coding RNA (HVUL_LNC006178)". Lineage: Eukaryota; Viridiplantae; Streptophyta; Magnoliopsida; Poales; Poaceae. The record is from RNAcentral.
GUGGUGACCGAGGGUAUCUAGUAGGAUCGCAUCUUACUUACGCAAACACCACAACGGAGAUAUAUGAGUUGCUAUUUAACCUCAUCCAAGGACCUCCUCGGUCAAAUCCGAUUCAACUAAAGUUGGAGAAACAGUCACUUGCCAGUCAUCUUUGAGCAAAGGGGGUUACUCGUAACGAUGAAACCAGUCUCUCGUAAGCGUACGAGUAAUGUCGGUCCAAGCCGCUUCAAUCCAACAAUACCGCGGAAUCAAGAAAAGACUAAGGAGGGCAGCAAAACGCACAUCACCGCCCACAAAACCUUUUGUGUUCUACUCGAGAAGACAUCUACGCAUGAACCUAGCUCAUGAUGCCACUGUUGGGGAACGUCGCAAGGGAAACAAAAAUUUUCCUACGCGCACGAAGACCUAUCAUGGUGAUGUCCAUCUACGAGAGGGGAUGAGUGAUCUACGUACCCUUGUAGAUCGUACAGCAGAAGCGUUAGUGAACGCGGUUGAUGUAGUGGAACGUCCUCACGUCCCUCGAUCCGCCCCGCGAACAAUCCCGCGAUCAGUCCCACGAUCUAGUACCGAACGGACGGCACCUCCGCGUUCAGCACACGUACAACUCGACGAUGAUCUCGGCCUUCUUGAUCCAGCAAGAGAGACGGAGAGGUAGAAGAGUUCUCCGGCAGCGUGACGGCGCUCCGGAGGUUGGUGAUGAUCUCGUCUCAGCAGGGCUCCGCCCGAGCUCCGCAGAAACGCGAUCUAGAGGAAAAACUAUGGAGGUAUGUGGUCGGGCUGCCGUGGAAAAGUCGUCUCAAAUCAGCCCUAAUAUCUCCGUAUAUAUAGGUGGGAGGGAGGGGAGGAGGCAGCCUCAAAACCUAAAGGUUUGGCCGAAAUUGGAGGUGGAGGAGUCCUACUCCAAUCCUACUUGGAGUAGGAUUCCACCUUCCCACUUGGAAACUCUUUCCACCUUGUGUUUUUUCCUUCUCAAACCUUAUGGGCCUUAGUGGGAACUUAUUCCAGCCCACUAGGGGCUGGUUUAUCUCUUCCAUAGCCCAUGAGACCCCUUGGGCGUGACACCCCUCGAUGGUCCCCCGGCACCCCUCCCGGCACUCCCGGUACACUACCCGAUGGAGCCCCCGGAAAACUUUUUUCCCGGGUAAAUUCGGCCAACCGGAAAAAAACCCUUUCCCGGGUAAAACCCAAAAAUUGGAAGGUCAAUCCGUAAUAUAUCAAUCUUCGUUUCCGGACCAUUCCCGGAAACCCUCGUGACGUCCGUGAUNNNNNNNNNNNNNNNNNNNNNNNNNNNNNNNNNNNNNNNNNNNNNNNNNNNNNNNNNNNNNNNNNNNNNNNNNNNNNNNNNNNNNNNNNNNNNNNNNNNNGACGGGCCGGACACGGCCGACUCCGACCUCGCACCUCCACCACCUCGCCUCCCAACCUACGUCCCGCCGGACCAACGCUCCCCCCGGUCCCAAGUCCCCUCCCCUCACCUCCACACACCACGCCUAACNCCACCGGUAACCGGCCACCCACUACGGACGACACUGCCCACCACCACCACCACUCCACUACAAGGCACCAGCGCAAGCCCGACGCAGAAAACCUAGGCUCGAGCCCGGCCCGGUCCGGUCGUCUAGGCCUACGAUCUCAGGCCCAGGUCCGGCCCAUCACUGCUAAUUUCUGUCGGGCUUCGGGCCUCGGGUCGGGCCCCUUCCUUAAAACGCAAAAACAGCAAGCCCAUGCCCUACCCGAAAUACUCUUCGGGCUCAAAAUUUAGGCCCGGGCAUGGGCAAGGUCGGGCCGGGCCGACCGGGCCGGGCUGCCCAUUGCUAGAUAUACGCCUCCCAUCCCUAGUGCCUCUUCGCCGACGUACUUGUCGGUGUUGGUCUUCGGUUGAACUGUUUGGGUCUAAUAUUUUUCGCCUUCGUUCGCGUGGUUACUCGUUUAAUCUUUCCGGUCUACGACUCUCUUCAUCGGUGGUAGUUACUGAUCUCGUGCGUUGUUCCUUAAAGUCUUUAGUAUGAUGGUUUUUUAACUGUCUACUAUAAUAAGGUUUUGUCUGACUUUAAUAAAAAAAGACGAUGACGAGAUGCAAUGGCAGACCUAAAUAUGACAGGUCCCAUGCCUUUUCACACCAUCUUCCAGUAUUAUAGCUAGAGUGCUACACUAUAGCUAUAGUCAACGAAGAAAAUGAUCUACACGCCAAGGCAGCCGCCCGGGCUGACUGGGCCUAAGAGCAUAUAUAUAUACCGGUUGAGGUUUGUUUUCUUCCGAGUCAUGGUAAAAAAUUACGGACCAGAUACGUGAUGCACGGUCUGUUUUGACUAGCAAAACGGACCGAAUCCGUACACUUAUCGAAAUUAUCGGGCAACUCUAUUACAGGGUCUGCUAGAGAUGUUCUAGAUCCGCGUGUGACUGGAUGGGCAUUCGACUCGAUGCAGUACCUGUAGCUGUCGCUGUUAACCUGGUUGUAAUUUUUAUAACAUAUGUUCUUUGUACUGCCAUUACUAAUUACAAAUAGAUUGAAAAGCUCUCAUAAAAAAAAGUGAUCCCAUAACUUUUAAUUAUUGUAAUACAUGUAUCAUUUGCAAAAUGUUUUGUAAAACUUUUAUAAGUUUAUACCGAGUAUUUUUCAGAAACAAAUAUUUAAGUGUAGUACAUUUGUAUUUUUUUAUUAGUUUUAACUAUGUAUGCAGCACUUAAUUGUAUAUAUACUACUGUAUUUGUUAAUGAAAAAUUACUGCACUGAUGCGUGGGUAUCAUGAGCGCAUGGCCGAGGUUACACUGGAUCUCAGUCGACCGAGCAGAUUAAAUACGUCUUGUCUCCAACGGGGACAUGUUGUUGGCACCGGCACGCGUCGACCUCCCCACCGGCUACCCUCCCCUGGCCUAGCCAGCUCACCGCGGGCAACCGCCUCGCGGCGCGACGCGUGCCACGGCGCGCGCGUACGUGGCGCCUCGCCGCGCUAAACAAAAUGGCCGCGCCGGUCGGCGGAUCGAGACCGAGAGAGAGAGCACACCAACCUCCGCCUCCAUUCACUCGCGGAGCACAGAUUCCCGGCCGACUCGCCGUCGCUGUCCCGGUGGUGCCCGCGACAGUGAUCGGAGGACGAUGGUGGUGACCGUGGCAGCGACGGGGCCGGACACGGCCGAGACGCUGCACUCCACCACCUUCGCCUCCCGCUACGUCCGCGACCAGCUCCCCCGGUCAGUCACCCUCCUCUCCUCCACACACCACGCCUACUCCUACCGGUAACCGGCCACCCACUACCCCACCACCACCACCACCACCACUCCACUACAAGGCACACAGGGGAUAGGNNNNNNNNNNNNNNNNNNNNNNNNNNNNNNNNNNNNNNNNNNNNNNNNNNNNNNNNNNNNNNNNNNNNNNNNNNNNNNNNNNNNNNNNNNNNNNNNNNNNAAUUGAUCUAUGAUAGCUGGCGCGGUGGAAACCACCCAAGUGUCKYYUYGCUCGCCCGCCCUCGCCGCCUCGCUCGCCCGCUUAACGCCGCAAAUUUCUACAGAGUUUACAGAGUAUAAACUUUGUAUAUACAAUUCCAAACAUAUACAAUACAAAAAUAUAACUGAUGGUGUAUCCAAUGACAUGCAUUUCGUAAGUUAAUGGACAUAAUUUGUGUGUAAACAAGGUCAAAGUUUGUGAUUUUUGACUUUUGAAAAAAAUCUAUACAUACUACAUUAUGGAAUGGAUGGAGUAUAAAUUUUCUUGACAUGGAUUGUUUAAGUUGUAGGAAUAAAUCCCAUAUGGUAUAGUUUUUUCAUUGAUGUUUAUUUUUUUAUCGGGACAAUAACUCCAAUAACAUAAACUUCCUUAAAGACUUUCACACAAUCCAUGUUUGUUUUAAUGAAUGUCCUCAACAACCAUACACUGCACUACCACCAAUUUAUAUGCCGUGUUCUCUGCAUGCUUCAGACUCACUGAGUUUUGACACAUCUGAGAAACCACCUGUUAGCAAAAGAGGGAAAGCACUAUGCAAGAACAAAGAAAAAGAAAUAAAGAAAGGGAGGUCAUCACUUCAUCUUGAGAAUAGAAGACGUCGGGAAGAAAACGCUCAGUUGAUGCGACCGCUAGCAUCCCACGAAGAGAAAACAUAUUGUCGAGCCCUAUGAUUUCUCGAUGCACCUGCACAGUCCCGGGUCUCAUACUCGUGUGGUUAGUACACACGGCAGUGAUGAGAAAAAAAAGUAUGGUCUAAAACGUAUAAUCAUUUGAAUUUACAUAAAAAAUGACUUAGUUUAACAAAAACGGUAAAAUAACUUAGGGUAAGAAUUAGUUUAACAAAAACGGUAAAAUAACUCCCUCUCCGUGACGCCGUCGUCUGCCGCCCCGUCUCGCGCUCUACCGCGACACCCUCUCCCACCCUUCCUCGCCCCCUCCUUUUGCCACCGCCCUUUCGCCACCGCCACCGCCACCGUCCCCCUUCUUCACUUAAUUAAUUUGUUUUUACUACAUGUUUUCAGGACUGACAUAAUGGCGGACGAUAGAGCUGACCCGAUUAUGGACAACUAUGAUCCGGACGGUGAAGCACAUAUGUUCGGCAUCAUAAACGGCGAUAUUCUAUAUGUGCCGACCGGAGAAGAAGAAGAUGAUAUCUCUUCUUAUCUGAACCUUGACGGUGAAGAUGAAGGGCGCCGUCGGCAAGAUGAUGCCGAACAAACGUCGAUAAACGACGAUCUUCAAAUGGAAGUAGCAACCACCUCCGGCGCCGAGGUAUAUAUACAUUGAGCCUCUGGUGAUACAAACUAACUGAUUUGAAUAAAUAUGUGUGUACUAACGCGCGCUACUCUCUUUCUUAUUUUAGCCCUCGGCCGGAUCGUCGAAACAAUCGAGUACGUCGUCAAAGCGUGGCGCAACCAAGACGAUGAAACAAGGAGAAACAUGCACCAUCGAGGUUGUCGAUAGUGCAACCGGCAGGCCGCUGGAGCCCCGCAAGAACGCCACCAAGUUUGUCAGCCAAUGCGGAGCCGUUGUUAGAGACAACGUCUCGAUCACCGUCCAGGAGUGGAAUGAGCCAAAGAAGGCACGAAUUGCUGGUUUCACUUUUGUCGAUAAGAGAACAAAAAAAGAUUGCUUCAUGAGAAAUGGAAGGCGGACUGCAAGAAGAAAAGAGAGCCCGAGCCCAAGCCAGUAUUUUCUGAUGAGCAAAAGAAGUGGGCUAAGUCAUUUUUGAGCACACCGUCCCAAGCCGCGAAGAAUCUGCCUGACGACUAUGCACGUGAACUUCGUAGGCAGGCAUUCAUGUUGAAGGAGAAGAAAGAGCGGGCGGAGAACCAGGAGAACAAAGCCUUGGAGGAGGCCGAGAAAACGGAAUUAGAAAGUAAAAAAAGCGGGAAACGAGUUGCCCAGCUCGGGGAACAAAGUAAACAAUCGAUUGCCCCGCUUAUAGUGAAAGCCGCCGGUCCGGAUGACCCCGAUAUCAUAGCAGCUGCGGCAGCACAUGGAUUGACUGUAACGAGUGCCAGAGAACAAACGGCCAACUUAGGUAUUACUCUUCGUGAAAUGUUAGGCCUUGAUGAGGCGCCAGUGAAGGAGGUAGUAAUUACAUAUGUGAAGAAUGGGCCUCUCAUCGAGCCUGCGCAGGAAGAGGAUCUACCUCCACAAAUGAAAGGUCUGCUGAAAUGGUACAAGGGUUACAUAAAAAAUAAAAACGCCAAAGAUUAUAUUUAUGCGGAAGUUAGAUAUGAGCAUCACUUCAAACAUUACUAUGUACAAAUUCAUCUGAGUGAAUUGUUCCAGCUUUUCAAUCUGCGGCGAGCUCGACAAAUCUAUCAUCAGUUGCUACGUUCUGUAAGUGAUUUAUUUAUACCCCAUCUCGUUCAUAUUGCCUGCACUAUAUAUAUGUCGUAACUAUAUUGUUGUGUCUGCUAUUAUACAUGCAGAAUGAAGAUUAAGGAAUGCAGAGUAAGGAACAUCCAUGAUGUUGGGUUCAUUGACCCACACAUCGUUAAUGGAUAUGUGUUGGAGCAUCACCCCGCCGACAUGGAGGCAGACCUGUGGCAGUUUCUUACAAAGCAGGAACUCAAAAGUGAUAUUCUAUUUCCUUACCAUUUUGGGUGAGUGUUUCUGUCUUGAGCACAUUCUCUUUUGUUUACUCCAUGCAUGGUAUGUGGCCGGCUAAUCGAUGAGUUAUGCAUGACGUACUGUGCAUGUAUCGUGUCCGCAGGUUCCAUUGGAUUCUGCUAGUAAUUAAAGUUGACACCUCAGAAUGUCUCGUCCACGACUCUCUGAAUAUGGAUCCAAAGCUUUGGGGCGGCAUGAGAAGAAUGCUGCAGAAGUAAUUAUUUUCAUUCAUUUGCGCUCUAUAUCGAUCGGCCUAUUUCGUUCAUUUCCUAAUAUCAAGUAACUAAUAACUCUCUUGUUCAUUUAAUUUUCUUUGCCUCGUAGGGUUUGGAGACGGUUCGUAGAUACAAAGGUCGGUGAAUUCAAAAAAGAGCUAGAAUUCAAAAGGUCAAAGGCUAAAAAUGGUGGGGAUAUUCAGCCAGCGGGGACCAAUCUAUGUGGAUACUAUGUCUGUGAGAUGAUCCGGAGAUACACCUCUGAGCGGGUUCCGAGUGAUACCAAUGCUCAGCGGAAUAACCUCCGGGUGAUGCUUAGUCCAGAAGCUCGCUUCCAACCACUUCAAGAGGAACUAGCUGGAUGGUUCAGGAGGGAAGUCCUCCAUCGUAAAGGAGAACACCAUUACGAGGACGUAGAACUUUAUAUGCAUUAAAUUAUGUAUGGAAACUUGUUCAAAAUUGUAUAUGGUCAUCCGAUGAUAUUGAAUAUAUAUUGUAUAUUCCUCUUGAAUUCUUUUUGGUUCUAAUUUCAAAUUUGUUUGUAAAUUGUACAUUCAUAUGCAUGUAUGUAGUACCGUAGAAUAUGUGAAACUCUUCAAAUUAAAAUAAAGCAACAAAAAGAAAUAAAAACAAUACAAAUUAAAACAAGAAAAAACGAAGGGUUUAAGGGGGGGGGGGGGACGUAAACCUGUGGCGGCCGUUAGUUCGCGGUUGGCCAGAAACGCGACUAAGUACUCCGCCCGACCGGCCGCCGUCGGCCGGCCCNNNNNNNNNNNNNNNNNNNNNNNNNNNNNNNNNNNNNNNNNNNNNNNNNNNNNNNNNNNNNNNNNNNNNNNNNNNNNNNNNNNNNNNNNNNNNNNNNNNNUCAAAAACGACUCAACUUUGCACUAACUUUAGUACAAAGUUGAGUCACUUAUUUUGGGACGGAGGGAGUAUAAUUUAGAUGCAUAGUUGCAUACCUCACCAUUCCUAAUCUAUUGACUCUCUUUAAUAAAAACGUUGUUCCUUGAGAACAAAAUAUUAUUAUGUUUACAUCAAAUUUAGGCUCUCUUUGGUUUACAGGAAUUUGUAAGAAUUCUAUAGGGUAGGAUUCCUUUAGGAAAAUUUCCUUUUGAGCCCUUUGAUUUGUAGGAAUGAGAUUCAUAUUCCUAUGUAGAAUUGAUUCCUAUCCUUCACAUUUCAAAGGAGAAAAAAAACAUUAGCUAAGACCUAAUGGAAAAGUUCCUAUCCUAUGAGCCAAAUGACAUCUCUUUUCCUAUUGGAACUGAGAUACAUGUCAUCCCGUUUCCUAUGACUUCCCUAUUCCUACAAUAUUCCUAUCCUAUGAACCAAAGGCGUCCAUGCAUAUAUUUUACAAAAGUAUAGUGCACUCUGAGCAAGUGGUUACCAGAAUUGUGCCUCUCAUCAUGGGGAUCUUGUUAGGACGAACAUCGUCAGGACAAGGAUGAACAUCGUCAGGACAAGGAUGAAGAACCAGGAGAUAGGGAGAUGGAUCUUCUGGAACUCGCUCUUCAAACUGGAAGACACAAAAAUCAGUCAAAGUAUUAAUCGAUGUCAACAUGCGUCAUAACUGUAGUACAAUGUUAAGGAGUCAUGGCAUACAACAUACCUCUUCCAAUAAUGCAUGACCGUCUGGGAGCACAUACCUGUAAUAACAACUAUGCAAUCUUAGUGGGGCACUGCUGACUUCUGAGGACAAAAUCUCAAUAUAUCAGGAAAGUAUAUCAUUACGUACGCAAGGUGCUCUGUCCUAAGACGCCCUAUGUGUUUCAGGUUUCUGCUUGUAUGUUGUGAAUUGCUCAAUGCCAAAUCUUUUCCAUGAUUUGGUGUCCAAGAGCAAUUGCUCACCAUAGGCUUGUUUGAACACAGAUUUAUUUCAACGUCGUAGUGUACUCUUUUUGACAUGAUGUCUUCAAUAUCAACAAGAUCAUCUUCAUUGGGAUAUUCUUGCUCAUCAAGUGCUUCAUAUUCAUAUUCGGGACUUGGUGGCACCUCAAUAAUGGGCUCACAGCUGCGGGAGGGUUGUCUGCCAGCAGCCCUGCUUUCUUCGAUUUGAUGUUGCCACACUUGCAGACUUGGCAUGCAACUACCAUUUGACAACAGUCUUUCAGAAGUAACCAUACUUUUUUUCUCUUCACCACCACGCACAUGCUCCUCUGCAGGAGGAAGUAAUGGUCUGAUAACAAGCAAAUGUUAUUGUUCCGUGCUUCACUCUAAAAUUAGUCCAAAUCAAUAAAUAAAAAGUUCACCAUGCAAAUAUCGACUCCACAAGAAAGACACAAAUCUUAUAUGAGUACUCAUCUUUGUAUAUUGCACCUUCUAAAAGGUUUUACUUCACUUAGUAAUUUCCAAUCCUUUGUUAAAGACAUAUCACUUGAAUGACAUAUAGCACUUGAAUGACAUAGGUGUUAAAGACAUAAACACCUAUGUCACAGUACUACCUAGUUCAUUGGCAGCCACUCAAAUUCAAACAGCAUCCGCCAAAAAAAAGGUAGAAUAUCACCAAAGAACUAGCCAUGGACAGGGCUGCGAGUUAGUUAGCUAUCCACGUGCCAUGACCAUGAGUUGGUUUCGAGAUCUUAUGGAUUUCAGCUCUAGCCUACCCCAACUUGAUUCGGACUAAAGGCUUAGCUGUUGUUGCUGCGAGAGUUCACUACGUACCAUAACAAUAGUAUCUCGGUAUGUUGCUGAAAUAAGCUCAAGUAAAUAACUUUGCAACAUGUGAACAUACCUGGUAAGUUUACUUUUGUAGUACCUGCAGUCCCCACGGAAUGGGCAAGCAUUGCAAUUUGGAUCUACUUUUGUGCAAAUUACCUGCAUAAUGGAAGCAUCCACCAUAAAAACAUUUKKAGCUAAAACUAUCAAUUAAAUUUUUAACUAAUCUACUUUUUGUGGAUUAGCUAAAUACCUUUCCWAAAGUUAAUUCAUGAGACAGUGUAGUUCAUACCUUAUUAUUUUACUAUAUUCGUUCAGUAUGUGUCUUACUAAAUUUACUUAAAGUUAACNNNNNNNNNNNNNNNNNNNNNNNNNNNNNNNNNNNNNNNNNNNNNNNNNNNNNNNNNNNNNNNNNNNNNNNNNNNNNNNNNNNNNNNNNNNNNNNNNNNNCAGGAUGGACGUGAACUGGGCCUGCCCCUGCCCACCGGAAUCUCCUGAGGCUGCGUGGGCGCGCUCCUCGCCGUCCUGCCCGCAUAUGCUUCCGCGCCGUCUGCCGCACCUGGAGGGAAGCCAUCCCGGAAGAGCAAGCCCGCGCGAUGCCGGCGCCGUGGGUCAUCGUACCCCGCGUCGACGGCUGCACCGACUCCUUCCUCGUACUCUCCGCGCCCACCAUGAACUCCUUCCGGUGGACGCCCCCGGACGGUGCGCGCGCCCGCUGCGUCGGCUCCAACGGCUCCUGGCUCGCCAUCGUCACCGUCGUCGACGUCCGGAGCCUCGCCAUCUCGCUCGUCAACCCGCUCACCGACGCGCGCGUCGAGCUCCCGCUCAUCACCGGCUGGCGAUGGGCGUUGGAUACCGAGCACGAUCUCGAGUUCGAGCUCGACGUCGUUGUCCGGAAGGUGGCCUUCUCCCCGAGCCCCAGCGCGCACGACUACGCCGCUGCCUACGUGUCUCCCUGCAGCCAAGCUGUGUUUUGCACCAGGGCCGGCACCCACCGCUGGCUUCCGCUCCCGGAGCUUGUCGGCGGUGACCGCGAGCACGAGGGCGUCAGGCGGGAGCUGGACGUGGCGUACCACGACGGCAAGUUCUACUACAUCGCCACCAGCGGCCAGGUGUGGGUGGUCGACAUGGCCGCCGCGCCGCCUCCCUCUCCCGUGCCGCUCCACGUCUUGUCGCCACCCUUGGACGGCUUGCUCACGUGCCGCGGAUACCACCUGGCUUUCUCUUCUACGCCGAUGGCGCGCUGCAUGUGGUGUGGAGCCGGAGCGAGGGCAAUGGAUACCCGCCGAGCUGGAACCUCUGGGACAUGGCCGUGACACGCUACGGCCUCGACGCGUCUGGCAAGGAGGGGUUUAGCGCUCCGGGGAGCAUCGUCGGCCGCCGCGCCUUCCUCAUCGGAGAUCGCAACCAGUCCAUGUCGGUCCCCGUUGACAACAAUUCCUGGCUCAGGCCCAACUCAAUCUACUUCGCCAACAUCCCGCUCUGCGUGAGCUUUUCGCCAUUGAAUGCCCUGGCCGUCGAGGCUUGCGGGCCUUCGACGUGGUCACCGGCAAGAUCACUUGGGUGCACGCACCAACCGGCAUGGACGUCGAGAGGCCGUUGAAAUCGGAAUGGAUGGCUCGGCCGCGCGAGAUGUUUGAUAAUAAACACUUGGGAUCCGAAUUGGACGUGGACUGGGCAAAAUCCCUUUGGUUCAUGCCCUGCUUGACACAACCGCCCAAAUAAAAAGUGUGGUGAGUGGUUUUUUGUAUACUCUGAUGAAAUACCGUGCAUGCAUUCACCGUCCGUCCUUUUUUGAGGUUCAUGCCAUGUUUUAUGAUAUUUAGUCUCGCAAAUUUCUUGUGUUUCAAAAUAUUACUUCCUCCGUCCACUGAUGGAAAAAGGGCCUUUGGUCGCGGUUCGCAACUGCCAUUAGUCGCGGUUGCGUAACCGCGACCAAAUAGGCGCGACUAAAGGCCCCCCCUUUAGUCGCGGUUGCUUAAGAACCGCAACUAAAGGCCCGUCCACGUGGGCGCCAGGCGGCCGUCGGGGCGGAGGACCUUUAGUCGCGGUUUUUCUGGCCAACCGCGACUAAAGGCCGCCACAGGGUUUAGCCCCCCCCCCCCCUAAACCUGUUUUUUHGUUUMAUUUGUUAUUGUUUUUAUUUUCUUUUUGUUGCUUUAUUUUAAUUUUGUAAGGAGUUUCUACAUAUUCUUACGGUACUACAUACAUGCAUAUGAAUGUACAAUUUCUAACAAAAUUUUAGUAAAAUUAAGUAAACCCAAAAAAAAGAAAAAUUUCCUAAAGAAGGGAAUAAUUAACAAAUAAUUAAUAAUUUNNNNNNNNNNNNNNNNNNNNNNNNNNNNNNNNNNNNNNNNNNNNNNNNNNNNNNNNNNNNNNNNNNNNNNNNNNNNNNNNNNNNNNNNNNNNNNNNNNNNAAAUAAUACUUAAAAUAACAAAAUAAAUAAUUAAUACAAAAAAAAUUAACAAGAARAAAWAWAAACUAAAUUACAAUUACAAUAAUAGUUAAAAACACAAAAAAUWAUAUACAAAAAAAUUAAAGAAAAAAUAAAACUAAAUUCAAAUUACAAAAAUAGUUUAAAAAAUAACAAAUAAAUAAUAUACAAAAAAUUAAGAAAAAAUAAAAACUAAAUUCAAUUCAAAAUGCACCAACCAGCCGGGACUAAAGGUUAGAUGACCAGCUCUGGAUUCCUCUUCUUCCCGCCAUUUCUUCCCUGUCUUCCCGCCUCUUUCUUCCCGCCUCCUGUCUUCCCGCUCCCAUUUUUCCCGCCAUUUCUCACUACAUAUAUGUAGCCCGGCUUGGCCAGCAUUAUCACAUCUCUACAAUCUCUCAUCACUCUCUCAUGGCUUCCACCGCACCCACUCUAACCUACCAGCAGGUGGAGGAGCUUUGCGCCUCGAACUACCCUUGUCCACCGGGCUACCGCGUCCCACCGGCUGGAGCCUAAGCGCCGGCGGCGUGCCGGUCCCUCCCGUCCCUCAGGGUACUGCGCGCCGGGCGGCCAUCACGAACCACUACUACCUCGACCUCACGCCGGAGCAGCGGAUGAAUCCCCGCUGGCAUCCCGAUAACCAGCAUACUUGGGACGCCUUCUUCAUCAAUCGGCGUGAGAGGGCGCUCGCCAGGUAUGUGGAGGACGGUCUGCCUCCUGGGAACUUCCACGAGGCCGGCCGUCGGCUAUGGUGGUACGGCCGGACUCUGCAGAGCGUCAUGGACUACAUCACGGCCGGCGAUAUCCCCCGCCUGCGCUACCCUCAGUUCGAGCCANNNNNNNNNNNNNNNNNNNNNNNNNNNNNNNNNNNNNNNNNNNNNNNNNNNNNNNNNNNNNNNNNNNNNNNNNNNNNNNNNNNNNNNNNNNNNNNNNNNNUACGUACGUACGUACGUACGUACGUAACCGUACUAACUACUAACUAUAUAUAUAUAUAUAUAUAUAUAUAUAUAUAUAUAUAUAUAUAUAUAUAUAUAUAUAUAUAAACUCUAUUCAUCACACAGGGUGCAGAAUAAAUUAUUCCUCACUCGAGUUAAUUUAAGACCAUUUCAUAAAUAAAUGAAAUUAGAAAUGCAAAUAGAUACAAUUAUAUUGAUUAACUACGGAAAAAUUUGCCAUAAUAAAACAAAAAUAUAGAUCAUAAGACUAGAAAAAUCGCAUUUUAUGUAUAAUUUACACUAUGUUUUUUUGUUUGUAAUUUUACGUGACAUAAAAUAUUUUUUACGGUGACUAUGUAUUUUUUUACGGUCUSUUUUUACGUAUGAAAUAAGAUUAAAAUUUAAGAAACGUAAAAUUACGGUGUAUUGAUGUGAAAAUAGAGGGGGGUGAAGAAUAACUAUUCCUCACCCAAGAUGACGAAUAGUGCGACCCUAUUCAUCACCGUAAAAAAAUACAUCACCCAGGGUGAAGAAUAGAAACUCUAUUCAUCACCCAGGGUGCAGAUUAAAUUAUUCUUCACCCGAGGUAAUUUUACGACCAUUUUAUAAAUAAAUUAACUUUGAAAUGCAAAUACAUACGUUUAUAUUGAUUCACUAUGAAAAAUUUGACAUAAGAAAACAAAAAUAUAGGUCAUAAGACCAGAAAAAUCACAUUUUUUUUAUAAUUUACACUAUGUUUUUAUGUUUGUAAUUUUACAUGACAUCAAAUAUUUUUUACGGUGAGUAUGUAUUUUUUUACAGUCUCUUUUUACGUAUGAGAUAAGAUUAAAAUUUUAGAAAUGUAAAAUUACGGUUUAUUGAUGUGAAAAUAGAGGGGGGAUGAAGAAUAACUAUUCCUCAUCCAGGGUGACGAAUAACGCGACCCAGGGUGCAGAAUAGUUUAUUCUUCACCCGAGAUAAUCUUACGAUCAAUUUACAAAUAAAUUAAAUUUUAAAUACAAAUAUUUACAUUUAUAUUGAAUCACUAUGUAAAAAUUGACAAAAUAAAAACAAAAAUAUAGGUGAUAAUACAGGAAAAAAAAUGUUUUUUUUUGUAUUUUUUGCACUAUUUUUGUAAGUUCGUAAUUUUACGUGAUAUAAAAUAUUUUUAUAUUGGUUAUAUUUUUUUUACAGUCUCGUUUCAUGUAUAAAAUAAAACAGAAUUUACGAAACGUAGCAUUGCCCCUCCUGUCGUACAGUGAAAAUAAUGGAAAAUAAUAAAUGGUCGCGUGACCAGCUAUCUUGUAGCCAGCUCCCGGCACGACGCGUGCCGUGGCGCGCGUGUACGUGUGCCUCGCUGCAGUAAACAAAAAGAAAGCAACGUCCCAUCACCGCGUCGGUCGGCCGAUUGAGACCGAGAGAGAGAGAGCACACACCAACAUCCGCCUUCACGGCCGAUCACGGGGCAGCGACGGGGCCGGACACGGCCGAUCCGCUGCACUCCACCACCUUCGCCUCCCACUACGUCCGCGACCAGCUCCCCCGGUCAGUCCCCUCCCUCACCUCCACACACCACGCCUACUCCUACCGGUAACCGGCCACCCACUACGGACGACACUGCCCCACCACCACCACCACUCCACUACAAGGCACACAGGGGAUAGSCCGACGCAGAAAACCUAGGCUCGAGCCCGGCCCGGUCCGGUCGUCAGGCCUAGAUCUCAGGCCCAGGUCCGGCCCAGUUCACCUGCUAAUUUCUGUCCGGGCUUNNNNNNNNNNNNNNNNNNNNNNNNNNNNNNNNNNNNNNNNNNNNNNNNNNNNNNNNNNNNNNNNNNNNNNNNNNNNNNNNNNNNNNNNNNNNNNNNNNNNAUUAUCAAUGUUUAUUAAAAUUUAAUAAAAAAUAAUGCAUAAUUACACAUGAAUCAGGUUAUGUCCAUCUUUUCGUCCGAUGCAACGCACGGGCAUUUGUACUAGUACUACUAAUAAACAAGCCAACAAUUUUUUUCUUACGAACAUCCCAUAAAAUGUACACGAAAAUAUAUCACCAUCAGAUCAACCCAUUGGAUYAWAKSWAWMAAUACUUGACACGCAGAAAACAGUAGCAACAAAAUGACACGAUCAACAUGCUACGUCUAUUAGUUUGGGUCUAGUCCAUCACAUGAUUCUCCUAAUGAUGUGAUCCCGUUAUCAAGUGACAACACUUGCCUAUGGCCAGGAAACCUUGACCAUCUUUGAUUAACGAGCUAGUCAACUAGAGGCUUACUAGGGACAGUGUUUUGUCUAUGUAUCCACACAAGUAUUGUGUUUCCAAUCAAUACAAUUAUAGCAUGGAUAAUAAACGAUUAUCAUGAACUAAGAAAUAUAAUAAUAACUAAUUUAUUAUUGCCUCUAGGGCAUAUUUCCAACAGUCUCCCACUUGCACUAGAGUCAAUAAUCUAGUUCACAUCACCAUGUGAUUCCAACGAAUCCAACACCCAUAUAGUUAUGGGGUCUGAUCAUGUCUUGCUUGUGAGAGAGGUUUUAGUCAACGGUUCUGAAACUUUCAGAUCCGUGCGUUCUUUACAAAUCUUUAUGUCAUCUUAUAGAUGCUGCUACUACGUGCUAUUCGGAAAUGCUCCAAAUAUCCACUCUACUAUAUGAAUCCGUUUCACUACUCAUAGUUAUUCAGAUUAGUGUCAAAGCUUGCAUCGACGUUACCCUUUACGACGACWCUUACCUAACCNCCACUAAUACGAGAAAAAUUAACCUUUAACGUUCCUACUUUGUUUACUUAAGGUAAGUAAAUUUUAGUUACCGCCUGCUAGUGAUUCUNNNNNNNNNNNNNNNNNNNNNNNNNNNNNNNNNNNNNNNNNNNNNNNNNNNNNNNNNNNNNNNNNNNNNNNNNNNNNNNNNNNNNNNNNNNNNNNNNNNNGGACACGGAGGCUCCUGAACCUACACCAGGGUGGGACGGCCAUGGCAACAUCUCGUGGGUUCGACGUGACAGUCUCUCAGGCCGGUGACAAAAGCAUCAAGAGGUUUGCAGCGACGGUGAACUCGUGCGACGUGCUGGUGGCGGUGCACGGCGCGGGCCUCACCAACCAAGUGUUCCUCCCGGCGCGGGCCGUGGUGGUGCAGAUCGUGCCGUUGGGCGGGAUGGAGUGGAUGGCCACGAACUUCUACGGCGAGCCGGCGCGCGACAUGUAGAUGUUAAUCAUGUUGCUCAUGUAGGAUUAGGAAAGAAAGCCAAACCGAGUCCUAGUAGUAUUAGGAUUCCUAGUCCUAGUCCUAUUUCCGUAGUCCCUUGUGGACGUGUAUAAAAGACACCCUAGGGGUGUUGAUUGUAACACCAGAAAAACGAAAAGCAAUACAAAGCAAAAGCUCGACACGGGCCUUUAGCCAUCAAAUCCAUCGAUCUUGACCAUAUCAAAUACCUCAGCACCAGUGCGUUCCGCAGGCUUCGGCCGGUGAUCUGCCUUGCCGUUGUAAUGCUUGCCUUUCUUUCUUACUGGAUGNNNNNNNNNNNNNNNNNNNNNNNNNNNNNNNNNNNNNNNNNNNNNNNNNNNNNNNNNNNNNNNNNNNNNNNNNNNNNNNNNNNNNNNNNNNNNNNNNNNNCUCGAUGGCGAGCACCAUAACAUCGACGACGUCCUCUUCGGCGAUCACCGGCCUCGGGCUAGGAUGGAUCUCACCGCCAUGACCUGCAGACGUCAAAUUGACGCGCGGGUCAAAUGAGGUGAACCACUAGGAGGCUACCGACGAUGUUUGAGCARAUGGUCAAGGYUCACURSCAWRGGCRAURUUGUCACUUGAUAACGAAUCACAUCAUUAGGAGAAUCAUGUGAUGGACUAGACCCAAACUAAUAGACGUAGCAUGUUGAUCGUGUCAUUUUGUUGCUACUGUUUUCUGCGUGUCAAGUAUUUAUUCCUAUGACCAUGAGAUCAUAUAACUCACUGACACCGGAGGAAUGCUUUGUGUGUAUCAAACGUCGCAACGUAACUGGGUGACUAUAAAGAUGCUCUACAGGUAUCUCCGAAGGUGUUAGUUGAGUUAGUAUGGAUCAAGACUGGGAUUUGUCACUCCGUGUGAACGGAGAGGUAUCUCGGGGCCCACUCGGUAAUACAACAUCACACACAAGCCUUGCAAGCAAUGUAACUUAGUGUAAGUUGCGGGAUCUUGUAUUACGGAACGAGUAAAGAGACUUGCCAGUAAACGAGAUUGAAAUAGGUAUACGGAUACUGACGAUCGAAUCUCGGGCAAGUAACAUACCGAAGGACAAAGGGAAUGACAUACGGGAUUAUAUGAAUCCUUGGCACUGAGGUUCAAACGAUAAGAUCUUCGUAGAAUAUGUAGGAUCCAAUAUGGGCAUCCAGGUCCCGCUAUUGGAUAUUGACCGAGGAGUCUCUCGGGUCAUGUCUACAUAGUUCUCGAACCCGCAGGGUCUGCAACUUNNNNNNNNNNNNNNNNNNNNNNNNNNNNNNNNNNNNNNNNNNNNNNNNNNNNNNNNNNNNNNNNNNNNNNNNNNNNNNNNNNNNNNNNNNNNNNNNNNNNGGGUUAGAGUGGGUGCGGUGGAAGCACUGAGAGAGUGAUGAGAGAUUGUAGAGAUGUGAUAAUGCUGGCCAAGCCGGGCUACAUAUAUGUAGUGAGAAAUGGCGGGAAAAAUGGGAGCGGGAAGACAGGAGGCGGGAAGAAAGAGGCGGGAAGACAGGGAAGAAAUGGCGGGAAGAAGAGGAAUCCAGAGCUGGUCAUCUAACCUUUAGUCCCGGCUGGUUGGUGCAUUUUGAAUUGAAUUAGUUUAUUUUUCUUAAUUUUUUGAUAUAUUAUUUGUAUUUUUAACAUUUUGAAUUGAAUUAGUUUUAUUUUUCUUAAUUUUUUGAUAUAAUUUUUGUGUUUUUAACAUAUUGAAUUGAAUUAGUUUUAUUUUUCUGAAUUUUUUGUAUAUAUUAUUUGUAUUUUUAAGAUAUUGAAAAAGAAAAGUAUUUUGAAAAAUACCUUUAGUCGCGGUUGGCCAGACCAACCGCGACUAAAGGUCGUUGCGCGCGGGAACGAAAAAAACCCUUUAGUCGCGGUUGGUUUGCCAACCGCGCCUAAAGUUUACCUUUAGUCGCGGGUCGCCUCCCCAACCGCGACUAAAGGGGGCGGGCUAUAAAUACAAGGGCCUGCCGCCGUCUUCUCCGAUUCUCGUCUUCUCCGAUUCUCUGCCGCGCGCGCCGAAGGCCUGCCGCCGUCGCCCUCGCCCUCGACGCCGCCCGCCGUCGCCCUCGCCCACCGCGCGCGCGCCGCCUCGCUCGCCCGCCCUCAACGACGCCGGCCGGCCUCGGGUACCUGCCGCCUCGCUCGCCCGCCCUCGCCGCCUCGCUCGCCCGNUUAACCGCCGCAAAUUUCUACAGAGUUUACNGAGUAUAAACUUUGUAUAUNNNNNNNNNNNNNNNNNNNNNNNNNNNNNNNNNNNNNNNNNNNNNNNNNNNNNNNNNNNNNNNNNNNNNNNNNNNNNNNNNNNNNNNNNNNNNNNNNNNNCCGGCGCCCGCCGUGACACGUGCCCCCUCUCCGAAAGACUUCCCAAAAAUGCGCCGGCGAUGAAGAAGACCAUCAGGAAGGUGUCCGCAAACGAAGAAGAAGCGGUGGAUGGCUCUACUAGGCUGCUUCAAACUAUAUAAUGUUUCGUUGUGUAUGAACAAUAAGAGUGCACUUUUGGAGUGGAUUUGCUAGCUGACAGUGAAACCCAACAAUACACUUUGAAACAAAUUAGAAAAGGAGGCAUAAAAAAAUAUAUCAUGUACUCCUUCUAUCUCAAAAUAAGUGACGUAAGUUUUUGUACUAAGUUAGUACAAAAUUUUUGUACUAAAGCAGCGUCACUUAUCUUGGGGACCACUGGUAGAAAAAGAGGCUUCCGUCCAGCCCCAUAAGUCGCGACACUGUAGGAACCGCGACUAAAGGUGCCCAAAKKYCUUUAGUCGCGGUUUGCCAUGCCAACCGCGACUAAAUCUCCUCCCCUAUAGAUACCAGUUCAGCACACUCACUUAGCCAUUUGGUGCCACUUCUCUUCACAAGCUUCACAAGGGGNNNNNNNNNNNNNNNNNNNNNNNNNNNNNNNNNNNNNNNNNNNNNNNNNNNNNNNNNNNNNNNNNNNNNNNNNNNNNNNNNNNNNNNNNNNNNNNNNNNNACCCGAACGGGACGAAUAAAGAAAUUACUAACUUAAUUAACAAGCAACGACCAACAACGCCUGGCAGCCAUAUAAUCAAUAAGAAUAAUAAACAACUUGGGAUCCGAAUUGGACGUGGACCUGGGCAAAANCCCUUUGGUUCAUGCCCUGCUUGACACAAACCGCCCAAAUAAAAAGUGUGGUGAGNGGUUUUUUUGUAUACUCUGAUGAAAUACCGUGCAUGCAUUCACCGUCCGUCCUUUUUUGAGGUUCAUGCCAUGGUUUUAUGAUAUUUAGUCUCGCAAAUUUCUUGUGUUUCAAAAUAUUACUUCCUCCGUCCACUGAUGGAAAAAGGGCCUUUGGUCGCGGUUCGCAACUGCCAUUAGUCGCGGUUGCGUAACCGCGACCAAAUAGGCGCGACUAAAGGCCCCCCCCUUUAGUCGCGGUUGCUUAAGAACCGCAACUAAAGGCCCGUCCACGUGGGCGCCAGGCGGCCGUCGGGGCGGAGGACCUUUAGUCGCGGUUUUUCUGGCCAACCGCGACUAAAGGCCGCCACAGGGUUUAGCCCCCCCCCCCCCUAAACCUGUUUUCUGUUUAAUUUGUAUUGUUUUAUUUCUUUUGUGCUUUAUUUUAAUUUUGAAGGAGUUUCACAUAUUCUACGGUACUACAUACAUGCAUAUGAAUGUACAAUUUCAAACAAAUUUGAAAUUAGAACCAAAAAAGAAUUCAAGAGGAAUAUACAAUAUAUAUUCAAUAUCAUCGGAUGACCAUAUACAAUUUUGAACAAGUUUUCCAUAACAUUAAAUUUAAAUGCAUAUAAAGUUCUACGUCCUCGUAAUGGUGUUCUCCUUUACGAUUGGAGGUACUUCCCUCCUGAACCAUCCAGCUUAGUUCCUCUUGAAGGUGGUUGGAAGCGAGCUUCUGGACUAAGCAUNNNNNNNNNNNNNNNNNNNNNNNNNNNNNNNNNNNNNNNNNNNNNNNNNNNNNNNNNNNNNNNNNNNNNNNNNNNNNNNNNNNNNNNNNNNNNNNNNNNNUCUNUCUUUUUACCUUUCCUUUUUCAGUNUAUUUUUNUUGAUUUNUUCUUUUCAUUUUUAUUCUUUCUUUCCUAUUUCUUAUUUUUCUUUCGUUUCUAUUUUUCAUGAAUUAUUUCUUUUUUACUAAAUUUUUGACUAUUUUUUGUAAUUCUUCCUUUUGUUAAAUCCGCUAAACUUUAUAAUUAAUGUAAUUUUUUGGAACCUUCGAAUUAUUUACCCAAAACCGUUAAACUUUUCUCCGAUUUCUGAAUGUAUUUUUAGAAAAUUUCAUGAGUUGUUUCAAAACCAUUAAGGAAUUUAAAAACCAUGUAUUUUUUGUCCAAAUUUGGUACAAAAAAAAUUUAAAUCAAUGAACUUUUUCCAAAUUUGUGAAUAGUGCUAUUCACAAUUUCUUUUUAAAUUUUAAAUUUUAAUUUUUCAAAUUCGUGUCAUUUCCAAAUUAAAACAUUAUUAUAUAUGUUUGCAUUUUUUUAAAUCUGUGAGUUGUUUUAUAUGCAUGAUUAUUUUUGGAAUCGCAAUGCUUUUUUCAACUUUACAAACUUUUUUUUAUUUUUAAAUCUGUUAACCUUUUCAAUUCCAUCGAUUUUACUGAAAUUGUUGAACUAACUUUUAGAUUCAAGGAAUUUCGUUUUUUCACGAAAUUAUUUGUUUUUUUAGUAAUUGUCAAAUCGGUGGUCAGACCGAUUUUUCGUGCACUAGNGCACAACGUAGACUCGAGAGGGUAAAACGAGGAAGAAGAGAGCGAUNNNNNNNNNNNNNNNNNNNNNNNNNNNNNNNNNNNNNNNNNNNNNNNNNNNNNNNNNNNNNNNNNNNNNNNNNNNNNNNNNNNNNNNNNNNNNNNNNNNNUUGGUGUGUGCUCUCUCUCUCUCGGUCNCAAUCGGCCGACCGACGCGGGUGAGUGGGACGGUUGUCUUUUCUUUUUUGUUUACUGCAGCGAGCACCACGUACACGCGCGCCACGGCACGCGGUCGUGGCCGGGAGCUGGCUACAAGAUAGCUGGUCACGCGACCUAUUUAUUUAUUUUCCAUUUAUUUUCACUGUACGACAGGGAGGGGCAAUGCUACGUUUACGUUAAAUUCUUGUUUUUAUUUUUAUACAUAGAAACGAGACUAGUAAAAAAAAUAUAACCAAUAUAAAAAUUAUUUUAUAUCAACGUAAAAUUACGAACUUAACAAAAAUAGUGACAAAAAAUAACAAAAAAAAACUAUUUUUUUUUCCUGUAUUAUCACCUAUUAUUUUUUGUUUUUUAUUUUGUCAAUUUUUACAUAGUGAUUCAAUAUAAAUGUAAAUAUUUGUAUUUAAAAUUUAAUUUAUUUGUAAAUUGAUCGUAAGAUUAUCUCGGGUGAAGAAUAAACUAUUCUGCACCCUGGGUCGCGUUAUUCGUCACCCUGGAUGAGGAAUAGUUAUUCUUCAUCCCCCCUCCUAUUUCUUACAACUCAACUAAAACCGUAAACUUUUUAACUUAUUUACUUAAAAACUUUUAAAAUUUACUUAUUCUUCCUAUAACGUUAAAAAANNNNNNNNNNNNNNNNNNNNNNNNNNNNNNNNNNNNNNNNNNNNNNNNNNNNNNNNNNNNNNNNNNNNNNNNNNNNNNNNNNNNNNNNNNNNNNNNNNNNGACGACGACAAUCAAGAUGAUGGUCACGGUCACGACGACUACGCCGACGACACGGAUGUCGAUGACACACCAAGGUCUCAGCCGUCUUCCUCAAGUGCAUCAACACCGACACAAUUUGUGUCGCCUCCCUCGCAAGCCACAACGGACUCCUCAGGGCCUCGUCGCUACAAGACCCUCAAGAAAGUCUACAAGUACACAAAGCCAGUUACGCUCGAGUACUCCGGACUAUGUCUGUUCGGAGUUGAGGAGCGGCGAACUUCAUAGAGGCGAGCAAAAGUCCUAGCUGGACGCACACCAUGGAUGAGGAGAUGAAGGCAAUUGAGAGCAAUGGCACGUGGACUUUGGUAACCCGACCUCCAAACCAAAAGACGAUAGGUUUGAAGUGGGUUUACAAGUUAAAGAAGGACACAGAGGGUGCCAUUGUGAAGUACAAGGCAAGACUCGUUGCAAAGGGCUACGUACAACGUCAAGGAGUUGACUAUGAUGAGGUGUUUGCAUCGGUUGCUCGAAUCGAGACGGUGAGAGUGCUCCUAGCUUUGGCAGCACAAGAGGAUUGGAAGGUUCAUCAUAUGGAUGUUAAAUCCGCUUUCCUCAACGGCGAUCUCACAGGAGAAGUGUACGUGGAACAACCCUCGGCUACGAGAAGAAAGGCGAAGAAGGGAAAGUUUACAAGCUUCAAGAAGGCACUUUACGKRKKGAUAGSAAGCGCCAAGAGCUUGGAACWCAAAGUUACCGRMCKARGUCUGGCCGUNNNNNNNNNNNNNNNNNNNNNNNNNNNNNNNNNNNNNNNNNNNNNNNNNNNNNNNNNNNNNNNNNNNNNNNNNNNNNNNNNNNNNNNNNNNNNNNNNNNNAUUUCGGAUUUUUGGUUUGACAGGGCCCGCAAGCUUUCUGUAUCCUUAUAAUAUGUGCUUGGUCUUUUUUUCCAUUUGGAUAUUUUAUUUGCAACAGUGGUAAGUUGAGUACGAGUUGACAUGUUCCAUGCUAUACAACUUGCCACCAAACAUUUUGAUAUUUUGAUACACCGGUUCUUCAUCAUUCACGACAUUUCCAAUGAAUGUUUUAUUUCUUGUCAAAAUUUGACAUGGGAGCAACUACUUGAUCCGUUCCCAGGUUUUUUAUUUGAUUCGGCACUACUUGGUGCGCGUCAACUCCCAAGACAAAAACUGCAUUUGGCACAAAAAAAUUGCCAUACGUUGUGUCUGCUCUACAUAGUUGUAAUGACUUCCACUUUACUUCAUGUUUCUUGUGUGAUCUUUGGGUCCGGUAUAUCAAAUCUGGCACCCUGUAUCUCUCUGGACGCGUCCGGAUGCAUCUGCAGAAGGUGACCGGCCAAUUCUCAAAUCACCGUGUCCACAUUUCUGUACUAUGCAUGCAAUGUAGAAAAAAAAUACUAACUAUUGCUAUGGACUCGUAGAUUCCAAUUAACUAUUCACACAUCAUCAUGNNNNNNNNNNNNNNNNNNNNNNNNNNNNNNNNNNNNNNNNNNNNNNNNNNNNNNNNNNNNNNNNNNNNNNNNNNNNNNNNNNNNNNNNNNNNNNNNNNNNACCUUUCUAAGAAAUCGGCGGGAAGGUAUCCGUAAUUACAGCCACGAGCUGUUUCUUCUCCGUCUAUGGUGAAGACCGAUGUUGGGCGAUCUUCCACUCUGACAUAUCCUGGCCUUCCCACUCACCUUCCUUGGAUCCUCCCCUUCCUCACAAAGUUAUAGAUGGCAUGAAGUUGAAGUCGCACUUCCUCUAGCAUGGUUGUCUGGGAGCAACCGCAUCGCUGGUCGCCAUUGGCGACGGAGUCGUUAUUUGCGGUGCCUCCUAAAGUCUUGAUGUCCAUGCCACGCGAACGCACCAUGGAUCCCAUGUGGGUAGCUCGUGCAAGGUUCAGCACCCACAUGUCGAGCUUCGGGGAUAUCCCAUGACGGUCAUGCCCACAUCCACCUUCGAUAGACGACCACUUCCACGAUGCGGCCCGUGGACGUGACUCGUUAGCCGGUGUAUCCACAGAAGCACGCCACGUGAGCCUGACAUGUGGGUUCAACUUGUCAGUUUCGCCAUUUUUUGCGAGCAUAUCACACAACUAGUGCUCUUCAUUAGUUUUUAGGUGUAAAGUUGAUGGUUUCCCGUGUCCUGCAUGAAACGUGGCACUAAGUUUUUACCUUAACCCUAGAUUACCUCGGUGGUGUGCGUAGCUGAAUGUGUGAAACCGAUACCCACGCCAGAGACUAGUAGAGACAAAUCCGCAUGUGUUUUGUCUUGCAGGACCGAGAUGGAGAUUNNNNNNNNNNNNNNNNNNNNNNNNNNNNNNNNNNNNNNNNNNNNNNNNNNNNNNNNNNNNNNNNNNNNNNNNNNNNNNNNNNNNNNNNNNNNNNNNNNNNAAAAAACACUGUCAACAGGGACGAUUCGUAGGGGGGGGGGGGCCUACCCCCCCCCCCCCCUUAAUAAAAUUGAUUUUUCUACUAUGAUAGUGGUUGUUGUAGAAAAAAAAAUUCACUUCAUAUGAAUUUUGCUCCCUUCAUGAAYAACSCCCCCCCCCCCAACAAAUUGAUUUUUCUACUAUAAUAGUGGUUGUUGUUAGCAAAAAAAAUUCACUUCAUAUGAACUUAGCCCCCUUCAUGAACAAACCCCCCCCCCCCCUCCCCAUGCUUGCAUGCUGGCUCCGUCCCUAAUUGUCAGGUAUAUCCCACACAAGAGACCUAGACUUUCAUCCUAGAACUUGGGACCGGGUGCUCGUCUAACUCCACAUAUGUGUUGCCGUCAUCAUUUUUGCAAUCUCAGUAGCUCCAUGCGAUGUGAAUUGCCACCACUGCACAAAUCAUUCCUUUGUGCAAAGCCGUUGUCCAGAGUUAUAAACACAUACUCCCUCCGUUCMUAAAUAUAAGUCUUUUAAGAGAUUUCAUUAGGGGUCUACAUACAAAAUAAAAUGAGUGAAUCUAUAGUCUAAAGUAUGNNNNNNNNNNNNNNNNNNNNNNNNNNNNNNNNNNNNNNNNNNNNNNNNNNNNNNNNNNNNNNNNNNNNNNNNNNNNNNNNNNNNNNNNNNNNNNNNNNNNAUUAUACUUGUUUAGGUUUUAGUCUGAUUAAACAAUAUGUUUAGAAGAAUAUAAAAGUUUGAUAUAAAAUUUAUUAAUAUGUUUAGAAGAAUAUGAAAGUUUGAUAUAAAAUUUAUUUAUUUUCGACUUCGCCCCGUGGCCCAAAAUUUGCUUGGACUGGCUCUGUCUCCUUCCCCAUUCCAAUUUCGCUUACAUUCUGGUGGUUGACCAGCGACCCAUGUCAGAUUUGCACUUACGGGAAAUGGGCAUACACUCUGAUUGACCAGCAACCCAUGUGAGAUUUGCACUUAUCAUUGAGAAAUGGCGAUAGGGUUAUAUGUGGGAAUAUAGGAAUUCGUUCGUUGGUUGUAUGUUUUGAGUAUAUGGAUUCGUUAGUUGUAUGUUAGUAAUUACAAUCAGCUAGAGUAACUUGCACAAGGGGAAGGGUAUGAGGAAGCGAGGACCAUGUAUAAUCACUAUCAGUUUCCUUGUAUUUGGAAUCCUUCUGUUCACUACUGUUAUUGUCUUUUGUUUCGUUACAAGGCAACGCCCCAUGUCCUUCCUCAACUGAAUUGUCAAAAAUCACUGGUUUGUUGUAGGUGAGAUAACCGGCAUCGCCAAUGAGUGCUUUAUGAAUGUAUACCCUUUCCGUCGUGAACUAGGGCCAAUGGUUAUCCUGUGGAAGGUAUGUUUAUGUACCAUCACAUGUUAUGCGUCUUUUGAUAAUUCAGUGUUUAAUGUGAUAAUCAAUUUUAUCGUGAUUUGGUUGUAAACAGUCUGGGGUCCCUGAGGAGAGCAACACCAUGUUUAAACUAAAGGUUGGCCUAAUUGGUAAGAAUUGAAUUGCUUAGUUAAAAUAUAUGUUAUUGCUAGUUACAGAUGCUAAUUGGUAACAUUAUCUAACCUGUUUCUGUUUUCAAGGUUUUGGAUCGAUAGGGAGACAAAUAGCCGAGGCAUUAGUCGAUAUCAAGGACGUUGAUUUGAUUACAAUCUGUGACGAGCUUAAAACAAGUGAUAUGGUAAUAGAGAAACUACAUUAUUAAGUUCUUACGUCUCUUUGUUCUAGUGUUCCAUGUCUUUUCCUUCCAGCGUUCUCAUUUGUUCCCACAGAUCCACCGUGGCUAGAGUUAUGCAAAAUCAUUUAGCAUGCAGUAGUUUAAGGGAAAAUAGGAGGAAAUCUCAAUUCAGAUGAAAGAAAACAAAACAGAUAAACUACAAGUGUAAAACUAACUCUUGCACAAGCACCAACUAGUGAUCAUUGAUUGUGGAACCCAUCAUUUAUCAUAAACAUUAUUUUAAUGCAAAUCUGUGAAACUGAAGCUCAGCAAGUCAUUAUAUUUGUGCAGGUUACUGCUUGAAAGAGCAGCAAGUUCAGCUUGAGGGGCUCUGGUGGAAAGUCGCUCAUGUUCCUGAAGAAAGCUGCUGACAUUGUCAAUGAGGAUGGCAUUCUGGUCUCAGUUAUCAUUCCCAGGUAACUGUCUUCUGUACUUGGCUGUAAUUACACCUGGGAUUGUUUUUUUUCGAAACGGAGGCAAUCCGUUUAAAAAAAUGUUUGUAAGUGUGUGCUGUACUUGGCUGUAAUUUUACCUGGGAUUAUCAAAUUUGUUUGUAACUGUCUGCUGUACUUGGCUUUUUUUGGAACCAGGGAACAUGAGAAAACCCCUUGGGGCUAUCUUCCGGUGAAUUACGUCAUUGACAUGCUAAGUCUCUCCUCCGAGGACAAGUCUGUUGCGUACUCAUCGCAUGACCAAAUUGAUCCACCUAAUGUGGCAGAAACGACACUGAUUUGCCAAAGCAGCUGCAUAGUACUGUCUACACCAUGAUGUAUUGUGACGAGGGAGUUCCAAGUAGUGGCUUUAAUCCAUCAAUGAAAUACAUCAAGUUUAGCAUCAGUGAUAACGAUUGUAAGAAGGUAGGGUAUUUCCAACUUCUCUUUUCCUUGAAAUUUAUUUGUUGUUUCCGAGGUUCAGAACUAAUGCUUGUUUCUGCAAGUUUGUGAAAAAUUUGAACUUCACAUUUCUUAAAGAUUUACAGAUGUGGAACAUAAUAUUUGUGUAUACGAGUUUCUGCUGUCCACCCUGAUGAGAGCUGGUUCGUGACAUGGUGAUAAUUUCAUGCUUGCUCUUCAUUUGAUUGGUGUGACAUCAUGAUAUAUUUUGCUCCAGUUAUUGUUUUUGUUGUGUUGCUGUACUGUGCGCAUAUACAGCAUUGCACUCCAUCUAGUUAUAUAGUCAUGAAAAUUGUUUGUAUUUCAGUACACUCCAAUGGUAAUGGUACAAGCUCACUUUUUACUAUGUAGGUUUGCUUUAUUUUGCUUUUACAUGCUGCCCAUUCUAAGUUUUAGGUCUUUAGAUAAAUGUAUGCAAGUUUUAAUCAGUGGAUUUGUUCUCAAGUGUAGAUUUUGAUAGCAAAAUUUGUCUGGGUGAUGAGAUGUGUUAAUUUGCGCAGUUUGUUGUUGAAAACAUGCCUGAAUGGAGAUCUUCAUCUGCAAAUAUUUGCUUCUAUGAUCACUGUGAUCCUACAAAUAGGCUAUGUGACCCCCUGACGGAGCUUCAUGUGAGGUAAGUUCUUGCAUCAGUUACCCGAGGAUGCUUUAUUUGCAGUCCAACAUUUUAAAUAAAAAACUACCCUAUUUGCAUGAGCACCCUACUCAUAUUUUUUUUAUUUGUUACUGUUUGAAAUUUAAAGCUGAGAACAUGCAAGUUUGCAUUAGUUUUCCGUGAUAACGAGGAGGAAGCUGAACACAGAGAAGGAGUCCGUCUAAUUUCUGUGCUGAGCUGCUGUAUUCGGAUUCUAAAGGGUGUAGCGGUUGGAGGCAUAUUCUUGAUGUUCUAGAGGCGUAUGCCAAUCGGGGGCUUCUGCGUUCAAAUAUAAUGUCGCUUCCACUCACUUCAGCUUAACGACGUAACACCUUGACACAGACGCCAGCAGUCCGCUGGAUACGUCGAACUAUUGCCCUGCCCUGUCGAGGCAUGUAAUGUUUCUCGGAUCAAACGGACGAACAGAAGAGAUGCUAGGAAGCGGACGUGUGUUUGUGUGAAAUGAACAAACGAAGAACAGAGCUGGAUGAUCACGUAUAGUACACUGCCAUUCCAUGGUUGUAGUCACGUACGUAUAGUUCUUUUCACGUAUAGUUGUAUUCCAAAUCUCACUGCCCUGAUGUGGAUAUAGAACCAAAUCUCAUGUUGGUCCUGAGUAAUCUCGUGGUGUUCUUGAGUAAUCCAACUAGGAUCGUAACUACAGUUGGCAUCUCACAGCUUUAAUCCUCAUUUACCAUUUCCUCUGCUGGUAAAAAUCCAAUUGAUUGCAUGAUCCCUAAAAUCUAUGGCAAAAGGUGUGAAAUCGCCACGCAAGGUUCUUUGGAACACACCUUAGCUCGGGUUGGAUCACGGUUGUGCCAAAUUGUUGCUCACUAUGUGUUCAACGAGAUGGCUCAGAGUGACCAGAUGAAGACAGUGCUUGAAUUACUGACGUGGAUCUAAGAGGAUGUCGCCACGAAACAAUGAGAAGCUUGAUUGAAACUUGGCAAACCUUGAUCCUCUUUAGAAGGAGUUGUAGUCGGUGCGCAAGGCCCUUAAGGAUUGGAAGCCGGACGUGGAUCAACACACAUCACUCAGUUGCAUCUUAGGGUGUCCUUCUACGGAUCUGAGCAAGACAUCUCGUCAUACGGAGAACAUCGCCGGCUCCGAUGAAGAAUCGCCAUUGACUCGGACUGCAUCGGCAAAGUAUGUGCCACCGCACGAGAUCGAACAUGUAAGCCAAAUUGGCUGCCGUGAAGAAUCGACUACACGGGGCCAGCCUGGUGUUGCCAUCAUGGUGUUGCCUUCGGCCAUUGAUACGAUGCCGACCCCUCAUACCCCUCCUUCUGUAACUGAGAAGUAUUCUCCUUUGCCAUCGACUCGGACUGCAUCGACAAAGUAUGUGCCACCGCAUGAGAUCGGACAUGUAAGCCAAAUUGGGUGCCGUGACGAAUCGACUGCAUGGGGCCAGCCUGGUGUUGCCUUCAGCCAUUGAUACGAUGCCGACCCCUCAUACCCCUCCUCCUGUAACUAAGAAGUAUUCUCCUNNNNNNNNNNNNNNNNNNNNNNNNNNNNNNNNNNNNNNNNNNNNNNNNNNNNNNNNNNNNNNNNNNNNNNNNNNNNNNNNNNNNNNNNNNNNNNNNNNNNGCCGGUGGGGACGCGGUAGCCCGGUGGACAAGGGUAGUUCGAGGCGCAAAGCUCCUCCACCUGCUGGUAGGUUAGAGUGGGUGCGGUGGAAGCCAUGAGAGAGUGAUGAGAGAUUGUAGAGAUGUGAUAAUGCUGGCCAAGCCGGGCUACAUAUAUGUAGUGAGAAAUGGCGGGAAAAAUGGGAGCGGGAAGACAGGAGGCGGGAAGAAAGAGGCGGGAAGACAGGGAAGAAAUGGCGGGAAGAAGAGGAAUCCAGAGCUGGUCAUCUAACCUUUAGUCCCGGCUGGUUGGUGCAUUUUGAAUUGAAUUAGUUUUAUUUUUCUUAAUUUUUUGAUAUAUUAUUUGUAUUUUUAACAUUUUGAAUUGAAUUAGUUUUAUUUUUCUUAAUUUUUUGAUAUAAUUUUUGUGUUUUUAACAUAUUGAAUUGAAUUAGUUUUAUUUUUCUGAAUUUUUUGAUAUAUUAUUUGUAUUUUUAAGAUAUUGAAAAAGAAAAGUAUUUUGAAAAAUACCUUNNNNNNNNNNNNNNNNNNNNNNNNNNNNNNNNNNNNNNNNNNNNNNNNNNNNNNNNNNNNNNNNNNNNNNNNNNNNNNNNNNNNNNNNNNNNNNNNNNNNGAAUCUGAGAUAACUCCUGAGCCUGCCAUUCCUAUGGAAUACUAUGAACAAACACAUGAUGAAAAUCCUGAGGAGGAUGAGGAGGAAGCCCGUGGUAGGGGCAAGAGACAAAGGACUGCAAAGACCUUUGGUGAUGAUUUCUUCGUAUACCUCGUGGAUGAUAAUCCCUCUUCUAUUUCACAAGCGUAUGCUUCUCCAGAUGCUGAUUAUUGGAAAGCUGCGGUCCGUAGCGAGAUGGAUUCCAUCAUGGCUAACGGGACAUGGGAAAUCACUGAUCGUCCCUAUGGUUGCAAACCAUUGGGAUGCAAGUGGGUGUUCAAAAAGAAGCUUAGGCCGGAUGGUACGAUUGAAAAGUACAAGGCUAGGCUUGUGGCCAAGGGCUAUGCCCAGAAAGAAGAGGAAGAUUUCUUCGAUACUUAUUCACCUGUGGCUAGACUGACCACCAUUCGAGGACUACUCUCAUUGGCGGCCUCUCAUGGUCUUCUCGUUCAUCAAAUGGACGUUAAGACGGCUUUCCUGAAUGGAGAGCUAAAUGAGGAAAUCUAUAUGCAACAGCUAGAUGGCUUUGUGAUAGAAGGUCAGGAAGGAAAGGUGUGUAAGUUGCUNNNNNNNNNNACUUUCUUUAAUGGAGAGCUAAAUGAGUUAAUCUAUAUGCAACAGCCAGAUGGCUUUGUGAUAGAAGGUCAGGAAGGAAAGGUGUGUAAGUUGCUGAAAUCUUUAUAUGGUCUGAGACAAGCACCUAAGCAAUGGCAUGAGAAGAUUAAUAAUACUCUGACAUCUGUUGGCUUCGUUGUUAAUGAAGCUGACAAAUGUGUAUAGUAUCGCCAUGGUGGGGGCGAAGGAGUUAUAUUGUGCUUGUAUGUUGAUNNNNNNNNNNNNNNNNNNNNNNNNNNNNNNNNNNNNNNNNNNNNNNNNNNNNNNNNNNNNNNNNNNNNNNNNNNNNNNNNNNNNNNNNNNNNNNNNNNNNUGGGAUUCCCAUCCGUACUUGAAGGGUAUAGUGAUGCAAAUUGGAUCUCCGAUUCUAAUGAGAUGAAGGCUACCACUGGGUAUAUGUUUACUCUUGGGGGUGNNNNNNNNNNGAAGAGAAGGUGCCCUCGCGCACUCCUCCUCCGUCGCCCGCCUCGCCACGCCACGCCUCGUCACAACGCGCCGCGUGUUGUGGGAAUGAGCCGAGCCGAGCUCAUAUCUGCGCGCUUAUUUUUGCCGGUCAGGAACGGAGAAUACGUAACGGACAAGGCACGAUCCGAGACGUUGGAUCGUGGCUGUUACCGACUCGGACAUGGGCUUGGCCCACGUCUCUCCACCCAGCCGCCUUUAUAAGCACGCGAUCGCCUACCCUAGCCGUCACGAGAAUCAGAUCACAUCUGUCUCACGCGUUCGUUCCUUCAACUGCCGCCGGCGACUCCGUCCCGUUUACCGCGUACAUGGUCGACGGGAGAGCAGGCCCCGAAACCUCGCCUCUCCGGUUCCUGUACGGGAGAGGGGCGAUUAGGUUUUUGGGGAGCGAUCACGCGACUUCUCGCCUCCGUCCGUCUGCUUCGUCUACGUCCGCGUCGCCUUCGUCAUNNNNNNNNNNNNNNNNNNNNNNNNNNNNNNNNNNNNNNNNNNNNNNNNNNNNNNNNNNNNNNNNNNNNNNNNNNNNNNNNNNNNNNNNNNNCACCACUGCUGCUGCUACGGCCAACUGGCCGAUUGGAGGGUAUGACUCGUUUAUCNNNNNNNNNNGUGCUGUUUCCUCGAAGUCUUGCAAGCAAACGAUCUUAACAAGAUCGACAUUGGAAGCAGAAUUAACAGCAUUAGACACAUCUGGUGUCGAAGCAGAAUUUCUUCGAGAUCUUUUGAUGGACUUACCUGUGGUUGAGAAGCGAUAAUCAGACGGUUAUUGUUAAAGUGAAGAGUUCAAAGGACAAUAUGAAGUCCAACAAANNNNNNNNNNCGGUUCCGGCUAUCCUUAUGAACUGCGAUAAUCAGACAGUUAUUGUUAAAGUGAAGAGUUCAAAGGACAAUAUGAAGUCCAACAAACAUAUAAGGAGAUUGAAGUCUGUCAGACGUUUGAGAAACUCCGGAGUGAUAGCGUUGGAUUAUAUCCAAACGGCUAAGAAUCUGGCAGAUCCCUUUACUAAAGGGCUAUCAUGUGUUGUGAUAGAUAGUGCAUCGAGGGAGAUGGGUAUGAGACCCACAUGAGUUGCCAUGGUAGUAACCCAACCUAUAUGAUCGGAGAUCCCGUGAAGUAGGACCUGGGAAAACAAGCCAGUGGUGAACUGAGGAGAGUAACUUUACUAACCCACUCCGUUGGAGAUGCAAUACUCUCGGAUACUGUAUGGUAGGAUGACUACUGUCUUAAUGUGUUCUAAAGCUUAUAUGUAAGCAAGAUGCUGUCCUACAUAGCGAUCUUUGGAGGAACACACCUAUAUGAGCUUGACUGCUGGUCACAGUCUAUGAGGUUUGGGUGAUCUCUAGUAAACUCAUGAAUAGGCCAGNNNNNNNNNNAGUCUUAAUGUGUUCUAAAGCUUAUAUGUAAGCAAGAUGAUGUCCUACAGAGCGAUCUUUGGAGGAACACACCUAUAUGAUCUUGGCUGCUGGUCACAGUCUAUGAGGUUUGGGUGAUCUCUUGUAAACUCAUGAAUAGGCCAGGAGUGUGACUAAUAUGCUCCAUCCGAGGGGUCACCUUCGGCAGUCUAGUACUAGUAAGACUUGUGGUGAAGCUCCUUUACGCCAAACUGACAAUUCAAGGCAUAGUCCAUUGUUCAGUUGUAAAGGGGUGUAGCUACUUGUUCUAGGUGAAGCUCAACCUUAAUAGGUAUUCACUGAAAUGCUGGUAUAUUAAAACAGUCAUUGGAACGAGGGAACACGAUGUGCCCUUGAGAUCUGGUGGGGGAUUGUUGAAAUUUGGAGGUGGGCUUUAGGCCCAUUAGAGAAUUUCAGAAANNNNNNNNNNNNNNNNNNNNNNNNNNNNNNNNNNNNNNNNNNNNNNNNNNNNNNNNNNNNNNNNNNNNNNNNNNNNNNNNNNNNNNNNNNNNNNNNNNNNNNNNNNNNNNNNNNNNNNNNNNNNNNNNNNNNNNNNNNNNNNNNNNNNNNNNNNNNNNNNNNNNNNNNNNNNNNNNNNNNNNNNNNNNNNNUAAGAGAAGGUGCCCUCGCGCACUCCUCCUCCGCCGCCCGCCUCGCCACGCCACGCCUCGUCCCGACGCGCCGCGCCGCGCCGCGUGUUGCGGGAAUGAGCCGAGCCGAGCUCAUAUCUACGCGCUUAUUUUUGCCGGUCAGGAACACAGAAUACGUAACGGACAAGGCACGAUCCAAGACGUCGGAUCGUGGCUGUUACCGACUCGGACGUGGGCUUGGCCCACGUCUCUCCACCCAGCCGCCUUUAUAAGCACGCGAUCGCCUACCCUAGCCGUCACGAGAAUCAGAUCACAUCUGUCUCACGCGUUCGUUCCUUCAAGUGCUGCUGCCGCCGGCGACUCCAUCCUGUUUACCGCGUACACGGUCGACGGGAGAGGAGGCCUCCGAAACCUCGCCUCUCCGGUUCCUGUACGGGAGAGGGGCGAUUAGGUNNNNNNNNNNUCUGCUGCCGCCGGCGACUCCGUCUCGUUUACCGCGUACACGGUCGACGGGAGAGCAGGCCUCCGAAACCUCGCCUCUCCGGUUCCUGUACGAGAGAGGGGCGAUUAGGUUUUUGGGGAGCGAUCACGCGACUGCUCGCCUCCGUCCGUCUGCUUCGUCUACGUCCGCGUCGCCUUCGUCAUCGCCAUGUCUUCACCAAGCGAAGCUGACCGUCUCCGCGAGAAGGCCGAAGCCGAGAAGAAGGCGGCAGAGGAUACUGCCGCNNNNNNNNNNUGCCAUGUCUUCACCAAGCGAAGCGGACCGUCUCCGCGAGAAGGCCGAAGCCGAGAAGAAGGCGGCAGUGGAUACUGCCGCCGCCACCGCUGCUGCUACGGCCAACUGGCCGAUUGGAGGGUAUGACUCGUUUAUCCUCAUGUUCGUGUUUAUCCUAGCAGUGCUACUUGUCUGCAUAGAUGUAUCCACUAUAUGCGUAGUAUGUGCUAGGUUAGCUCAAGAUCAGUAUAUCAUUAGUCUAGUCAAUGCCAUGCUAGUUAUUAUCUCGUGGAUUAAUAUCCUCGGAAAAUUGCCUAUUUACUCAACAAUCCAAAAACCUAAUGUCUGUAGGAAUUUUUCGAGUAAUGAUUUUGCUGCUGCACUGAAACCGGAUAAGUUUACCGGUACUUUUUUCAAGCGUUGGCAAACGAGAACCACCUUAUGGCUCACGGCUAUGAACGUGUUCUGGGUAGCCGGUGUCACUCCUACGGAAACUAUCACUCCUGAACAGGAGAAGAUNNNNNNNNNNUGUUGGCAAACGAGAACCACCUUAUGGCUCACGGCUAUGAACAUGUUCUGGGAAGCCGGUGUCACUCCUACGGAAACUAUCACUCCUGAACAGGAGAAGAUNNNNNNNNNNACAUGCUAGUUAUUAUCUUGUGGAUUAAUAUACUCGGAAAAUUGCUUAUUUACUCAACAAUCCAAAAACCUAAUGUCUGUAGGAAUUUUUUGAGUAAUGGUUUUGCUGCUGCACUGAAACCGGAUAAGUUUACCGGUACUUUUUUCAAGCAUUGGCAAACGAGAACCACCUUAUGGCUCACGACUAUGAACGUGUUCUGGGUAGCCGGUGUCAGUCCUACGGAAACUAUCACUCCUGAACAGGAGAAGAUGUUUAAGGAGGCCACCGUCCUAUUCCUUGGAGCAGUCAUUAGCGUGAUCGGAGAUAAGCUGGUUGAUGCAUAUUUAGAUAUGCAUGUUGCCAAGGACUUGUGGGAGGCGCUCGACUCUAAAUUCGGGGCCACCGAUGCUGGGAGUGAGAUGUAUGUUAUGGAGCAGUUCCACGAUUACAAAAUGGUUGACAACCGUUCUGUAUUGGAACAAGCUCAUGAGAUAAUAUGCAUAGCUAAGGAACUUGAGGUUCUUAAGUGCAAUUUGUCGGGCAAGUUUGUCGCGGGCUGUAUAAUUGCUAAGCUCCCUAAUUCCUGGAGGAACUUUGCUACUACUCUGAAACAUCAGAGGCGUGAGUUCUCAGUAGAGGACAUCAUCGGCCAUCUGAGUAUUGAGCAGAACUCGAGAGCAAAGGACUCCAAUGGAAAAGCGGUGGAAAGCUCUUCUGCUGCCAAUAUGGUACAUCAGAGGAACUUCAAUUCUGACAAGCCCAAGGGAAAGAAUUCUGACCAACAGAAUACCGACUUCAAGAAGAAGGGANNNNNNNNNNUCUGCCAAUAUGGUACAUCAGAGGAACUUCAAUUCUCACAAGCCCAAGAGAAAGAAUUUUGUCCAACAGAAUACCGACUUCAAGAAGAAGGGAAAGAAGCCCUUCAAGAAGAAUAAGAAGGGAGAUGGCUGCUAUACUUGUGGUUCAGAGGAACAUUGGGCGAACAAAUGCCCAAACAAGUACAAGAAGCCGGCGCAGGACUCCAAGUCUGCCAACAUGAUUGUGGGCAACAAUGAAAGUGGUGCAUCUGGGUACGGUAAUUUACUUACUGUAUUUACAGUUUGUUAGUCCACCGAUUGGUGGGUGGACACGGGUGCAAAUAUUCAUGUGUGUGCUGACUUAUCAUUGUUCUCUUCUUAUCAGGCCACCGGUCGCGGGUCCGUAUUGAUGGGGAAUAGAGCGAGUGCUUCUGUUCUUGGUGUUGGCACGGUCGAUCUGAAGUUUACUUCGGGAAGGAUCGUGCAGCUGAAGAACGUGCAGCNNNNNNNNNNGGCGCGAGUGCUUCUGUUCUUGGUGUUGGGACGGUCAAUCUGAAGUUUACUUCGGGAAGGAUCGUGCAGCUGAAGAACGUGCAGCAUGUCCCCGCCAUCAAGAAGAAUCUCGUUAGUGGCUCCCUUCUGUGUAGAGAAGGGUUUAAGUUGGUAUUCGAGUCUAAUAAAGUAGUAGUUACGAAAUAUGGACUUUUCGUUGGAAAAGGUUAUGAAUGCGGAUGUCUGUUCCGCCUUUCUCUUGCAUAUUUUUGUAAUAAAGUCGUGAACAAUAUUCAUUCGAGUGCUAAUGAAUCUGAAGUUUGGCAUUCACGUCUUUGUCACAUAAGUUUCGGNNNNNNNNNNNNNNNNNNNNNNNNNNNNNNNNNNNNNNNNNNNNNNNNNNNNNNNNNNNNNNNNNNNNNNNNNNNNNNNNNNNNNNNNNNNNNNNNNNNNGUCAGUAUCCGUAUACCUAUUUCAAUCUCGUUUACUGGCAAGUCUCUUUACUCGUUCCGUAAUACAAGAUCCCGCAACUUACACUAAGUUACAUUGCUUGCAAGGCUUGUGUGUGAUGUUGUAUUACCGAGUGGGCCCCGAGAUACCUCUCCGUUCACACGGAGUGACAAAUCCCAGUCUUGAUCCAUACUAACUCAACUAACACCUUCGGAGAUACCUGUAGAGCAUCUUUAUAGUCACCCAGUUACGUUGCGACGUUUGAUACACACAAAGCAUUCCUCCGGUGUCAGUGAGUUAUAUGAUCUCAUGGUCAUAGGAAUAAAUACUUGACACGCAGAAAACAGUAGCAACAAAAUGACACGAUCAACAUGCUACGUCUAUUAGUUUGGGUCUAGUCCAUCACAUGAUUCUCCUAAUGAUGUGAUCCCGUUAUCAAGUGACAACACUUGCCUAUGGCCAGGAAACCUUGACCAUCUUUGAUUAACGAGCUAGUCAACUAGAGGCUUACUAGGGACAGUGUUUUGUCUAUGUAUCCACACAAGUAUUGUGUUUCCAAUCAAUACAAUUAUAGCAUGGAUAAUAAACGAUUAUCAUGAACUAAGAAAUAUAAUAAUAACUAAUUUAUUAUUGCCUCUAGGGCAUAUUUCCAACAGUCUCCCACUUGCACUAGAGUCAAUAAUCUAGUUCACAUCACCAUGUGAUUCCAACGAAUCCAACACCCAUAUAGUUAUGGGGUCUGAUCAUGUCUUGCUUGUGAGAGAGGUUUUAGUCAACGGUUCUGAAACUUUCAGAUCCGUGCGUUCUUUACAAAUCUUUAUGUCAUCUUAUAGAUGCUGCUACUACGUGCUAUUCGGAAAUGCUCCAAAUAUCCACUCUACUAUAUGAAUCCGUUUCACUACUCAUAGUUAUUCAGAUUAGUGUCAAAGCUUGCAUCGACGUUACCCUUUACGACGAACUCUUUAACCACCUCCAUAAUCGAGAAAAAUUCCUUAGUCCAUUUGUUACUAAGGAUAAAUUUUGACCGCUGCUAGUGAUUCAAACAUGGAUCACUCUCUGUACCUCUCAACAUACUUUGAGUCAAGGCACACUUCAGGUGCGGUACACAGCAUGGCAUACUUUAGAUUCUACGGCUAAGGCAUAGAAGACGACCUUCAUCUAUUCUCUUUAUUAUGCCGUGGUCGGGUUUUGAGUCUUACUCAAAUUCACACCUCACAACGCAACCAAGAACUCCUUCUUUGCUGGUCUAUUUUGAACUCUUUCAAAAACUUGUCAAGGCAUGUAUCUUGUUGAAACUUCUAUUAAGCGCUUUCGAUCUAUCUCCAUAGAUCUUUGAUGCUCAACCUUCAAGUAGCAUAAUCCAGGUACUCCUUUGAAAACUUCUUUCAAACAACCUUGUAUGCUUUACAGAAAUUCUACAUUACUUCUGAUCCACAAUAUGUCAACCACAUAUACCUAUCAGAAAUUCUAUAGUGCUCCCACUCACUUCUUUGGAUUAACUGGUCAACUGACCAGUGGGUCCCGAGCGUCAUAGGCACAAGUUUUAAUAUCGAUUAAAUAUUGAUUUAUCAGAUUAAUUUAAUGAGGGACCCACGUGGCAUUCUCUCAUUAUUCUAAUUAAUUAAUUUAACUAAUAUAUCUAUUUAACUAAUUCAUUAACUCAUUAAUUAAUUAUUAUAUCUAUUUAUUUAUUUAUAAAAACAUAUAUUUUUAUUAUUUUUAUUAACUAUCGCGUGGGGCCUCCCUGUCAUAGACAGCGGGUGCAUUGGCCCCACCGGUAAGUGACCCUAGGCCAAAAACACAUUUUUAAUCACAAAUACAUAACCAUACAAAUGUCGUAUUUCUCCACAUGCCUAUAUACGCAAAUACAUACAUAAAUAUGGGUAUCAAAUACAUACAUACACACAUACAUACGGAAUACAACAUUUGUUUUUUUUUUCUCUCAAAACUCUCAUCUCCCUCUCUCUGUUAAUAAAUAUAACAGAGAGGUUCUUUGCUAACUCCACAUAGAAGAACCAAAUGUUCAAUCCUUCCUACCGGAGUCUACCAUCGACGGAUCGAAGCCUCGUUUGCCGGAACGGAACCGGGGCGGUGAGGGGAACGCGACGGUGGGAGGAGCCCGAGGAGGGGCUCACCGACGUUGACGGGAGGGGCCGGUGAAGCCGGAGUUCGCGGGAAGGGGCGGAGGAGACGGCGUGGAGGCGUUCCUGGAGGCGGUGAUGAUGAUGCCGGUGAGGACGGUGGUGAUGGUGGUGACGCGCCGGCGAGGGCCUCCCGGAGCCGUGGUGGUGGUGGUUGCCGGAGUUGGUGAAGGGGCCGGCCGAUGGUGGUCCGGGGGAUUGUCGACCGAGGUGUGGGGGCUCGGGUUGGGGUCGAGAGGGGCCGGCCGACGGGAUGGGGAGGGCCCCGGCCGCCGGAUCUGGAGGGGUGGUGGUCGGCUCUAGGGGAGAGGCGAGGGAGGCCGGCGGUGGAGAGGUGCUGGCCGGCGUGGUGGAGGGCCGAGGGACUCGCCGGUUCGGUGGGAUGGGGGAGGGGCUUCGGGUGGACGAGGAGGUGGCCGAGGUGGGGAGGGAGCGGUGUAACGAGAGGAGAGGUUCCUCUCAUGGGGGGAAGAUCUGGUGGGGAGGAGAGGGAGUUGCGAGGUGAGAGGAGGGUUCCUCUCGUGGGCUGGGUGGGGGCUCGGUGUGGAGGGGUUUGGUGGGGAGGGAACCGACAGGCAGGGGAGGGAUCGGUGGGGGUGGGGCCUCCAGCGAUGGGAAAGGUGGGUGGCGGCGGCCGAGGGGGGGGGCUGACGAGGGAGGGAGGGGUCUCGCGAGGGGGUGGGGAGCGAGGGUCUCGCCAGGGGGAGUGCUAGGGUUCCUAGCGGGACUGAUGGGUGGCCUGGCCGGCUGGGCCACUAGGCCCAGUUGGGCCAAGUGGGGGGGGGUUCGGUUGUUUGCCUUUUUUUUAUCAUUUGUUUUUCUUUCUUUUACUUUCUGACAUUCUAUCAUUAUUAUUUUCUUAUAUAUUUAUAUCUUUCUGUUCUAACCAUAUAGGACUUUUAAUACAAUUAAAAAUGUCCGAUUCGUUUUUAUAACAUAUUAGAGAAUUUCAACAACUCUCCCGACAUUUUUACUUAACACCACGAAACGUUUCUCGUUCGACUUUAUUCGUAAAUUUCGAACUCGACUGGUUUUUCGACUAACACGAGAUCCACAAUAGAAUUUAUGAUGACGUGGCUUCACUAGCGUGGGAUUACUGUCGCUUGACUACAGGAGUUACUGUAGCACCAAUCCGAGGAUGUCACAACUUGGGACGUGAAAAUGAACUCUUAUAGUCGAAUUCCACGGUUUCACUCGGAGGAGCAUUGCGAACUUGUUCCAAGCAAGUUGUCCAACGGCUACAAGUCGGCUUGAUCACAUCCCAAUGACCUUGGAGUGACCGAAAGGUCCAUGUUGUCCUAUUGGGAUACUUGGCCAUGAAUUGGAAGUACUGAUCUUCGAUUCUUUGCUAAUACGUCUUGAUGGUUUGAGACACACUCGUGCAAGCAUCCAUAGACACCGUACUCCAAGCCUUGAUCAAGAUUUGAUCUUCCAAGAUCAUGUAGUUCUUUGAUCUCAUGCUUAUUUUGCUUGCGAUUGCUGAUACGUCCGCUCAUCUACCUCCUCCACUUCAUCUUCACCACCGUGGUCAUCCACGCCACCCUCCAAUUCAUAGUAAUCAAAACCAGCGAUCCAGGCUUGAUCGAUGUCGAUGAUGUUGGUGUCCAACAAGUUUAUGAACUCGGCCUUGACAUUGUUCGAACCACCGCUACAUUGAGUGACAUCACGUCACGAGCUACCACAAUGGCGAAAAAUCGAAGCAAGAAUAAGGGAGGGAAGAUGCAUACCUUCUGGCCCUUUCAUCGAACACCUCGCCUGCGAUUGAAGCAGCGCCGUAGAAGGCACCGUCGGGGAACGUCUCGCCGGGGCGGAGGGAGUGGGCGAGGGCUUUUUCGUAGGAACCUUUUUCCACUUCACGCCCGAAACCCGUCUCAUCUUCCCCGCCGAAGGCCGAGCAGAUCGUGCAGCAGGGCGGAGCCCCGCACGAGUUCCUUUCCGGCGGGGCCAGUCGGAAUGCCGCCCUGCACGACAACGUUGCCUUGCCACUUGCGGACAGGCGCGUCGGUGCCUCGGGCGACGAUGGGGGCUACAUGACCGGCGACGAGAUCCGCCGGACGGGAUUGCGCGUGCGUGACCUCCACGUUGACGAGAUCCGCCGACUGGGAGGCUUCCAUGGCGGUGAAGAAUGGCGGGGAAGAUGGUCCGGAGCACGUGGUGGCGGGGUAAUGGUUGCCGAGGAGGGGGAGCGGGGAACGGUCGCGCGAAAAUUUCGGUCGCGCCAAAUCUCGUUGCGGAUAAGGGGCGAGCUUGGGUCGGCCUCCCAUCCCGUGAAUCUGAAGCUUAAGGGCAAAUUUUUACCGUACCCGCAAAAAAAUUAACGGAUUUAACGUGUUUGCGGAGUCUGAUCUAGCAACAUUUUUUAUCUAAUCCGUAUUUUAACGAUUAUUUUACGGAUCGGGGCAUUAGGGAAUGCUCUCACGCCUCCAACACUGACUAAUGUUGCGCACAGAGACUUACGAGGACUGUGUGAGGAUGACUGAGAGUCUCAGACGAUGAGACACUUGAAGAGGUGGGAUCCACGGAACAAAGAGAGUUGGAGAAACAGUGAGCCUGGAGAAGGUACUGUGCUCUGUGCUAGUCCCAGACUCCCGGUGUAUGGUCCUGCCGGUCCCAGCUGUAAGGGUUGGCGUGUGUGUGCGUGGUUAAACGAGGUGGAUAUAAAGAAUUCUGAAUUUCACAUACCCCUUCUGUUAGAGUUGUGUCGAAUAUUAUUGUAUAAGGUAAGUUACAGUUGGACUCUGAGUAGUAUUGUGUUUAGACAGGAUAUAGAGUCGUGUCCUGAUAGGAUCAGGACACUUGUAUCCUAGGCCUCUCAUACAUAGCGGGGGUAGACAUGCAAUGUAAUCUAAGCCAACAUAAUAGCACAGGCACACGGGGGAGCCCACGGCGUGUGCCGGCGCCCAGGCGGCCGGCGUGCGGUAUUGUGACGGUGUCACAGGGAGGAGCGUCCGUAGUCAGGCCCCGGGGAUGUAGGCAUAUCGAUGAACCUCGUUAACAAAUCUCGGUGUCGUGCUCGUGUGAUUGUUUGGUGUCGAUAGAUUGACGAAGUGCCUCGAAUUUAUUCAAAGAAGUGGUAUCAGAAAUAUCGAGUUUGAGAUGCAGCCCGGUGCGGCGUGGUUCUCGACGAGAUUGGAAAAGAGCAAUCAGAAAAGCUUUCGACGAGUUCGUAUAGCAGUUGAUUCGAUCCAGCAGGGGGCGGUAGAUCACGCCACAGGCGCAGCAGCGCUACAGUAUCGGACAGGCCACAUGGUCGUCCGAGAGGGGCCAGGAAGCAGGCCGAGUAGCAGGCGCAGUUGAGUUGGAGGCGUGCGUGUGCGUAGCACAAGGGAGCCGUUGUGCACAAGGCAAGAUGUGUGCGCUGUGCAGAACAAAUUGAAGCAAGCCGGAGAUUUGUUUUGGAAACAAAAAAAGAGGACCGGGUCCUCGUAUACGACGACAUGGACAUGCACAAGGCAGAUCAAUCAAGGGAAAAGAAAUUCAGCAAGGAAUAUGUUUCAUCGGGAAGGCAAGGAUUUGACAGAGUAAUUAGCUAGCUUCGGGAGUUGUGCUAGUGAGCUAUACACGUAAAGACAGGAAGUUGUUUGGGUUGGAAAUUGCUAUCAGUACGCGGAGGCUAGCCGUGUACUCGGGGCAUUGCGCGGAAAGCUCGGUUAAUUUUUCACAGGGUCAGCUGUACAAAGAACCAGGACGCUAACGGAUAUCAGGUUUGAGGUGGAGAAGUUCGAUGGAAUUAAAAACUUUGGGUUAUGGCAGACAUGUGUGAAAGAUUGUAGGCAUAAAAAGAUGUUUGAAGGCGUUGCGGGAAGUCAUGCCGGCUAAGAUGGAAUUAUUAUGUGAUGGAUGGAAAUUCGCGGAAGAUGAUUUGCGAGCCUAGAGUGUGUCGUGCAGUCGGACGAUUUCGGCUGGGUUAGACUAGACAGUCUGACAGAUCGACACGAGUCGGUUGUGCAGAAGACGGCGGUGAUUUCAGCGACGACGACAUAGGAGCGUGAUGCUGAUGGUGGCCAACUUCUGGGGCGUGGAAACAUGUGGUGGAGGUCUGAGGGCUUGUGUGGCUUCGACUAUGAUUGCUUGGUCCUUGGAUGAUCAACGGAGUGCCUCGGAUUUAUUCUAUCAAGUGGUCACCUUCUCUGUUCCCUUCUCUGCUUCGUCUACCUCCCAUUUCCUUCUCCCAUUAUUCCCCAAAUCCGUCUUUGUUCUCCACAAAUACGUAGCAGCAUACCACAGGCCUGUACCCGGAGCCGAUAUAUCCGGCGACGCCAUGGGAUGGGGUGGCCGGAUUUGGACGGCAACGAUGGCAGCGGCGGCGGCCGAUGAGGCAGCUGCGGAUGGGGGAAUGUGAGACAAAUUAUUUGUUCUUUGACUCUGUUCCAGGAUCACCAUUUCCAUCAAGAUGACGUUGAAGGUGUUGCGGUAAAAGCGUCAGCUGCAGCAGCUGGCGAAGCAAGAGUAGGUUGUUGCUUGCCAAACCUUCUGAAGAUUGGCCAGGGUGCUCCAUACUAUGUUGUGUUGAAGGUGCAAGAGAACCGCUAGCGAUUGCACAGACCGGAGAAGAACCCUCGUCUGUUAAUCUUUAGUACUGAUGAAUGUCUAUGUAAUUUUGACACCACAGGCCUGUUUGUAUAGUGAAGAAAAUCCAAAUAUAUCAUUUUUUUUGUUGCAAAGUAGUCUUAUAGAAAUGGAAGAGAUUUGAAUGCGAGUCAUUAUGGUUUAACCUAAAAAUAAUAGGUAAUUAUUUACAUUAGUUACUACCACUACCUGAAGGAUCAAUAUGCAUGUUGGCUUUUGUACCUUUUAGCUGUUGGUAUAUAUCAGCAAACUGCUGUGUUACUGUAAUUUUGUAGAUGGUAUUAGUCAAAUAUGAUGAGCUCAUGGAUCACACAAAUUCAUCACCGACAUUUGGUGGAUCUGAAUCUGGACAUAGGUAUCAUCAGAUGUGUACGCUCUCUUCUUUUAUAUCUUGUUGAUGUUGAUUUAAAUGAAUUUGGCUUUUACAAAUAGAAAAAUCUAAACAAGCACUUUGCAUUAAAUUUCAUUUUUUGAGGGGCAUUGAAUUUCCAAGAUUAGUAGUGACUGACAAAAUAUAGUUCCAUCUUUUCGUUCACCAGAAAAAGUUAAUGGACUCAUGGCCCAAUUGUGUCCAGGACAAUGGAAAGUAAGGCGACACGCUGGCAACCAGAGUGGGAAGCAUUAGGAAUCGCAUAUUCGGAUCUCACAGUGAAAAGUCAGCUGGGUAACAAAUGGGAGCAGCAUACUGUUGCUCUCUGAAUUUUGUUUCUGAAAUACAUAAAACAGGAUCCGUUGUGUUUUUGCUAGCGUUGAAAGUUUUUGAACAAAGAUAAUAACAAAUAAAAUGAUCCUAAAUCCCAAACAACGAAUAAAACAUUGGCUUUUGUAUUCACUGUUCUGUGCUGAAACACAAACGAAUAAAGCGAUUAUUCUAGCAGACAAGCAAUCAAUCCUCACUGAGGUACCUCAAUCUCAACUAAACUAGUACCUCGAAUCUCAACUACACCAUGUUCAAUAAUUGUUGAAUAGCUGUUGGGUAGCUGCUUCUGCAUUUCGCGGAUUCACUAUGACUCUCGAGGGAGCUGGUGCCACAACCGGAAGCAGCACCUCGUUUACUAGAUAGCUUCAGCAUCGUGUUGCAGUGGUUGCAUGCCGCGUACAUAAGUUGCGGAUUUUUUGGUGUAUAUCUUGGUGAAGCUGUCCCAUUGGUCUGCUCUCGGGCCAACCGGACCAUCUAAUGAUGAAAGAAAGAAGGGAUGUCAAUAAUUAUGUGCUUGUAAUAGCUCUCCGCAAGGAAGAAAUCAAUCCGUCUAAGUAAGACCGUGUUGUUACUCUGUAGCGAGUACAGCUUACCGAUGAUGUAGUCUUUCGUGUUGAGAGGGCCCUCGUCUGCGCAUCAUAUAAAUUGACAUGAUCGAUUUAUAUUACGAUAACAUAUAUGAAUUUCUCCGUUCUAUAAUGUAACAGCGUUUUUGACAAUAGUGAGAGUAUAAGAUUUGCAUGAGAAAGAGGAUAAGAAGGUCACUUACCUGUUCCUUUCCUCUUCCUCUUCGGGCCGGCCUUGUUCUUUCCUUCCAGCGGGUAGAUGUGGCAUAAGGACAGAUCCUCCUACAGUGAAAUAGAAGAGGAGUAGUCAAAAUAUAAUUUGAGUUCAAGAGAAGGAGUAGUUAAACAUGUAUAAUUUCAUAAAGAAAACAAUAAUUCCCAAGGUAAGCGUGCUUCUUACCUCCAGAUACAAUCCAGGUCGAUCUUUCAUGGUCCUAAGUAGGUUGUACCGUGUCAUGCCAACAACGGCGUUGGUGCCAUCCGUGGGUUUGAACUCCAUCGUCGUCUUGGUCCCCACGAAUUUAGGGGAGUUGGGGGAAUUACCUUGGGAGGUGUUAGGGAUCGCGAACAUAGUUUCUUUGUGCCACUCCCCGAAACUCGCGUAAGCCGCCUUCCUGAUUUUAUUCGCCGCCGCCUCACGCAGCGAGGCGGUCUCUGUAUCAAACCCCUCCUUCACCCUCGCCUGCCUAAAGAAGUAAAACUUGGAUAGGCCGACGCCGGGGUUGCCCAGCCGGUAAACCUCCAUCUCCUCCUUCCUCAUAUGGGAUAUUGAGGUGAGGUUGGAUACCAACUCCUGGUCGCUAGUCCUAGAAGGAUCGAUGAACUCAUCCAGGGAGUAGAUAUCACCGAAGGAGGAAUUGGGGAAGUAUUUCUCACAAAAGGAUUCAACGCUUUCCAUCGGAGCCUUUGGAUUUCUAUUCAGGAUCAAAGCUUGGGGGGUUAGGAUUGGGGAAGAGGAAGCCGAGGAGGAUGAUUGACUCUGGCGAUGGGGCUGGCCUGUGCUGAAUCCUGAUCUGCUGUGGGAAGCGGGGCCUGAUAUAAAGUAAUAGGGUGAAGAGUCGAAGAGGGUGAGCAGACGUUCGGGUACCCGGCCUACUGGACGUCUCACUCUUAUCUUAUGCCAUUACUAGCUUUGACCGGGCGAGGGUGGCCUCCUCGCGUGUGCUGAUUGUCCUUUUUUUUUGGUAAAUGCUUUGCUUUAACGCGGAGUUCAGGAAUUACAUGUAAAUCAAAGGGUUGUAGGAGCCACAUAUGACGUCUUUCCCCCAAAUGCAAAGCAUGCUUAGCUAAGAGAUGAGCUUCCCUAUUAGACACUCUCCCUUCAUGAACAAAAGAAAUAUGUUGAAAAUUUGAAUUGCCAUCCUUAACUUUGUUCAUUAUUGGGCCUGUCAUUCCAUGUGUGCCCGAGUGACGAGCGUGGCCGGCCACACGCUCGCACACGGACUUUCACAGACUGGACUACAUGCCCGACUCUAAUUGGGCCCCCCAUAUUUUAACUGGUGGGCCUGCCUUGCUUAAUCGAAUCACACGUAAUCAAAUGUUAACCACCCUGUAAUUCCCCUGUAAACGUCCGUGUGUCUUUUUUUUUUUUGAGUGUAAACGUACGUGUGUGUCACCUGCUCGCACCAGGCAUGCCGAAAACGAUCAUACCCGUCCUCCGAUUUUAUUUAUGUGCACAUGUACGACUUCCCUCCGCCCCUACUUCUUUAUUUCAAGAAUUCCAAAAGUAUGCCACUGUUCAAUUCUUUUUUUUGACGGUAUAGCAGACAAUCAUACACAGGUACACUCAUCUUUAUAUACGCGCACACGCAUAUCGAGUUAUCCACGCAAAAAACAUCGCAAUUAGGACUAGGGUAUCAUAUUUGUGUUCAACAACGAAACUGGCUGAUUGGGCCCACCUGUCGGGCUCACAUCGCAUGCUUAUGUGGAUUAUAUGUUGAGUUAGAUGAGAGACCCGUGUGUCAAUGACUCAAGUACUUUUUUUUCACCUUUUCUUUUUUAUAUCAUCCUCUUUUUCUCUAUGGGCAUUUAGCCAAAUAUGUUAAGAACAUCUCCAGCCAUUCGGUCCCUAGUGGCCCGAAAUACCAUCGGCUAGGGAUCCGUCGGCGCAAAAAACGGGUGGGGGGGGGGGGGGGUCGGCGUUCCUAGCCGCCCACCCAAGGGCGCUCCAAGCCGUCGCUUUCGGCCCAGUUUCGACGCAAAUUUGGCCUGUUUUUUACCCAUAUUCGACAUUCUUCGGCACAAAUUAAACAACAAUAGUUAUUUUUUAUCACAUAGUUCAUCAUAGAAAUCAAUACAAACUAAAAAAUAGUUUAACAAGUCAAUACAAAUCAAAAAACGAGCAAGGUGUUGCCCUUCAGCCUUCAUAGGUGCUCCACCAAAUCGUGCUGCAGUUGUUGAUGCACCUGUGGGUCUCGGAUCUCCUAACGCAUGUUGAGGAAGGCAGUCCAGGUUGCCGGUAGCUGGUGAUUAACUUAGGCAAGAGGACCUUGCCUGUAAUAUUGUUCGGUGUCAAACACUGGCUCCUCCUACUCGCUCUCAUUGAUCAUGUUGUGCAAGAUGACACAGCAAGUCAUGAUUUUCCAUAUUUGAUCUUUCGACCAGGUCUGAGUGUGGUACCGGACAACCGCAAAACAAGAUUGAAGCACACCAAAUGCCCGCUCGACAUCCUUCCUGCAAGCUUUUUGAUGCUUGGCAAAAUAGGAGUGCUUGCCUCUUGGUGCAGGAUUUGAGAUAGUCUUCAUAAAUGUGGACCAUCUCGGAUAGAUGCCAUCUGCUAGGUAGUAUCCCUUGUUGUAGUAGUGUCCAUUGACCUCGUAGUUAAACGGAGGAGCAUGACCUUCAACAAGAUUGACAAAGACAUUCGAGCACUGCAUUACGUUGAUGUCAUUGUGAGUUCCUGGCAUACCAAAAAACGAGACAUUUGAGCCUUUUUUUUUGCAGGUAAGCUUCUCUCGAAAUGGGAAGGACCUUAUAUCAUCGAAGAAGUAUAUCGCUCAGGUGCUAUCAAGAUGAACACAUGGUGUACAAUGUUACUCCUGGAGCUGUAAGGAGGAAUAAAAGGGCUCUAGGGUCUGUUCUCUUCCUCCGUAUUUGUGUGUGUGAAUGACUGAUCAAAUGACCAGACCACCUCCUUCGGAGGGCUAUUGGGAGCAUUGUUAAGGAAAUCGGUAGCUGGUAGCUGCUCGAUCGGCUUGGGAGUAGCGAUUAAUCGGUGAAUCGUCCUAUUAACUGGAUUAAUCGAUCGACCAUUAAUCGAUAGAUUAAAUAAGAACAUGUGAACAUAUUCUAGUUUUUUUAUGCAUUAUACCCUACUCUCAUCCUCUCAGCUAUGAGAUAUACCAUAAUAGGCUACUGUUUGAUCAAAUCCUAUCUAUUGAGGAGCUAGAGGAGGAUUGGAGAGGUUACAUGCCAAAAUAUUUGGCCUAUUUGGCCCACGAGUUUGUAGGCCAUUUAAGAUUAAUCGGCCUCACAAUCUAUUAAUCGAUCUAACAUGCCAUUUAAUCAGCUUGACAAGCCAUUUAAUCGGCCCGACAAGUUAACGCGAUGAAUAGGUGUUAUUCGAAUCGGCCACACAAUGAGUAGCGAUUAACUGGCCCAUUAACUGAUUAAUCAGAUGAAUUAUUGAAAGUGACUGGGAGGCAUAUACUUGGGCCUCCCCGGCAAAAUAUGACGGCCCCCUCCUCUAUCGUUUCCGGCCUCCAGUGGGGACCGUCGUUGUGGAGUCCUCUCGACCAUUUGGCACGCCGGUUGUCGGGUCCCAUUGACUGUGGGGGCUGUCGACUGUUCAGUCUUUGUAAUUGCCAACCCCAUCACAGGCCUGAUCAUUUGGAAGAAGUUCUUACGCCUUCUACCGUUGGUCCGAGCAUGGACGGGCUUGGUGGUGGUAACUCCCAGACUGAUCCAAUUCAUACGCGAGCCUCCGGAAAACCCUCUCCCACUCUGAGAAAUAAGGACUUCCCUCAGAAAGGUCGAGACGCAAGAUAAUCUCCUUGGCGGUGCGUGCUUUUUCUUGAUGUAAUUAGAUUAAGAUAAUGGAAAUUAUAAGGGAUUUGUGUGUAUGACUCAUUUACUGCUGAUAACCAUGUGUUCACAUACCCUGACCAAAUCCUGAAUUUAUCUAAUUUUAGUGAUGAAUUUGUCUGUCCAUAAUAACGAGAGCAUAUGAAAGCUGUUCUUGUGAGUUGCUAAUCAUUAGCAACGGGCGCCUUGUACUCCCCAUAACAAAACAAAUCUUUUUUUAGAUGGGAGGGAGGACAAAAAAGGUCAGCUCUCUGGACUCUUUAAGGAAAAAAUCCUGCUGGACUCUCGAGACGGAGGAAUCUGGUCGUCACACUCACAGUACGCCGGGUACCCGCUCCCGGACAACUACUUCCUCUCAAAUGAAACUACUCCUUUGUUCGCUAUCGAAGAGCGGCAGGCCGUCCGAUGAAAUUCCAACGGUGCAGCUACGACUACAAGCUUGGUGUGUCUCCACGUUGAUAGGUGUUGAACAUUUUUCUUCCUAACACAACACAAAUGCAAGUGUUUGUAUACACAUCCAUGCAUUCACCGCUAUGAACGAACACACACCGUACCUCUAUGAACACUCCCACGAAAGACUGAGCCGGCAUAUCGUCUUCAGAUUUUAAAAGUCACCGUAGACUUCUCGUCGUCGACGGAAACACCUCGUUUCGCAUCGUCGAAAAUACUGAAAUAAAUUUAAAAAUAAAUGCCGGACAGGUAAGAAAGCACGGUACGGCUCCACGUUUUCUUUCUUAUUUCGCCAUGCUGUAGACUGUAGAGUACAUAUGAAACGGGCUAUGAUUGUAUGUAGCUGCACGGUUGGAUCUCCAUCGGACGGCAUGCCGCUCGUCUUCGCCAGCGAAAAAAAAGAGUGGGUGUGCGGAGUGGGUACGUACCCGGCGUAUUGUGCGCGUGACGACCAAAUUCCUCCGAAAGCUUUCUCUGCAGAGCGCAAAGAGCUCAGUUAAAAACAAGUCCAUGCUGCUGACCUUUGUUUGCUAUGGUGAGUCCGGGCCACCCGCUCGCACCGGCCACCGGUCAGAAACACAGAGCAGCACCGGGCGCCCGGUGCUAAGGCUUAGCAGCGCACAAUAACAGCUUAAAAAAAACCGGAGGCAAAAGAUUUACCUCAUUUAUUAAUUAAGAAAAAGUUAAGAGUUGCUUUUACAUCCAAAAACAAUAAGAUUAUUGUAGUGAUGAAGGACAGACAAAUUCAGGAUUUGAUCAGGGUUGGUGAACAUGGUUAAGGAGUCUGGAUCUCCACAGUGUAAUAGAAUCCCAGAUACGAGUAAUUUUUAGGAAGAUAACGUGGAAAUUAGCAUAGGCUAUAUGGAGAUAAAAGCGAUGCAAACAGUAGGACAGUGCACGACUGUUUACACCAAGAAAAGUACAAGCUGCAAAUACGAUUAAUAUAGAAACAAUAUUAGUAGUAUUGCCAGUGCAGUAAGAUUUAUUCAACAACAACCACCACAGUUACAGAUUUCUCCGAGGUAUAAGCUCAAGGAUUAUAAGGCGAUACUACAAACAUAAGCUGAAAGAAUAAAAGGGGCAGUGUACCAGACCACUGCUACAGUACAUACAAUCCAACAAGGUAAACUGCACUGCUAACAGUCGACCGAGCACAUCACGCGCAGAACGGAAGUUUAAAGAAGCAGCCGAGGCACCACUCAGCAACGUUCAGCACCGGAUCUUCAUCGUCUCGCGGCUGGGGAUUAGUCACCGGCGCCGGCGCCGGCGCCUCCCCCAUCCUCGCCUUCUUUACGAUGACGAUCAGCAGAGAGUAGAGGAAACAGGCAGCCAGGAACCCGACGACGCCACAGACAAGCCCGUUCUUGGUGACAUGAACGUGGUCUUGGGGCUGAUGAGCUGCUGAGGUGUGUACCGAGGGCCUUGGAAACGCUGUGGCUGCAGGUGGGGGCUCGUGGACUAACGCUGGAGGUGCGUGCGGGCUCCCAUGGAACGGUGCGAACAGGGGUGCUGGCUGUGGAUCGGCGUGUGCUGAGAAGGUUGGAGGCUCUAGAAAUGGUGUGGCGGAGGCCGGCGGCAAAGGACGUCCGGCGACGGCGAUGGCCAUGGUGAGAGACACGGCGACGAAGAUUGGAACAAGGUUUGCCAUGGCUCUGUUUUUCCUACUUGCGCACCUGCUACCAAAGGGUUGCGGAGCUGUACUCCUAUCGGUCACGUUUUAUACAGUAGGAAGGCGGGGGCAUGCAGCUAGCCGGGCACCCGGAGUGCAAUGUUGUCACUCGUCGAAGAGGCAAACGCGUGUCCGUGGUGAAAUAGAAGAACAAAGGUACGGGUACCCGCUUUGUUAUGGUGCCCGCGUCCACGGGGAAGAAAAAUGUACAGGGUACCCGGUCUCACAAACUCUGUUUUCACCUUCUAUACAUUAGGGCAUCCUUAAAUAAAACCCUCAAAUCGCCUGCAAAGUGCAAACGUCCGGAAAAAUGUUAUUCAGAUGUAUUUUGUCAACGUCAUCUCGCAUCGUCCGUGGACUAAUUUAUUCAUCUAUCUUUCUACAAACCGAAAGCAAACAUGAGGUUUUAUGAAAAACCAUUGCCACGUAGUACUCAGACACCCGGCCCACCCAAAACCUCUUCAAAACCCACGUCUCCAUCCCUCUCAUAUUCCUCUACAUCCGCUUCCUCCCUCGCCGACACCGCUGCUCUACCACCCGGCUGCCCGCCAAUCACUACCUUGACAUUCACGGCCUCCACCGCUGCAACCGGUCGCCACACCGCUUGUCCUAGCCGCUGGUCCACACCCCUCGACGUCCGUCGAGCAUGUAGCAUAUGCCCCAUGGAGGUCACCACGCCCAACAAAUGUUUGGUGAAAUGUUCGUGCUAAACUUUUUGUUCCUUAUUUUAUGCAAUGGAUUCAGACAUAAAGUUCAUGCACAAGUAAUAUGUUGAGUCGUCUGAUGAGAAGGAUUAUGCGGAUGAAUCGAAGAUGAUGAAGUCAGUCCCUGCGGACGCAGAGCGUGCGGAAUAUCACGUUCUCAGUUUCAAGGGAGCAAUCAAGGGUCGUCGAAUAUUGGAUCAAAACAGGGGACGUGAGGUUUGAUGUUGUUGGACUACUACUUUGCCCCGAUGCCCCAUUCACGGACAAUUGUUGCCAACGCUCUCGCAUGCCAAAAUAAUAUCCCCGCCCCACUCUACAAUACUAAUGACUACUUCAGGUUGAGGUAGGGUGUUUAUGAAGGAUUGGAUUCUCUAGUUAACAAAAGUGCACGAGUGCAUUGUAGAUGCUUGCAUAUGGCACGACCACAGGUUGAUCGGACGAGUGCAUCCGGAUGUCUGAGAGCACAUGCGGAGUCGCCAUGGUCAGAUUUUCUACUACGGUUGUUAAGGUGUUUGGACCUAAGUACUUGAGAGAACCAACCGCCGCAGACACCGAGAGGAUCUUGGUAAUACCCACACAAUCUGACAUUUUCUAGAUCGUAACUUGCACAUCUACCCAUAGAUCGCUCAUAAUGCCACUGUUAGGAAAUGUAAUAGAAAAAAAAAUUGACUAUAUCGCCGAGAAACGUAAUGCACCCAGCGACUAUCACCCACUCCUCGUCGUCGCUACACCAGCGACUAUAUCGCCAGCUCUUCUCAUCGUUGCACCACCCAACGACUAUAUUGCCCGCCCCGAGGCACUAGUGGGGUCGCCACCCCGGAGCAAGCGCAGCCUCACCUCGACCUUGCUCUGAUACUAAAUGUUGAAACUCGUCCACGGAUCAAUCACAUCAAAUCACGACAACACGCACACAUAAAAUCUUAUAGCCAAGGGCCCUUGUCGUGUCCUAAUUUUUCCUCUUUAGUUUCUCCUUUUUUUCAACUCACGAUAUUGCAAAUCUGAAGACGUGCUCGUGCUCAUAUACACACACGCAGCACCUGACCCAACAUGAAUCGGUGAUGGACUCAAUCACAUAUUCGUACUAGUAUCCAGCCUAGCCUAAGCAAGGUAGGACACGGCACAACUAAUCAGCAAGGAAAACUAUCAUGGACGCUUACACUAUCCUAACUAGCCGGAUACAAUUUCUAAACUUAUACGUGCAUGACCAGUCCUACUAUUACUUGGAUUAGGACACCCAAAACCAUCGUCCAAGAUGUCAACUGCAACAACAACAUGCUCAUAGCUGCACGGUUUGAUCUCCAUGCAUAUGGGACGGCCUGCCGCUCGUCUUGGGUACUCUAAAAGAAGAGCAAGGUGUGCGGGUGCGGGUACCCGGCGUAUUGUGACUUGUGAGUCGUGAGGAACAAAUUCUGACCGGGCACGGAAGCUAUCUUCACGGAGCUGACUCUGUUUGGCGUUCCAUCGAAAAGAGCUUAGUUCCUGAGACAGAGAGCAGUACCGGGCAGCGGCCGGUACUAAUGAUUAGCAGCUCUGGAGAACAAGUUCUGCCUAUUCUAGCGAUUAAGAACAUACAAAUUCACCACUAAAAAUAGUUAAAUUAAGGAUUUGGUUACUGGUUAGCGUUUGUGAACAUGGUUAUGAGCAGUAGUAAACAGGGUCAUGCACACAAAUUCCGUAGUAACUUCCAUCAUCCUAAACGAGUUACACCAAGAAAAAGCACACCUUGUAAACACGGCUAAUACAAGAUCGGUAUUGCUAGUGCGGUACGAAUGUAUCCAACAACAACCACCGUUACAAAUAUCUGCGAGGUAUAAGCACAAUGUUUAAGAUGCGAUGCUACAAAUACAAGCUGAAUAUAUAAAAGGGAUGUCUGGUAAUAUGCCACUGCUACGGUAGAAUACAUACAAUCCAACGACAAAGUUACUGCACGAAGCAGACGAGGCACCACCAAAGCGUCUUCCUCUUGCGGUUGCGGAGCAGUUGCCGUGGCCGGCUCCGUCGUGGGAACGGAAUCUCGAUCGGGCGGCUGCAGCCCGUCUUCGGCAGCGAACAAAAGAUAGGAGCGGGUAACCGGCCGGUUGUGACGUGACGCCCAAAUUUCUCCGAGUCCAGAGCUAGAUGCCUGUUCGGCAUCGCUCCCUGAAGCUGGGCGAGCGGAGCGCACUUAGACCAGCUCCCGGCGCCUAGAUAUCUCUCCUCCGACGCGGAGUCACCGAGCUGCCUAGAUAUUUAUAUCUCCUCCGACGCGGAGUCACGGAACGGAGGGCUAGAUAUCUCCCAGUUUUAAAAGAAAAGGUCGAGAGAGCUGACCAUUGUUUGGCUUCCCAUCUAAAUAAAAAAUACAAAAGCUUUGCCUUGCAACGGGGAGUCGGCGCACCCGUUUGCCAGCAGCUAUCAAAUACUAUCUCCAUCACGUUUUUUUCCUUAGGUUUAAGACGCGUUGCAUUUAUUCAUAACAGCUAAUUAGUACUCUGUUGUAAUACUUCUAUAUGCAUCCGUAGUGUGAAUGUUAUUUUUUAACUUAUUUCACAAUCAAUCAACAACCACCUAGGUCCUAAAGAAUUUUCAUACACGUCUUUUAAACCGUGACAGAGGAAGUAACAGUUUUUUAUUAUAUAUUCUAAUGAGUAGCUAGGAACACACAAGCCUAGGAUUUGGUCGGCGUUUAUGAAUAUAUUUAUGAACAGUGAUGGAGCCACGAUCUCGACACAACCAAGCGAAAACACGCAUCAACCAAGCGAAAGCACGCAUCAUAAACACGGCUAAUACAAGAUCAAUAUACAUGAUAUUGCUAAUAUCUAUAGCUCAGACGCCCAGACAGACGAUCCGGUCAUAAAAUUUCAAUCUAGACGGGUGUUUGAAACGAGCCUCAAACGUACGAACUGUCCGACACCCUUCAUAUCUAGCCCAAAUAUAAGAGGGAUAUGAGGCAGCCCGGAUGUGCUCGGGCAUGUCCGUCACGUCACCCCGGCCCACCCCGACCACAUUCCGUCCCCCACAAAUAUGCCCAAUCCAGAAACCCUAUCUCGGUUCCGUCUAUUCUUUUCCUCUGAUUUCUUCGAUUUCAUCCACUCCAACUACUUCGGUGACCAUGUCGAGCUCCGGCAGCUGCUCUGACUCCGACAUCGACAUCAGCGAGGAGCUGGUCUUCCGCACUGCCCUCGAGAGGUCCAAGGUGGACAUGGGGGUAGUUUCGAAUAUGCUGCCUCACCUCUCCCUCGCCGGCGCCGCGAGGACAUCGGUUGUGGCACCUCCCGGCCCACGCGCGGCUUCACGCCUCCCCACCCCGUCUCGUGCCCCCCGUCGCCCGCUGCUCCACGUGGGCAGCGGUGGGUGCUAGUUCUCGCACCGCCGGCCCGGACGGGCACUCCGAAAUCGAAGGCGCGCGCUACCUGCCAUAGGAGGCAGUGAGGAAGGAAGACAAAGGCGGCGAAGCUGUCCGUGCGCCGCCAACGCUGGUUGCCGGCAGAGCCCGACGAGGACGAGCGGCUCCUCUUGGGUCUACCAUCGGUCGCUUAAAACGACAGAGAUGGAUGCUCGGCGGCUACGUUGGAAGAACGCCUAGGCGCUCCGGCUUGCCAUUGAGCAGUCGGAGCGCGAGGCGGCGAAGGCAGCGGCCAGGGCGGCUCGGGUGGCGAAGCUCAAGCGGCAGCAGGACAAGGUCGUCCGACAGCUCAAAGGGUUGUCCAUCCUCUUCUCCUCCGACUCCUUCGACGACGAUUACCACAACGCCUCGUUCGACAACUCGGACGAUCCUCCACCAGUGGUUGACGCCUACAACAACGUCGUCAACCGAAAAGGGAAAAGGCCGGUGAGGAAGUGGUGAAGAUUCGUCUUCUUUACCUCAAUUCCAAGUUUUUAGAUAUAGUUUGAAGUUUUGAACUUGUCCAUCGUAUUAUGUGCAUUGUAUGAACUUUGGCUAUCUUUUGAAGAUCCAGCUGUGAUCUUUUGCUCAACGGAUUGUGCAUUUGUAUGUCCGCUCAUGAUCUACGUAGUAUGGAUAUAGCGGAUCGGAUAUGAGAUACGUGAAUGCGGACGAGGAAAUUUAAGAACUGACCAGAUCAGUGUUCGCGGAUACGCAGGGCUAGAUUUGCCAUGUCCGAUUGUAGAUGCUGUCAUGGAAAAAAGUUUUUGUAUAUUCUGUUCAGUAGCUAGGAACGGACAAGUUCAGGAUUUGAUCAGGGCUUGUGAAUAUGUUUAUGAGCAGUGAUGGAGCCAGGAUCGCGACACAACCAAGCGAAAGCACGCCUCAUAAACACGGUUAAUACAAGAUUAAUAUACAAAGUAUUGCUAGUGCAGUACACAUUCGUUCAACAACAGCCACAGUUACAAAUAUCUCCGAGGUAUAUAAGCUCAAUGACUAAAAAACUCUACUACAAAUAAAUAAGCUGAAUAUGAAAGGACAUGUAUUGUACUACUGCUACGGAACAUGCUAUUCAAUAACAAACUUGCACCCCUAACAAUCGGCCGGAAACAUCACGCGCACAAUGGAUGUGUAAAGAAGUAGCCGGCAACGUUGAGCACGGAUCUUGCGGCUGUGGAUCAGUCGCCGGCGACGGGGCCCUCGUGUUCAGUGAGCGCUUUAUGAGGCCUUCCGUAAUGGUAGUAUCUUGGCACAAUAUCAUAGGCAAAAUGCUGACGUGGCACUAUAUUUAUUGAGGAAAGAGGAGGUUGUUGUAUCUUAUUUAGGAUACGGCUCUUGCACGGUAUCAUAGCAAAAUAACUUGUUAGAUCAAUCACAUAUUAGUAUGAGGCCAAAAUCAUUAAAUACAUGCUUACUAAGAUACGACACUUAACAUACAAUACAUUAGGAUGGUUGUAUCUAACGAUCGUAUACUACCUAGGAUACCGCGCUAAGAGACAAUGCAUUACGGAAGGCCUGAUCACAAUCAGCAGAGAAUAAUAGAUGCUUCGACAUACUCUGUCUUAUACCGUAGGAAGGGAGGCUCAUGCAGCUGGCCGGGUACCCGGGUGCAAGGCUACUCAUUGGAGUGGAAGAGGUGAAACGCGGGACGACGAAAGCACGGGUGCCUGCACUGCUUUGGUGCCCACGCCCAUUGCGAAGAAAAAUGUACAAGGGCGCGGGUACCCGGCGAAAGCGAUGGGCGUAGUGAGAAGUAUUAGGCAUGUUUGGUUCCUUGGCUCGCACUUGCAUCGCACCCAUCAUGUAAUAUUCGCGACGUUUCGUAGGUUGCACGUCUCUCUUGGCCAGGCCCGGCUGAUGCAAAAUAGACCCCUGAGCCAGGCUGAGCUCGCACACAGGGAUCGGCCGUUUCAAUGAGCCUGUACCCGGGCGUGCAAAGUCUCUAGCUAGGUUUCCUCCCCAGUCUAUCGUCUCGUAUUUCCCUUGCUCUCCCCGAAGCUCUCUCCUCUGGUGCAACGCAAGUGGAUCCCGGCCGCAUCUUCGUCGCCCUUGUUGGCAUCUCGUCACCGGUGGCAAGGCAUCUGUCCUUCUCUAUCCCCCCCCCCCCCCAUUUGCGUCCCAAGCUAUGGCCCUCCUUCCUGUCUCCCAGCAUGGAUCUCGUCGUCGUCCUCGCCCCCGCCUCCCCGCGGAUCUGACCCUCAGAGCAAGUACGGGACUACGGCGGAACGUACACAGCGCACCCUCACUCGCAGCCACCCACUAGUUCUGGUUGUGAGAGUUGUCUGCCGCUUGAUCCAGUUGUGUGAGGAAGCAAGGGACCAGCUGCAAAUCCAGUUGCUACGGAACAUGCUAUCCAACAACAAACUUGCACCGCUAACAAUCGGCCGGAAACAUCACGCGCACAACUGAAGUGUAAAGAAGCAGCCUAGGCACCACCCAGCAACGUUCACCGCGGGAUCUUGCGGCUGUGGAUCAGUCGCCGGCGCCGGGGCCCCCGCGUUGAGUGAGCGCUUUAUGAUGACAAUCAGCAGAGAAUAGAGCAAACAUGCCGCGAGGAACCCGAUCACGCCACAAACGAGCCCGUUCGUUGUGACGUAGGCUGCCGAGGCCGGUACCGGAGGCGGGAGGAUCGCCGUGGCUGCAGUUGGGGGAUCGUGGGCAAAGGCUGGAGGUGCCAACAUGGGUGGUGGCCCGACGCGCGCUGAGAAGGUUGGAGGCUCGAGAAAUGGCAUGGUGGAGGCCGGCGGCAAAGCACGUCCGGCCUAGCGAAGGCGAUGGGCCUAGUGAGAAGUACGGCAAGGUUACUCAUUGGAGUGGAAGAGGUGAAACGCGUUUCCAUUAUGAAGUAGACUGACGAUGGCCUGCUGAGAAGAACGGCGAAGGCGAUGGGCCUAGUGAGAAAAGUACGACGACCUGAGCUCAAAAAUAAUAACUAAUUUAAAAUGAGCUCAGAAAAAGAAGUAUGGCGACCAAGACUGGGGGAAGGUGGUUUGCCAUUGGCUCUGUUUUUCUUUUCUGAGCCGCUGUUAUCAAAAGGGUCGUCCGUUUUAUACAGUAGGAAGGCAGCUGGCCGGGUACCCGGGUGCAAGGUUACUCAUUGGAGUGAAACAGACCGACGAAAGCACGGGUGCCCGCUCUGCUUUGGUGCCCACGCCCAUUGCGAAGAAAAAUGUACACGGGCGGGUACCCGGCCCCAGAUACUCUGCUUUCGACUUGUAUAUUAAAUUAUGAACUUAAACUUCAUUUCCGGUGGAUUAGGUGUAGAGCAGUACCCCUCCGUCCUAUAAAUAAGAGUAUCCUUGACAUGUUAGAAAUACUUUUAUGUUAAGGGACGAAGGAAGUACAAUAUUAUAUUAAAAAUAAUAGUAACAUGGACAAUUUCCCCAUCAUAUAUUAAUCAAAAGAAAGCAAUGUCGUCUUGAACAAACCAUGGCUCUGGGUAUUCCUUUUUGCAUGUAUCCAAAAAUAAAAUGAUAUAUAAAAUAAAAUAAAAUAGGGUAUGCUUGGAACACAUCACAUAGUUAUUGCACAUCUAAAUGACUCAAUCAAGCAUAAAAAGAAAAAGAAAAAUAAUAUGGGACGAAUAUAAGGGUGGCCCGGGUAGCCCGUCGGCUUGGCCCACCCCCACCUCUCAAAUAUCACCAUAUGACAAACCCUAGAUAUCGGUCAAUCCAAACUCCACUCCACUCCCAUCUUCGUCCACCCCACUUUCGAUCCCAUCCCCUUCGAUCCGAUGGUCGGUGACGGAAGCAGCAGUGGCUCCAGCGGAGAAUCCGAUGCCUCGAUCAUCGAUGUGGAAGAGCUCGUCCUUCGCGUCGCCAUUAGGAGGUCACUGCUCGACCAAGGCGGCCCCGGCACCGGCGGAUCUUCCCCAACGCCCGUCGCUUGUCGACGCAACACCCACGACGUCGCAAACCCUUCCCGCCCGGCACGCAACUCCGCUCCACUCCUUCAGGUACGCCGUCCACCUUCACCAUCCUCUGGUCCGGAACUGGUACCGUGGCACCGCUGGGUCCUCGUGCCUGCGUCGGGGCCGAAGCGCACGAGUACGUCCGAGUUUGAGGCACGUGCAGCCACGCGCGAGCGGCAGCGGGCGAGGGAGAGGGGGAGGCGAUGUCCGCACGCCAUUAGCGCAUGAGCGCCGGUGACGUCGCCAACCUUUCACGCACGACGCGCAGCUCCGCUCUGAUAGGUCCGCUUCGCUCCUUCAUGUACGACGUCCACCUCCACCACCCUCUGGGCCCUCGUGCCCGCGCCGCGACCGGGGUGCACGAGUACGCUCGAGUCCGAGGCACGUGCAGCCCGACACGAGCGGCAGCAGGAGAGGGAGAGGGGGAGGCAUUGUCCGCACGAGCGCGUCGGCCGACCCCCGAGGACGUGCUCCUCGCGCCGGUCCUCCACCGCUCUCUCACGACAGGGGAGACGAAUGUCUGGUGCCUCCGCCGCAAGAAUACCAAGGCGCUCCGACUCGCCAUCGAGUUAUUGGAGCACGAGGCAAACAGGGAGGUGGCGGCCAAGGCAAAGGCGUCCCGCCAUGCGAAGGAGCACGACCGCCUGCUCCACAGGCUGUCGGGUAUGAGGUGCAGCUCCGACUCCGACCUGACGGGCGGCUCCACCUCCAGCUUCGAUGACGACGGAUGCUCCGCGCGCCGGCGUCCACACGGAAGAGAGGCACAACCACGCCAACAUUUGGAACGGGAAGGGGCCGGCGAGGAAAUGGUGAUUUCCUUCGCCCUUCCCUGUUCUGUUUAUAUUCUAACUAUGUUUUAAGUUGUUUGUAGUAUGGAUUUGCCUUUUAACUAUGCUCUUUUUUCCGGUGAUGUAAUGUUGAUCCGAUGAACUGUGUGUUAAUCUUGUUUUAUGUAGUGUUGCAUGAGUUGUAUGGUUUUAAGGGUUCAUAUAUGAGGGAUGCGGAUGUGAAAGCUAUAAAUAAAACGUAACUGAUUAGUGUCCGCGAACGUAUGAGGGCCAGAAUUCGCUAUGUUCGGUUGUACAUGCCCUAAACAAACCGAUAAACAAUUACAAUUGUCUAGUUUAUGANGGGAACCAGCUGCCUCCCGCGCGAGGUGGGAAGUGGAGUACGGGUUGGGGGCAGUUUUCUCUCCCAACCCUUACUUCUACAGGCUGGGAAAGGGUUUGAGGGUUGGACCUCUAAAUUUUUUACGGGUUUAAGGGUUUAAGGGUUUUAGUCUACGCCGUUUUUUCGAUGAAAACUGUAAAAAAACGGUUAUUUUUUAAGGGUUUGAGGGCUCUACUAGAAAUGCUCUAACGUCUUCCGCUCGCACAUUAGCAGGAACAUCACAAAACUCAGACGACUUGUAUCCUCUCCUACAUGAGACGAUCUCUGGUAGACCAUGAUUGUUACACCAACAUUGUAGGUCACUACCUCGGUGUACCUGGCAAAGCCGGGCCCGUAGGUCGCGUCGACCGAGCCUAAUAACUCGCGACAGCAUUAGAUUGCCACCCCUGCAAUCCAUAGCCGCAAGCCUAUCACAUAGAGCCGUGGCUAUGUCGCAUCUCAGACGGCCCAUCCAUGCUCAUCCGCCGUUACGGCUAUGAAUGACGACUUAUGCUCUAAAAUUUUAGCAUAGCACAAAAUUAGUUUGACUACUCACUCUUAAUUUAUUUGUCUUGAUGUUACUUACCCACUACAGCCGUGUCGAUCGACUACACCUUUUAUUUAGGCCACCUGCGACUGAUACCAACUCUCAAAUACUCCCAUGAUACCAUGUAAAAAAAAUUUAGAAUAUUCCAAAAAAAGUUGAAAGAAAUGUGAAUGUCAACAAGGAAUGUUCCUACAACCCCUACAAAUUUUAGGUCCAAAUUCGAAAUUCACAUGAGAAACAAAAAAAGACAAAUCCGUACAUGAAUAAUGGCAUCUUGACUUUUUGUCUUUUUGUGACACUAUACACGAUGGAUUUGUUUCUUUCUUCCCAAUAUGUUUUUGAAAUUUUGAUUUGACUUUUCUUUGGAUUGUACACUCGUGUGAUGUGAACAUCCAGAUUUUUUAGCGAUGGUAUCACCCAAAGGUUGGGAGCACAUGAUAUUCUCUCUAGGCGAUCCAACUUUGCAUCAAGAUCCAUGCAAUAUUUAUCUUUUUUUUGUUUCUUUCAAAUGAGAGAACGCUUGACUUGCAGGUCAACGCCACGCGGGCACACUGUUUGAAUAAAAUGUUUUUGAUUUUUCUUUAUGCAACAGAGAUUUGUCAAAUUAAAAAAUUCGAAUGAUUUUUAUCAUCUUAUAUAUUUCUAUAUGAAUUUUUAAUUUUGCUAACCUCAUGUACCAUGGGGUAUCAUCUUAUAUAUUUCUAUAUGAAUUUUUAAUUUUGCUAACCUCAUGUACCAUGGGGUAUCAUCUUAUAUAUUUCUGUCGCGUUACAAAUCCGCAACCAUGUUGUUUAAGUGAUAGCAAGUACAGUACAUUGCUUUAACGAAGAGGACGACUGUUGCUCUGAAUUUUGUUUCAGAAAUGCAUAAAGCGGGUCCGUUGUGUUUUCAGAAGUUUGAACAAGGGGAACAACGAGUAAAGCGAUACGGCGACACACCCGCUCUGUAUUCACUGUCCUCACUGAAACACAAAAGAAUAGCAGGAUUUACAAGGCGAGACGAGCAAUCAAUCCUCUUUGAGGCAGCUCAGUCUCAACCACACUACAUCUAACCUCAGCUAAACUACCUCUCAUCUGAACUACACCAGCUCUAAUUAUUCCGUGAUGCAAUCGGCGGAAUAGGCAUCGAUGAAGAGUUGCCGGGCAGCUGCUGCUGCUGCUUGGGUUUGCAUGGGCAGUGCUUAGGGUAAUGAUUGUUGAGGGAGCUGGUGGAUUGAUCUUUUAACUUCAACAUCGUGUUGCAGUGGUUGCACGCUCCGUACAUAACGUAAGGGUUUUUGGUGUAUAUCUUGGUGAAGUUGUGCCAAUGUUUUGAUUCUGGUCUCGGUCGCUUUGAGGAAUCAGUGGAGGGCAGAUCCGGAACAUCUAAUGAUGAAAGAAGGAUGUAAUGUUAAUGAUUAAUUGCUUGUUAGGAAGAAAUUGAUUCAUCUAAGUAAGAGCUUGUUGUUUGUCUGCAGCAAACUAGAGUUAAACUUACCCACGCCGUACUCAUCCACGUCCAUAGGUGAACGCUCUGUCGCAUCAUCUCUGGAAGCCACUUGGUCCUGUUCGUCCCACGGGAGAAUGAAAGGGUCAGCUGCACGUGCUCCUGUAAAUUUGCAAGAUGGAAUUAUAACGGUAAUAUAUAAAUGAUUUGCGCGAGAAAGAGGAUAGGAAGCUCAUUUACUUUUUCCCUUGGGUUUGAUUUCCAGCGGGUAGGUGUGGCAUAAAGACAGUUCUUCCUACAAACAGUAAAAAAGAAGAGGAGUGGGUUGGUAAACAUAUAUAACUUGAAAAGAAGAACAUGAAAUUCCAAGAUAAACAUGCUCCUUACAUCCAGAUACAAUCCACGGCGAUCUUUCAUAGUCAUAAGAAGGUUGUACCGCGUCAUGCCAACAACCGGCUUGGUGCCAUCCGUGGGUUUCAACUCCAUCGUCAUCUUGGUCCCCACGAAUUUAGGGGAGUUGCUGGAAUUACCUUGGGAGGUGUUAGGGAUGGAGACCAAUUUUGUAGGCGACCAAGUCCCCUGAUCCGUCUUCCAGCCUUCCAUGUGCUUGAUUAAGCACCAGAGCUCCAGUCGCUCGAUCAUUAGUCUGAGCUCGAGGCCGUCGGGGAAGGUAGCUGCUUCUGAGAACAGAUAUCAGCUGCUGGUCGCUACAUCUGGGAAGGUCUCGAGUCUGACUCUCAGGGAGGUAGUAGAUCUCAGCGAUGCCUGCCAUCGAAGCGUUGGGGAUUCGAUUCGGGACCUCUCGAAGGAGCUCUUGUGCUACGGGGAGCUAGGAUUGGGGAAGAGGAAGGCGGGGAGGCGUGGUUGACUGUGGAGAUUGAUGAUGCAGCAAUGUUUUGCUAUCGGGAUUGGGGAGGUGUGCUGCGAAUGGAGCGGCCAGGUCAGGUGGUAUAUAUGGACCAAAGACGGCCGGCCGGGCAGAGCCAAGGUGCGGGUACCCGGCAGGCGNCGAUCGCAAUCCCUAUUCGACGCUCGUGAGCGUCAAAAGGGGGCACGCAGCUUCGCUCAAGCUUGAUCUCAAAUUCGCGAGGCUGGUUCGUUUCCUUUCUGUUUCUUUUUUGUCUUUUCUUUUCUUCUUUCCUUUUUAUUCUUUCCUUUUCUGCUUCUGUUUCUUUUUUUUAUUUUAUUUCCUUUUUCAUGCAUAAUGAAAGGUUCAUUCUUCUUUGGAAAAAGAGUUCAUUCCGUGUUUAUACACAAAAAUGUUCAUCUUAUUCCAAACAAAAAAAUGUUCAACUUAUAUUUAACGAGUCUUCACCCCAUAUUACGAAAAUGCUUAACUUAUUUUUAAAUUUGCUCAUUGUGUAUGCUAAAAUUGUUCAGCGCAUAUCACAAAAUUGUUCAAUGUGUAUUUAAAUAUUUGUUUCAUCUUAUGUCACAAAAAUGUUCAAUGUGUACUUAAAUAAUGUUCGCAUUGUAUAAAAAUAUGUUUGAAGAUUGUUCAGAGCAUAUUAAAAUGUUUAUCGUACAAAAGUUUCAACAAUCUUUUGGAAUUUUAAAAGUGUGUUCACAUUUUUCAAACGUUUGUUCACUGUAUGUAAAAAAAUGUCCAUUGCCUAUACGAGAAUUGUUCAGUGUGGAAAAAAUAGUUCACCAUAUAUUAAAAAAUGUUCAGUUGAUAUUUGAGUAAAGUUCACCAUAUACUAAAAACGUUCAAUAUGAAGUUUUAAAUUCAUUCUAUUAAAAUAUUGUUUGGAAUUUUCACCUUAUUUACAUUGUGUCUUGUUCUUAUAGUGGUGCACUGCAAUGUCGACACAGAAGAGCAUCAGCUCGACUAGUUAUACUCGCAUGCGUGUAACGAGAGGUCCCAAGUUGGAUUUUGCCGGUCAUUUGUUUUUGGUAUAUUUUGGCGGUUCGAGAUGUAAUGGGCCAGCCCAAUUUAGGGAGUCCGGAACUAAGGGGUCCUCUAUCGGUUAGCUCAUCCCUUAUAGGCCGAUCAUAUGGACCGCGUUGUUGAAGAUCAGAUUGUGUGACGACCUCAUGCUUGAGAAAGAAUGUUCCGAAGACUGUCAUGUCAUCCAAGCAAAGUAGUCUAGAUCGUCCUAUCUGUCCCCUGCUGGAGGUCGUUUGUAUGUAACCCUAGGAACCCCUGGUGUCUAUAUGAACCAGAAGUUCUCAUCCGCAUUGGAAGGUUGAUUAAUAUAGGGUUUAGCUCAUACGAUCUCAGAGAGAUCAACUCUGUAAUUCUCAUCCACAUCAAUAUAAUCGAACAGGACGUAGGGUUUUACCUCAUCAAGAGGGCCCGGACCUGGGUAAAACAAUGUCUCCUUCUUCUCGUGUAACCUAUCGAUCCAUGGUCCACAGAUCGGGACCCCCUACCUGAGAUCCGCCAGUUUUAACACCAGUAUUGAUGAUUUCAUUGAGAGUUCUGCUGUAGGAUCGCCAGAAGGAUCGAUGGUUAGCUUAAUCAUCAGCAAUCGAAUCAGCAACGGGGACAUCUUCGUUCCCGGACAGGUUCUUGCGUUCGGCAGCUUCACACUGCGCGCCAACCCGACCGACUGUUUUGACCAGAUCGGAGGCUUCGUCUCGAGUCAGGAAAUAAGGUUUGGGAAUCUCGAAUUCUCCGCCGACUCGCGGGGCAAUCUGUUCCCCGCUAAGAUCACGGUUUCGUCCGAUGAGCUCCAAAAUCUCGAAGCCUUGACUUCGAGUCUCUUGUCGGGCCAUGACCUCGGUUCCCUCGUUGUCGAAGAGUUGGCCUUGAGCCCGAACCCGACCUAAGUGCGCGCGCAACAGCAAACGGUCAUUGCCGAACACGCAUCCCUAAAGUGGCAUUGAACUGCGACAGACGCGUCUUAUGGUACCGAGUCGUUACAUGGUGGCAAAGUGUGGUAGCUCCUUGCAAUUAACUCCAGGUGUCAGGAUCUAUUCGUCCGAUCAAUUUCCAUUUUUUUUCUUUAAUCUCUUCCUUUCCAUUUAAACAUAAUCAUAUAAAAUUGCAUGAUUGGUUGCGGGAGCAUCAAUAAGAAGAAUAUACGAAAGCGCAUGCUAAUACACAAAUAUCAUCGACCGGCCCUCCCGUGUCAAAUUUAAAGGUUGGUUGAAACAUGUGGUGCCGCCAUAGCUAUGCUUAUGCACGAAAAGUACCCAAUAAUCAAAAAUUAUAUGAUUUCAUAUCACGCUUACCACAAGUAAAACAGCAUAUAUUCACCACAACACAUUGUGCGCUGUGAGUAGAGGCAUGGCGAACUGCACAGGACAGAGUGUGCUUUUUAUUCGACUUCAUCUCCGACUAGAGCGUGUGGCAUGCCAUCGCCGACGGUCACCACGCGGACACCGGCCACCUCAGGCAUAGUUAUGCUUAUGAGGCUGUGUUGAGCAUGCUGCCACAGCCAGAGCCACAACCUGAACCAUGGCCACCAGAGUUGGCAUGGUUAGUCUCCCAUGAUCAUGCCACCACAUCCACCGCCACCGCACCCGGCGCCACAGCCUGAACCGCAGCCCCCAGACUUGGCAUGGCUCAUCUUGGAGCCUUCCAUGAUCAUGCGGCCACAUCCGCCGCCACCGCAGCCGGCACCACAGCCUGAACCACAGCCCCAGACUUGGCGUGGCUCAUCUUGGAGCCUUCCAUGACCAUGCCGCCACAUCCGCCGCCACCGCAGCCGGCGCCACAGCCUGAACCGCAGCCCCCAGACUUGGCAUGGCUCAUCCUGGAACCUUCCUUGACCAUGCCGUCACAACCGCCGCCACCGCAGCCGGCGCCACAGCCUGAACCACAGCCUCCAGACUUGGCAUGGCUCAUCUUGGAACCUUCCAUGACCAUGCUGCCACAACCGCCGCCACAGCCUGAACCGCAACCGCCUGACUUGGUGAAGCCAGUCUUGGAGCCUUCAAUGACCAUGCUGCCGCAGCCACCGCCACAGCCUGAACCGCAACCACCUGACUUGGCAAAGCCAGUCUUGGAGCCUUCCAUGACCAUGCUGCCGCAACCACCGCCGCAGCCAGAGCCGCAGCCUGAGCCACAACCACUAGACUUGGUGAAGCCACAACCGCCUGACUUGGCAUGGCCAGUUUUGGAGCCUUCAACCACCAUACCGCCACAACUGCCACCACAACCUGAACCGCAGCCGCUAGGCUUGGCAAUGCCACCCUUGGAACCUUCAAUGGCCAUGCCGCCACAACCUCCACCACCACAACCUGAACCACAGCCACCAGACUUGGUGUUCCCCUCCUUGGAGCUUUCAAUAACCAUGCUGCCACCGCAGGAACCGCCGCAUCCCGAUCCACACCCAGCAGACUCAAUAUGGCCAUUCUCUCCGCCUGCAACGACACCACAACUCGCAUGACCUUUCUUGUAGCUCAUGGUGACCACAGAGACACCACAUCCACCACCACAGCCUGAUCCACAACCACCGCACUUAGAAUCAGCCACCUUGCCGCUUGCAAUGACCGAGCCGGCACAGCUAGCAUGACCAGCCUUGUCACUUGCCAUGACCAUGUCGCCGCCACCGGCCGUGCCACAAGCGCCACAUUGUGCCGGACCAGCAGUGGCGCCUGCUGCUCCACCUUUCACCAUUUCAGAUGCCACUGUAGUAUCAGGCUGACCUUCAAUGAGCUUCGCACCAUGUUUUCCGAUGGAAUUCAGGAACAAGAAUGACAUCGCGAUCCAGGGAAGCAGAAACCAAUCCUCAUCCACCUAAAUUUAAGUAAGAAUGUACCAUGAGUGUAUCUGACAUGCAAGGAAAUUAAUUUUGACUAGUUAGAAGGAUAUGGCGUUAGAGCUGACGAUGUACCGUGAUAAAUUUUGAUUCAGUGUCAACUAGGGCGACUGCUUUGCCAUAGGGGUGUUCAGCCGAGAACUUCACAGCGGUAACUGCUGCUGCAGUAUCUUCAGCAUGCUGACUGCAGCAUUUGAGUUCAUAUGCUAGUCUCCUUCCCUUGUAUAGUUUGAUCUGCUUUGUUCAAAGAAGUACCAAAACUAUGAGUAUGAACUUAAAUGCAUAAACGUUUCUUAUUUACAUAUGAAUUAAUGUAAUCAUUAUCUUCAGAGCAAACAUGAAUUGAGCUGUACACUGCAACUGUCCUUACCAAUUUGUUGUCGUAUUUGAGCUCGUGUAUGCAGCCAUCCUUGCUUGGUUUCAGGUCAUGAGUGACGGAUGGGUUGGAGUUGUUGAGAGACCAUUUGUUUUCCGUGAAUUCUGCAAGCUGAAAUGGAUGCUUUGAUGACUUUGUUACUCCAACCAAUUCUUGAGUGAGAGCCAUGCCACUCUUGGCCUUGUGCUCCCUGAAUUAAGGGGAUGAAUUUCUCAUUAGACUAGAAAAAAAAACAGAUAUUUCAUUCAUAGUAAAAUAAUCCCCGCAAAUUUUUUUAGUAAAUUAGAACUUUGCCGUGUCCACUGGAAUAAAUUUGGAUCUGUUUUGAAGGCGAAAUACAGAUACUUCUAUAUAAGUCGAAUAUUAAUUCCUGCAGAAAACACCAAUUUGCAGUUUGAAAUGAAACUGUUAUUGGCAAUCGAUGUAUCACAUAGUAACUUUUUAUUCGUUUCUGCAACAGAAAAAAAAAUCCAAGUAUCAUGCAAGACGUACUAAUCAGCAGACAAAUGCGUUUCUAGACUCAAUGUUCAGUUCUUCACAUAUAUGUGCCGACUGAUGCCACGGACAGCGAAAAUACCUUAUCUGAAGACGAAUGAGUUCAGUACCACAAUCAUACACGAAGCGAGUCCAGGAGCUCAUAUCUUGAUCCUUGGUGGAAUGUGGCAAUAGACAGGCCUUCAGAGAGCAAGGCUUCACAUUCACCAUGCUAAGAACCUGUGAAGCCUGCCUUGGGACAGUACAAGAUGCGGCGACACGAAGACUGACAGGAGGGGAACCAGCAUAAGCGCCGCAACUUUUCAGUUCAAACCACCUCUCAAAGGAGAGCUUGGAAUCAUGCUGUGUAAGCUCUUGAAGAGAGAUCGAAACCUUCCCCAACGGUUCCGAUUUCUUCGAUGACGAUGCCCCAGAAUAGGCCAGAUCAACCAUUACUGUAAGAAUGAGUUCGCCGGUAGGUUCGCAUUGGAAACCAGCUCCAAUACUCUUCCCUAUUUUCGAUGAAAUAUCCAACCUGCCGCCAUCACCGAUAAGUGCAUCUGGUUGAGUCUUGGUGAACCAUACAUACACACUUUUCUCUGGAAUUGCAGAUGGUAAGUUCUUGAUGUCCACAAUCUGUAAGUAUAACUACAAAAGUAUGAAAAUAUUUUGAGUUAGUAAAUUCAGUAACUGUCUCUUGGCGCUGGAUCGUGUUUUUAGAUAACUGAUACCAGGCGUUUCUUCCAAAUUAAUAAUCUAAUAUUAAUAGUAGUACAACAUACAACAUUUUGGGUUAACUUACUAGAUCAGAAAAAACUUUGAAUCCAAAAUUAUUGACUACUUGUCUAACUGUUGCUUCAUGGACAGCAAUAAGAUGUAAAAAGAAUAUCAUACCUCCACAACUGCUGUUUCAACAACAGCAAGACGCUUCUCCGCUUCAUCGACACCAAAAACACCAUCUUCCUCACCACCAAAUUCUAUCCGAGGAACGGAUGUCACGGGAGACGGCAAGCUUCCACGGUACAUAGCGCCGGCCUUCCAGUACCUCACACCAAAGCAAUCCUCGAACUGCUCGGUGGUGCCUGAAAACCCGGUGUCGAGCUUCUUCCCUUCGGCCCGAUCGUCGUCCGUGUCAUCGUGCUCCAGAACUCUCCCAAGGAGACCCACCAUGUCAUCGCGGUAGGCAAGAGGAUUCAGUUGGUGGGUGUGCCACAUCAGAUCCACAUCGUAGGUUGGCACACGGAAGAGGUUCGUUCCUUUCUCCUGGUUCAUCUUGAUCAGAUACAAAAACCCUUUGUACCGAGCCAAAGCGUCUUCAAGGAAACGGCGAUCAUGCAUGGUUGGUGUUCCAACCUGCCAGAAACGAAGGAAUUCACUGAAUUUCUCUACAUAUUUAUUUAACAGAGCAAAGUUUAGUAGUGUGACCAGCUACCUGGUAGACGAAAGAAGACUGUCUCUUAACAGCUGAGAUCAAAUCGUAGGAAAUGCCUCCUGCGGUUCCAUCGCCCACGUAAACAGAUUCUGUAGUGUACUCCAACUCAAAGGGCUCCCCAGGAUAUAACUCGGUCCAAACUUUCUCGGACGGAUCCUUGGACUUUGCUUGAACGGAGGACUUGACAUUGUUAGAGUCCAAUAUCCUGCCAUAUAAUCUCUUGCAAUCCUUUAUGUAUCGAUUCUGAAACAAGAUGAUUUUGAUUUAGAAAUUAUUUCCAGCCAUGUUGACACUAGUAUUUUCUUUUAUGCCAGGUGUUGCAAACAUAUACUGCUAGUUCUCCAAUGUUGUGAUGACAGAUUUUGAACGACACACGAACAUCUGUGAGUUAAUAUAUGUGUACCGGGUUAAGCCGAUGGCAGUGCCAUAUCCAUUCGCAGUCAAGCGGAACAACCAGAGGCUCAUCAUCUGCAAGAAUAGCGGCCUUGGUGUGCUUGGCAAGAAGGGGAAGCCAGCAAGCUUUGUACCUAGCACAACAACAAAGUCAGACAAUAUUUCGAAGUCUUCCAUACGAUACAGAACAUAAACUAAUUUAGCACCGGUGAUAUUUUUUACAUAGUAGUAUAAUCAGUGAUUUCAGCAUGAUAUACAGGGUCUUUAAAAGUAAAAUAGGCAGACAGAUUUAAUUACAUGCCAAAACUAUCUAGAUAAGGCCCGAAACUGUAGCACCAGACUGUAACUGGAAGCACAGACCAGAGGAUGGUUUCAGAAGGAAAAAUUACUGGCGAUUAUCGAUGCCAUUCCUUAUUAUAAAACUGAAAACCCAAACAUAUAUUCUCAGUUCAACUCUGUUCCACCGACCUAAUUAUACCAAGGUUAACUGAACUAGUGUUUUCUUUCUGUCUGAUUUUGCUGAAGAAGCAUGUGUCUGUCAGGGUGAUUCAACAGGAGUUUACCGAAGAAACAUGGCAACGAUUAAUCACUGAGAAAAUUUCACUCCCAGCACAAGAAGACGCCAUAGAUGGUAGAAAGUGUUGAUCAACAAUACCCAGAAGAUAAAAGAAAAAACGAUGAAACGCCUCGGAAAACAAACUAGAUUCACAGACGCGAUGGUCUCUCUUGUGCUGCUCAAGAGGCAACAGGAUGGAUGGCGAUAGUCGGUAGGUACCUGCGUAUGGCCCUGUGGAGCAGCGGGCCGUCGUAGAGCCACCGGCGGCGGUCGACCGCGGCGAGGAACUCCAGCUGCCGCAGCGCGGCCGGGACGAGGUCCUCGCCGAUGCCGAUCCCCUGCGCCGCCGCCCACCGCGACUCCUGCUCCGCGUCCAUCUUUCUUCUCCCUCCUUGCUCCGAUCGUCCCCACCCCACCCACCUGCAAGAACCUGAGUGAGGGAGACUGCGCUACGGACUCCGAUGGCUGACUCUCUGCCACCAAGUAACCAUGCAUGGCUCCCUAUUUAUGCACCGAGGGAGGGAGCCAGGAGCACGCAAAUAGUGUACGGCGAGGCAAAACACAGCACAGAGAUAAAUUAUUGACCAACUGAAAUACUCCACUAGCAUCGAUCGCUAUCCAAUCCACGGCGAAUAAUGUAUGAGCUGCUUUCAGUUAAGGGCACUCGUACGUAGCGUGUGCUGCGCGCGCAUGAACAACUCUGCACGCUUUCUGAACCCAUACGAUAUCCAUCCAUGCAUGAUCGAUCUUUCUUGCCAACUAUGCACACUUGUGGCUGCUGGUACUGCAAAAGCAAAUGCAAGUGCAAGUGCAAGUGCAUGCAUCUUCUACCAACUCUCCAGCUUCCUUUUGCAGCUCGUUUAGAAACUUUGAAAUGCAGAAAAAGAUAUUACACCUGCUAUAAAUACUAUGCACACAGUAGUACGACAAGUUUUUAGAUCAGUGACAAGAAGUAAAAUUUAGUCUGGAUCAUGUAACAAAACCGUGGCAAUAAUUUCGCAGGACCCUAGCUAAUCCUUGCAAAAAGUAUUGUUGCUUGCAAACCCAAGAAAACUAUGUGAUGUAACACAUCACGCUUGGACUAUUCAAUAAUGGAGAUGCUCGGCCUGUGCGGAUCAUGCCGCUUCCGGAGCAUACGCAGCACGAUAGUAGUACACUCGUACUGCAGUAGUACAGGGCUCAAGGCGUUUGAUCGUACGGUACGUCACAUGGCCGUGGUUUCUGCCAGGUCAUCUCCGCACCGGAUAAACAAUUCUGGGGCGGAAUUAUGCUAUUAUUACAGAUUAGAGCAUCUCCAAAAGUUCCAUAAAAUAAUUACAGUUUAGGGGAAGUUGGGCACACAAAAAACAGUCUCCAAACAUUUCCAUAAACGCCCAAGAAAUUACAAAUAAUCCCGUGUAACCUUAAAAAAAACCUUCAUCUACGGGAAGAUGACCGCCCUUUCCGUAAAAGUGUCACACCACCCAAUCCCCAUUGGACGCCCCCCCCCCCACCACCACCAACGACUGUCGUGCAGCUUGCUCGCCGUCGCUGAACAACAUCGUAUGAUGUCACCACCGUUAGUUGGGGUUGCGUCACCACGAAAAACCACUUAUAGGGAAAGUUUUCACGGAACUGAGAAAAGACCGCACCUUGGAACUUCCUCCAAGUUAUAUGGACAUCCCGUAAAACCACUUCUAUGGAGAAUUUUUUACAGAAACCGUUGAAGAUGCUCGUCCGUUGGGUUUAUAUGGUGUUUGAUUGGGUUUAUUCUUGGCUUUUGCACUUUGGUUUAUAAGCUCAAAAACAUCUAUUUAUGGGAUUCUGGCUUUAGCUUUUGGCUUACAUAAACAUGUAGCAACACUGAGUCAUAAGUCUAAAGCGUAUAAAUAGGUCAUUUUUUUGGUUUACAAACCAAAGUGUAAAUGCCAGAAACAUGACCAAGUCUCACGUUGGUUGUCGGAGGUAGAAGAUGACUUAUAAGAAUGUAGUGUCCCCUCCUAUCAAGCUGGUCUUUCAGACAAUAUCUUAUUUUUGACCCUCUUUAGAAAGGGAAUUUUUGUUUUAGCCAUUGUAGAUUUUGCUCAUUUUCCUUAUCCCACUCUAGUUUUUGACAUGUCACUUUUGUCACUCUUAGCUUUUGACAAUACAUCACAAUUGUCAUUUCAUGGCAAAAGCAAAAUAAUUUCAUUUCACUUUUGCCAUUUUCUAUGUAGGUUAUGAGGCAAAGCAACAAAGACUAAGACCGAGCAAAACAACAUAUAAUCUAGUGAAAUGUGCUAAAAUUGAUAACAAAAUUCAUGAUGCUUGUAUUGUAUCUAAUGCCAAAGUAAAUUACGUGGAGAUCGGGCGACAUAAAAAACUUAGCAAAUUAUGUAGGGGAACCAUCAUCAACUCCCCACGAGUACCGUUGCUUGUUUUCUUAUUGUUCUUAGGCGUCAUCCCAUUGUAUAUGUUCUACUAUUUGCGGCACAUUUGAAUUAUCUAGGAUUAUAUGUUGUGCCAAAUAUUAGUUGCAUACUCUUGCUGGGAUGGAUUGCUCUUGUCUUGCACCGCCUUUUUGCGGCACGAGAUGUAAAUGAUUCAAGGCCAAGUGUGGUGUAGGCAUGCAAUGGCAUCAUAUCACUUAACCUAGUAAAUGUAAAAACAUACAUGCCCAUAAAAUAUCAAAAAAUGAGCAACACCAACGACUCCAGGAUAAACCACUCACUCACAAUUUAUUUACUCUAGAAUUUUUUUAAAUCAGUAGAUUUUUAGUUAUCCCUUCUAUUUACUUACACCUAAAAACAAAAAUCUUGCACUCUAGAAACCUCCGUCAACUUUAGAUAUUUCUCCCAUGGUAUUUAAAGAUACUAUAAAAGACAGAAUGAUAUAUACAUAUACUUAGAAUUUAUCUAAGUGGCAAAAUGGAAUAGGUGAUAGAAUGCGAGUUUGAUCUUUUUGGCUUUUCUUUGCUACAGAGGAAUUCUGAUCUAACGGGGGCUUUUAAGGGGAACUAUCUAAAGAAGGAAACUAUAAAUGCCACCUUUUAUGCAUACUAUAUUCUAUAAAUAUAGUGUAUGUAUAAUUGUAUUGUAGAUGUUAAAAUUGUAUAACAUGAGUAUUUUAUCACAAUAUAUAGUAGCAUUGUUGGGAAACUAAAUCGGUCCAGACAGUAUGUUGAGAUAAUAAGUUAAAAAUAAGUAAAAAAAUGUAGUAUAAAUAAAUGAAUAUAAUUUAGGCUAUCUUACUUGUAAAAUGAACCCAUGGUCUACCGUCGGUCUGUCGCCAUAGCCCUGAGCUUCUCGACUCGUGCGGCGUCCGAAAGCAGUGGCGGAACGAGGAACGAAAUGAAGGGUGUGCACACUUUAAAAAAAAAUCCUACCUAAUCCAAGUGUAACAAAAUAUGGCAAAAGAAUUACAUAAAUAGCUCAAUUCAAAUCUCACAACCAUUUAGUUCACAAAAUAUAUCCCAAAUGUGCUCAGUUACAAUACAAAAGGCUUACAUGAAAGAAACAGAAGUAAAAAAUUACAACACUAGGUAACUCUACGUCGUUACAUUGCCAUGAAAGCAUCAACUAUUUCAUCUUCACUUACUUUCAUGAACACAUCUCGCUCAAUGAAUAUCAUCAAGCAAUUAUUCAAGCGAUCAUCACCCAAGCUAGUCCUCAAUUUAUUUUUCACUAGAUUCAUUGCAGAAAAUACCCUUUCAACACUCGUCGUUGCCACUGGUAAAAUCAAUAUCAAUUUGAUGAGUAAGUGGACCAAAUCAUAAAGAACAUGCUUCUUUGUUGCAACAAGCAAAAUAGAGAGAUCACCAAUAUUACUUGCAUUUCUAAACCUAUCAUCUUGUCUCAUAUCAUAAAUAAAAGUACCAAGUUGAAAUUCUAGCCUUAUCAAAUCCGUGCUUGAUAUGUCCAUGGGAUAGAAUUCAACAAGUUUUAUUUCCUUGAAUGCAUCAUAAGAAGCAAAUGAAUUGAGGGGAUUCAAAGCCGACAUGCAAAUAAGCAACUCCGUAUUAACCUCGUCAAACCGGUUGUUAAGCUCUUGAAUGAUUUGGUCAAUGACACCAAGAUAUAUUUCUCUUCUAUAACGAUCAUCAUUUGUUUGUACUUCAUAAUACCGACGUGAUCUUCCAUGAUGCUCAUAAGUAUCCUGCCAUAAAGGAACUUGAAUGCCAUGUUUGUUGCAAAAUAAGGUUAGCUUUGCAAGAAAUUCUUCCCAACCAUGACACCUCAUGUGUUGCAUUCUACUCUUUGCCAAACUAACAAGUGCCAUUGCAUUAACAAUAUAUUAAUCUCUCUUUUGCAAAGAUUUGGACAACUCAUUUGUAUAGCCAAGAAUAACAAGCAUCAAGUGAAGAUUGAAAACAAAUUCAAAUGAUUCAAUGGCUUGAGUAACUCCAUGUAUUCUUGUCCAUUCACCUUUUUGUGAAGGAUCUUUUCCAAUGGCGUCAAGUACCUCAAGAAUUGUGGAAUACAUAUGCUAACAAUAUGCAUAAUGGUUUUAAAAUGAGAAACCCAACGAGUAUCGCCGGGUCUAGAUAGUCCCAUCUCUUGAUUUAGCCCACUUCCACUUUCAAUCUCACCCAUUUCAAGAGCUUCCAAAACCUUUUGAGCUCUAACAUCUCGAAGCAUGUCAUGUCGCCUACAAGAAACUCCAACUACAUUGAGCAAGUAAGAAACAUGAUCAAAGAACCACAAACAUGGUUCAUUAUCCUUUGCCACAGCUAUAAGAACCAAUUGAAGUUGAUGUGCAAAACAAUGGAUGUAAUAGGCCGAGGGUGACUCUUUCAUGACCAAAGUUUUCAAUCCUUUAGUCUCCCCUUUCAUGUUGUUAGCCCCAUCAUAUCCUUGCCCACGUAUUUGACUAGGUGUCAAAUGAUGAUCUUUAAGCAAAGUUUGAAUUGCAUCCUUAAGUGACAAUGAAGUUGUAUUGGGAACAUGAACAACUCCAAGGAACCUCUCAUACCCUCUUCCCGAUUUAUCAACAUAACGUAUGUAGAGAGCAAGUUGUUCUUUGUGAGAUGCAUCACUGGACUCAUCAGCUAGGAUUGCAUAGUGGUCAUAACCAAUAUCUUCAAUAAUUCUUUUAGUUGUUUGCGCCGCACAACAUUCAAUUAUUUGAUUUUGUAUCUUUGGACUAGUCAAUAUGCAAUUCCCAGGAGCAUUGUUCAGAACAACCUUAUUAACUUCUUCUUCAUUUGCAGAAAGUCAUUUAAGAAGUUCAAGAAAGUUCCCCCUAUUGCUAGAGUCUUCACUUUCAUCAUGUCCACGAAAUGCCAAUCCUUGGUUCAAAAGAAACCUCAAGCAUCUAAGUGAAUAAGUUAGCCUAGCCAUGUACAUACGUAGAUCCUCUUUAGACGCCCUCACAAUGAUAUCAUCAAUUGAUGGUUGGGGUAACACAAACAAAUUGUACUUCUCUUGAGCUUUGUUGUGAAUGCUAUUUAUACCACCUUCAUGUUUGUCUAAUGCAUCAAGACCUAUACCAAUUUUUCCAAGCACCUUUAACAAAUGUAUCACCCCUAGGUCCCCCAUUCGAUUUGCCUUUGAACAAAUAACACACAAAGCAAAAUGUUGCCUCAUAUUUGACACUAUAUUCUAGCCAUUUAUAGUUCUCAAACCAAACAAAGUUGAAGUGUCGAUUUUUACCAUACAUUUUCUUGACUUCAAAGUUGUGUGCAUAUGGUUGGAUUGCAUUCUUUGCAAUGUACCGUUUCCGAACUUUAUCUUGAUCACCGACAUCAUACUCUGAAAUAGGAAUCCUUUCCCCUGGAUUAGUUGGAAGCCUUUGAAUAUUAUAUGAUCUUGCAUUUGGAUGUUGAGGUGAUGGUUGUCGUGGCGCUUCAUCAUCAAUAUCAAUGUCAAUCUCUAGAUCGGAAUGGACUGGAGGUGAAUAAAUAUCAAUGUCAAUCUCUGAAUCUAAAUGGAGUGGAGGCAGUGGAGGUGGAUCAAUAUCAGGUUUAUGUUGCUCUUGGGCUGCAACCUUUCUUGUUUUUGCCUCAUAAUUGAGGAAAAAUGACUUAAUGUCAUCAUUCCUCUUCAUCUUCAGAUGUACUAUAAUUAAAACAUAAUGUCACUACAAAGUUGUAACUGCAAAGAGCAAAGUCUGCAAACAAGAUACAAACUCAUCCACCAAGCAACUCACCCACGAGCCAUGAGGCCACAACGAGCGGCUCUGCCCUGGGCGAGCAGCGACGCACCGUCGGAGCGGCAGGACUGGGAGCAGUGGCGGAAGCUCCGCGGCUGGGCAGGCAGUGCCGGAAUGGCGGAAGACCGUGUUGGGGAACGUCGCAUGGGAAACAAAAAUUUUCCUACGCGCACGAAGACCUAUCAUGGUGAUGUCCAUCUACGAGAGGGGAUGAGUGAUCUACGUACCCUUGUAGACCGUACAGCAGAAGCGUUAGAGAACGCGGUUGAUGUAGUGGAACGUCCUCACAUCCCUCGAUCCGCCCCGCGAACAAUCCCGCGAUCAGUCCCACGAUCUAGUACCGAACGGACGACACCUCCGCGUUCAGCACACGUACAGCUCGACGAUGAUCUCGGCCUUCUUGAUCCAGCAAGAGAGACGGAGAGGUAGAAGAGUUCUCCGGCAGCGUGACGGCGCUCCGGAGGUUGGUGAUGACCUUGUCUCAGCAGGGCUCCGCCCGAGCUCCGCAGAAACGCGAUCUAGAGGAAAAACCGUGGAGGUAUGUGGUCGGGCUGCCGUGGAAAAAUCGUCUCAAAUCAGCCCUAAAACCUCCGUAUAUAUAGGUGGGAGGGAGGGGACCUUGCCUUGGGGCUCAAGGAGCCCCAAGGGGGUCGGCCGAGUCCAAGGGGGAAGGCUCCCCCCAAAACCGAGUUGGACUUGGUUUGGUGGGAGGGAGUCCUUCCCUUCCUUCCCACCUCCUCUUUUUUUUCCUUUUCUCUUGAUUUUCUCUUCUUGGCGCAUAGGGCCCUUUUGGGCUGUCCCACCAGCCCACUAAGGGCUGGUGUGCCACCCUCAAGGCCUAUGGGCUUCCCCGGGGUGGGUUGCCCCCCUCGGUGAACUCCCGGAACCCAUUCGUCAUUCCCGGUACAUUCCCGGUAACUCCGAAAACCUUCCGGUAAUCAAAUGAGGUCAUCCUAUAUAUCAAUCUUCGUUUUCGGACCAUUCCGGAAACCCUCCUGACGUCCGUGAUCUCAUCCGGGACUCCGAACAACAUUCGGUAACCAACCAUAUAACUCGAAUACGCAAGAAACAACGUCGAACCUUAAGUGUGCAGACCCUGCGGGUUCGAGAACUAUGUAGACAUGACCCGGGAGACUCCUCGGUCAAUAUCCAAUAGCGGGACCUGGAUGCCCAUAUUGGAUCCUACAUAUUCUACGAAGAUCUUAUCGUUUGAACCUCAGUGCCAAGGAUUCAUAUAACCCCGUAUGUCAUUCCCUUUGUCCUUCGGUAUGUUACUUGCCCGAGAUUUGAUCGUGAGUAUCCGCAUACCUAUUUCAAUCUCGUUUACCGGCAAGUCUCUUUACUCGUUCCGUAAUACAAGAUCCCGCAACUUACACUAAGUCACAUUGCUUGCAAGGCUUGUGUGUGAUGAUGUAUUACCGAGUGGGCCCCGAGAUACCUCUCCGUCACACGGAGUGACAAAUCCCAGUCUCGAUCCAUACUAACUCAACGAACACCUUCGGAGAUACCUGUAGAACAUCUUUAUAGUCACCCAGUUACGUUGCGACGUUUGAUACACACAAAGCAUUCCUCCGGUGUCCGUGAGUUAUAUGAUCUCAUGGUCAUAGGAACAAAUACUUGACACGCAGAAAACAAUAGCAACAAAAUGACACGAUCAACAUGCUACGUCUAUUAGUUUGGGUCUAGUCCAUCACAUGAUUCUCCUAAUGAUGCGAUCCCGUUAUCAAGUGACAACACUUGCCUAUGGCCAGGAAACCUUGACCAUCUUUGAUCAAUGAGCUAGUCAACUAGAGGCUUACUAGGGACAGUGUUUUGUCUAUGUAUCCACACAAGUAUUGUGUUUCCAAUCAAUACAAUUAUAGCAUGGAUAAUAAACGAUUAUCAUGAACAAAGAAACAUAAUAAUAACUAAUUUAUUAUUGCCUCUAGGGCAUAUUUCCAACAGACCGGAGGGGCGGAGCCGCGGAGGGCAGAUGGCUAGGGCGCCGGAGCCGGAGCGCGAUGGAGCGGGGGAGCCGGGGCCAGAUGGGACGAGGGGAGCCGGGGAGGACCGGCGGUCGCGGCGACCGGCGGGGAGGCGCCGAGCAACGGCGGCCCGGCGGCCGAGCGCGAGCCCUAGCGGGGAGCAGGUUGCGGCGUCCUCUAUGUUAGGAAUUAAUUAAAUGUAUUAAUUAAUGGGAUAAUCCCUGCGUUGCCGGUUGCCUUGUUUUAGCAACCGUUCCUUGUAAACCGCCUCUGUAACAGGGGUAUAAAUACCCACAUCUUCAAUCAAUGAAAACACUGUUCCAUCAUUCUGUCACUUUCACUACUUUACACGUUAUCAGCGCUCGCUCUGCCGAGAGCGACAGAGAGCCAAGAGAAAGGUGAGAAUGGCAGGGAGAGAUUUGUCCUCGCUUGCUUUUGCUUUCGCACGUUUCCUGCAGAAAGAAGACAGCCGCUUCACUCGCACGCAGCGCCACCGCAUUGCACGUCGCCGUCAGGGUCUUGGUGCAAGGAAUGGCCCUCGCCGCCGUUCCUUCACCAGGAACCACCGCCAGAACCGGAGUGGCCCUCAUCGCCGCUUCUUCGCCGGGAACCACCGCCAGAACCGCCGCCGUGGGGCCAUCAGCGUCGUUCCUCGAAGAAGAUGUGAUGUUCCCCUGUGAACUUGCGCCGCCGCCUCUUCCUCCAUACUGCAUGCAGCACGGAUUCGGGCCAUGCCCUGCGCGCACGGAUGGCCACGUCCCGGAGCUGCCAUCCCCGACGCCGGCAGCGGCAGCACACACCGGCCCCGUCCCGGAUCUGCCAUCUCCGACACCGGAUCGAGAGGAACGAGGCGGUUAUCCCACCAUCCCCAUCUUGAACAUCCAGAUCAAGGUUGAAGAAGAGGGGAUGGAGGCCAUGGGCUCGUCGUCGUCGCUCCGCCCUCCAUCACCGGCGAUACCUCCUCCUCCUCCGGCUCCGCCCCUUCCGCUGACGCCACCGCCGGAAGCUCGCCGGAUCCUGUGCUAGUUCGCCGCUGCUAUGGCGCAGAACCGGGCGGCUCUUCGUGGCGCGUGGUCGCCGGACGCCCUGGGCUUCGCCGGCGCACCGGAGGCAAGCAGCAGCGGGAGUAGCCGGGCUGCGCUGCGGGGCCAGCCCCGUUUUCCUUGAAGCAGCCAUGGGGAGAGGAGGCUGGAGUUGUGAGGUGUUUGGGUCUGCAUCGGGAAGAAGAUGGGAAACAGGAGAGAAGUGGCUGUGUGGCCUCGGCUUGCUGCCUUGCUCUCUCCCUUAUCCAUUUCUCCAACCGGUAUAUGGUCCAACACAGGCCACGUCCACUCCAAACUCCAAGCCACGUUUUCCUCUCCAAAAGGCCUACAAGCCACGUUUCCUCUUCAAAAGGCAUACAGGCCAGGAAAUAAAGUGACUAUUAGCGUUGUGUUUUAAUCAUAGUACUACUAUGCUGCAAUUACUAUAUUGCACUGCAGAUUGUUCCUUUUUAUUUCAGUGUGAUAUGUUAUUGUAUUAAGAACCUCUCCUUAUCAUAUUCACUCGGUAUUGUACUGUAGUAUGAAUACUUAGAUUGUAUAUUGUCUAAAAUAAAGUCUCAGAUUAUGUGUACAUAUUCUAUAUAAUUGCCUCAGCAAUUUUCAUUUUUUUAGAAUAUGUAGUUUUCAAGUACAAUUUUUUUUUAAUUCAAAUUUUUGGGAUCACAAGGUAGAUGAGGCAUCUACUGCAUUUUGCAGAUUAUCCUCAUCGCUGAAAGAUCUACAUUUUGCCUUCGUUAUUUUGGCAAAAUGACUAUCUUCGAGUGCUCUCCCGAAUAUGCGAAUUAAUGUGACUACCUCAAAUUUUUACAAAUCACAAGGUAAUUGUGUGAUCUACUGCAUAAUUUGCAGAUUAUCCACUCUUGCUGAGAGGUCUACAUCUAGUCUUUUGACAAGAUGACUACCUUCAAAGUGUUUUUGUAAAAUAUAGUAUGACACAAGGUAAUGGACUACGAACAUCUACUGGUCAAAACCAGACUAUGUUCUCCACUACUAUGAGAUCUACACCCCAACGGUGAAUAUUUUCGAAGUGUCAUAUACAUAAAAUGAGGUCUACACAUAAAGCAUCAGCUAUACUUGAAAAUUUUGCUUCCUAAAGCAUUUGUUGUAACUUAUAUUUUACUCUCAUAGUAAAACUAAAUUAUGCAUGAAAAUACCAUGCAGGAAAUGGCUGGUGUCAUGCAUCGUGAAUUUCAUGAACUUGAACUAGAUGGUAGUAUCUAUUUACCAUGGGCUAUGGAUGCAAAGAUAGCCCUCGAAAGCCGUAAACUCGGUUUCACUAUCACCACACCCGUUGAAGGCGCCGGAGAAAUCCCCACGGCAGCCAAAUAUAGAGCUUUAAGUUUCUUAAGGCACCAUCUCCAUUCAGACUUAAAGUCGGAAUAUUUGAUGGAAGAAGAUCCACUGGUUUUGUGGAACUCUCUCAAGGAGAGAUAUGACCAGCAAAGAGCAGUCAUGCUGCCAGAAGCACAGAGAGAAUGGUCCCUCAUAAGGUUCCAAGACUUCAAAUCUGUGGCAGCAUAUAACUCUGCAGUUCACAAGGUUAACUCAAAACUAAGGUUUUGCAAUCAAGAAAUUUCUGAAGAAGACCUUAUUGAGAAGACCUUGUGCACUUUCCACCCCUCGAUGAGGGUACUACAAUAGAAGUACCGUCAACAAAAAUACAAAAAGUAUUCUGAGCUCAUAUACACUUUACUUCAGGCUGAGAAACAUGAUGAACUUCUCAUGAAGAAUCAUCAGACACGCCCAACGGGCUCAAUGCCACUCCCUGAAGCACAUGCUAACACUCAGUUUACUAAAAAGUAUGGGGGCAACAAAAAGAAUUUCAAAAAAUUCAAUGGAAAGUGGAAAAGGAACAACAAGCAGAAAAGCUUUGGUCAAUCUAAAGGUAAAGGUCACUUCAAGAAAAAUGACCGAAACACCAACUCCGAGAUUUGUCAAAGAUGUGGAUGUACUAACCAUCGUACUAGUAAAUGCCGAACUCCCAAGCAUCUAGCGGAUUUAUACAUCAAAUCCACUGGGAAAGGCAAACAAGUUCAUGGAAAAGCCGAAGCUCACUUCAACGCCUUACAACAAGAAGAAAACCUUGAAGCUAGCACUUCUCAAAGCGCUCCUAAGGAAACAAGGCAGAAGGAUGAAGAUCUUCUUGAUGUUGGCAACAUGAUGGUGGAAUACACCCAAGACGCAUAGAGAUCUUAUAUAAUCUCCACAUCACUCAUUUGAUGUUAUCAACUAUUUUAUUGUAAUAAUGGAUGUUAUAAUUUGUAUAACUCUAAGUAGAAUAAAAGUCCUACGGACCAAUCGUAUUAUGUAAUUCAAACAUAAUGUCAUAUUUAUAUUUGUAACUGUAAUAUGAAUACUUUGUAUGUAUAUAUUUAUAUGUGAGUAAUAUGAAUAAAGUUUCAUCCUAAAAUAUUCUUUUACUCUAUAUAGAUUUUACGGGAAAAUAAUCCAAUGGAAGAAGAAUUAUGUUUGGUGGACAGUUGUACCAGUAACACAAUAUUAAGGGAAAUAAAAUAUUUCCAAACUCUAACUAAGAGAAAAGGGAAUAUUAUGACCAUUGACAGUCGCGAUGCGUCGAUUAUUGGUUCAGGACGAGCCACACUCGUUCUACCUAUGGGUAGUACAAUUGCAAUUGAGGAUGCACUAUUGUAUCCUCAAUCUACACGCACUCUUCUAAGUUUCAAAGACCUCAGAUCAAAUAACUUCCAUUUGGAAACAAUAUCUGAAAAUAAUUUUGAACAUUUGCUUUUAACAAAGAGUAAUGGGUCUGAGAAACAAAUUCUUGAGAAAUUCCCCUCACUUUCAUCUGGAUUAUAUUACAGUUAUAUAAAACCCGUACCACAUGUUGCGUACAAAAUAAUUUUUCAAGAUCUUGAUAAAUUCAAGACUUGGCAUGAUCGCCUAGGUCAUCCUGGCGUAGGGAUGAUGACAAAAAUUAUUGACAAUUCUAUUGGUCACAGCCUUCCAACUAUAAAUUUCCCAAAAUCAUCAGAUUUUGUGUGCACCGCAUGUGCAACUGGAAAAUUAAUUAUAAAACCAUCUUAUCUUAAAGUUAAAAAUGAGUCAUUAAAUUUUCUUGAACGCAUUCAAGGAGAUAUAUGUGGUCCAAUUCAAGCACUAUCAGGACCUUUUAGAUAUUUCAUGGUGCUCAUAUAUGCAUCUACUAGAUGGUCACAUGUGUGUCUAUUGUCCACACGAAAUCAUGCUUUUUCCAAGCUAAUUGAUCAAAUUAUCAAAUUAAGAGCAAAUCAUCCUAAAAAUAGGAUAAAAACAAUUCGAAUGGAUAAUGCCGCUGAAUUUUCUUCACGUGCAUUCAAUGACUAUUGCAUGGCUAUGGGCAUUCAUUUAGAACAUUUUGUGCCUUAUGUUCAUACUCAAAAUGGUUUGGCUGAAUCUCUCAUCAAAAGAGUAAAAUUAGUUGCUCGACCACUAUUACAGAAUUGUAAUUUACCAGCAUCAUGUUGGGCACAUGCGGUAUUACACGCCGCAGAUCUGAUACAAAUCAGACCAACUGCAUAUCAUACAACCUCCCCGCUACAACUAGUACGUAGCACUCAGCCAAGUAUUUCCCAUCUACGAAAAUUCGGUUGCGCAGUAUACGUACCGAUAUCACCACCGCAGCGUACAUCCAUGGGCCCCCACAGAAAACUAGGGAUCUAUGUGGGUUAUAACUCUCCGUCAAUAAUAAAAUAUCUUGAACCUCUUACAGGGGACCUGUUUACUGCCCGCUACGCUGAUUCAAUUUUUGAUGAGGACCAUUUUCAGGCAUUAGGGGGAGAAUCAAACCACAAAGAAUGCCAGGAAAUAGAUUGGAAUGUAACAGGCAUUCAGUCCUUAGAUCCACGUACUAAAGAAUCUGAAACUGAAGUUCAGAGGAUCAUAGAUUUGCAACAUAUUGCAAAUAAUCUGCCAGAUGCAUUUACUGACCAUAAAGGUGUCACUAAAUCACAUAUUCCCGCUGUUAAUGCACCAGAACGAGUGGAGGUACCAACUAAAACCACUCAAACCACAAAUGAGAGUAAGAGGGGGAGAAAUCUGGUUAGUCGGAAUAUAGCUUCUCAAAAGCCUCCGCGGAAACAGAGGAAAUCAAAUCCUCUACCAGUAAAUGCAAUUCAACCUCAAGUUGAAGGACACCAACCAGAUGCUCAACAUCUUGAACCUAGCAUAAAUGCGCAUAAAAACAUAAUUGCUGGGACAUCGGAACACCAUGGUUCUAUUGUUGUGGGAAAUCACAUAGAGUCUGAAGGUAUAAAAGAAAUUUCCAUAAACUAUACAGAAUCAGGAGAAUCAUAUAAUAGAGAGACUACAAUUGUCGACAUAUAUUUCGCCUCUAAAAUUGCUGAAACCCUUCAACUGGAUCCAGAACCAAAGACCGUCAGGGAGUGCCUCAAGCGUCCUGAUUGGCCUAAAUGGAAGGAAGCAAUUGAGGCAGAAGUGCGCUCGCUCAACAAAAGAGAGGUAUUUUCCUCGGUAAUACCUACUCCUCAUAAUGUAUUCCCUGUUGGAGCAAAAUGGGUUUUUGUUCGAAAAAGGAAUGAAAACAAUGAGGUGGUGAGAUACAAAGCGAGGCUUGUAGCACAAGGGUUCACGCAGAGGCCCGACAUCGAUUACGAUGAUACAUACUCUCCUGUAAUGAGUGGAAUAACGUUUCGAUACUUAAUAUCUUUGGCAGUACAAAUGAAUUUAUCUAUGCAGUUGAUGGAUGUAGUGACAACAUACUUAUAUGGGUCACUCAAAUCGGACAUAUAUAUGAAAGUCCCUGAAUGACUUAAAAUGUCGAAUCCAAAAGAAAAUCGCAACGCAUAUUGUGUAAAAUUACAAAAGUCACUAUAUGGCUUAAAACAAUCGGGUAGAAUGUGGUAUAACCGACUGAGUGAGUUCCUUAUUCAAAAAGGCUACUCAAAUAAUGAUGAUUGCCCUUGUGUAUUGAUAAAGAAAUCCUCAAAUGGAUUUUGCAUCAUCUCAGUGUACGUUGAUGACCUCAAUAUCAUGGGAAGUACACCUGAUAUCGAAGAAGCACACAAUCAUCUAAUGGCGAAUUUGAGAUGAAAGAUUUGGGAAAGACCAAAUUCUGCUUAGGCUUACAGCUUGAGCAUCUUCCCUCGGGAAUUUUAGUAUACCAACCUGCAUAUAUUCAAAAGGUUUUGGAAAAUUUUAAUAUGGAUAAAUCAUAUCCAACCAAAACACCCAUGGUUGUCAGAUCCCUUGAUAUGAAUAAAGAUCCUUUUAGACCUCGGGAUGAUGACGAAGAGAUAUUAGGACCUGAGUUCCCGUAUCUCAGUGCCAUUGGUGCGCUAAUAUACCUUGCAAAUUGCACCAGGCCUGAUAUUGCAUUUACAGUAAAUUUACUAGCUAGACAUAGCGCUGCUUCAUCAAAACGUCAUUGGACGGGAGUAAAGAAUAUCCUUAGAUAUUUACAUGGCACAAAGGAUCUUGGCUUAUUCUAUCAGAAAAACCAAGAUAUGACUAUGGUAGGAUAUACUGAUGCUGGCUAUCUAUCUGAUCCUCACAAUGUCAGGUCACAAACAGGUUUCGUAUUCUUAUAUGGUGGAACUGCUUUUUCAUGGAAGUCAACAAAACAGACUCUCCUAGCAACCUCCACUAAUCAUUCUGAAAUUGUUGCAUUAUUUGAAGCAUCUAAAGAAUGUGUAUGGCUUCGCAGGAUGAUUAACCAUAUUCAAACUUCAUGUGGUGUUGGUUCAUUAGGAUCACCAACUAUUAUAUAUGAAGAUAAUGCAGCCUACAUUGCUCAAAUGCAAAUGGGUUAUGUAAAAAGUAAUAUCACAAAACAUAUUUCUCCUAAGUUAUUCUAUCCUCAUGCAUUACAGAAGGAUGGAGAAAUUGAUAUUUUACAAACUAAAUCAUGUGACAAUCUAGCAGAUUUGUUCACAAAGUCUUUACCAAAUUCAACGUUCCAGAAAUACAUUCAUGGAAUUGGUAUGAGAUGAUUCCGAGAUUUGCAAAGUUCAGGGGGAGAAAUCUCCUGAAAAUAUAACCCUUUAAUUAUCAUCAGGUAAUGAAUAUUGUACUCUUUUCCUUUAUGAGUUUUUCCAACAGGUUUCUCAUAUAAGGUUUUUAACGAGACAAUUAAAUACAAGUAUUGAUGCAUGCCAUAUCAUAUUUCUCCUUAUAUUUUUCCUACUAGGUUUUAAAGGAGUUUUUUAUGGCACAUCUCAUUGCACUCUUUUCAUUAUGAGUUUUUUUGACAUUUUCUCUCAUAAUGUUUUUAAUGAAGCAAUAUCUUAUCAAUGAUCAUAUAUCAUACUUUCUAUUUUCCCUAUCGGGGUUUUAAAGGAAGUACUCAAGACAUAUAUUGUUCUCUAAACUCAAAAAUGAGUUUUAUCCCUAUAUAAAGGUUUUCUCAAAUGAGUUAUCAUGAGGCAAUAAUCAUUAUAUGUUGCACAAUUUUUUCCUUAUUAUUUUUCCACUGGGUUUAAAGGAGUUUUAGCAACAUAUCUACACUAUUGUCCUUAUAUUUUUUCCACAGGGUUUUUGGAGGAGACUUUAAAGAUUAUACAACGACUUUUCAAGAUGAAGAUGAGGAACAUUCUUAAAGAGAAAAAUUUACAAGGAUUAUUAUUUAUCAAGAUGAUGCACAUUUACACAGACAAGCAUGGAUUAGGGAGAGUGUUAGGAAUUAAUUAAAUGUAUUAAUUAAUGGGAUAAUCCCUGCGUUGCCGGUUGCCUUGUUUUAGCAACCGUUCCUUGUAAACCGCCUCUGUAACAAGGGUAUAAAUACCCACAUCUUCAAUCAAUGAAAACACUGUUCCAUCAUUCUGUCACUUUUACUACUUUACACUCUACUCCGUUCGUUGCCUCUCUCGCGGGAUGGGAAAGGGUGUGGUGGGCCACCAGGGCUCAGGCAAAAAAAAUUAUAUGCAUAUUAAAAAAAAAUCCUGGGGGUCUGGGUGUGCUGUGGCACACCCGCUGGGUCCGCCGAUGUCCGAAAGGGUAGAUUUCCUUCUUUUUUUACUGAUGAGAUAAGAGGAAAGCGGGGGAUGGACCCAUCGUCUACAUGCACACGCGUUCGUGCACCGGACCGCACCAUCAGAAAUCGUUAUGUACCAACAGAACAUAUGUGCAGUGUAUCGUGAUCACGUAUAAUACUGUCCCAUCAUCUAUAUCUUUUGCAGCUUAUACGAUGGCACUAAAUAUAUAUGCAUUGACGCGUCGUUGUUUUGUUUGUCUACAUACCGAGAGCAAGCGAGCUCGUGUGCUCUAUCCUCGCUCUCGAUAGUGGCUAGGCCAUUCAACCUCCAUGGCUAGCAGUCUAGACUUCACACUGCGGCAGCAAGCUAAAAGCAACUCCAACAAUUUCUCUGAAAUCCUUUCCGUAAAAGUGCUUUUACACGAUGUUUAUACAUUUUAGGGAAAGUUUUCUCAAAGUUAAUUUUGCCACAUCCCAUAAAGCUUGCCUAGUUUCUUGUGGUUUCAGCCGUGCAUGUAUAUUUAACUGUUGGUUUCUUGUGGUUUCAGCCGUGCAUGUAUAUUUAGCUGUUUUUUUUAAACGACUUUGCCUCAUCUUAUUAAUAAAGAAGAAGAGAGUUGCCCGAUUGAUUAAUGAAAAACUGGGCGAAAAUCAUUACAACACGUUCACACAGGACACACACGGCGACCUGACAACCCACAUAAAAACGCACACACGUAGCCGAGGAGAGAACACCGUUGAGGCUGCAAUCCGGUUUCAUCGCCAUCACACCUGCAAGGACGACUCCGACUCCAUCAUCGACGACCAUCAAUAUAAAAUAUAGCCCUCACCGUAAGCAAACGCCGAGGCCCACGCCGACCCCUUCCAAACAGUCAACCGCACACACCAACUACCAGACAGCUCCGACUCUGUCGACGAGAAUUGUAGGAGAAAAGCACUUAGCCUUAGCCGAGCCAGGGCUAGAACCGACCACCCGCCUUGCGUCAUUGUCGCCGCAUGACGCGAGACCCCUCCUCAACAGCUCCGACUCCAGGAAGACAAACUGAGGUGCAGCAACCCCCCCCCNGAGACCGACUACCAAAACUCAACAACAAACCAAUUCCGCCAGAAGCCACCAUUGUCACCGCACAAGAAGUUGCGCCAACCACAUCACCAGUCGGGCACCUGCCGACCACGAUGUCAUGUGUGUCCAGCUCCGUGAAAGCACGAAGGAAGCCAAUGACCCUCAAGGCAAUGCCCCCAAAGGGAUAGAGCGACGUGGGAGAACGACGCCAUCACCCGACUCACAUCCGAGUCUUUGGCUUUCGCCCGAUGGCAAUGGUCCGAAGGUGUUAGGCAAGGAAAGGGUCCACAAUGACCCUCAGGCAAAUUGUUACAUUUGUUGCAAAAUAAACAUAUGCACAAAAAUGCUCAUAUUUGCAAGAUAUGCCAGUAGAACAAAGCAUCGUGCAAGAUAUAACAGGAACGGAUGCAUUGAACAUCAAAAUCUUGGCCCAGACAUUCUUUUGUGUAACAUAAGCGCCACACACAGCGGUUCUAUGCAUAUCAAACUGAAACAUUUACCAUAUAGUAAAAUGUGACGAAAACAUUCUCUGCAUCAUCAUAUGAACAAUAGGAGAGAGCGAAAAGUUCCCAUGUCAGCCUUUUUGCCAACACUGAUGAAACAAGCACUGUGUUCAAGUAAACGACAAACAGACCUCAGCUCAGUCAGUUUGUAGAUGCAGACAUGGGCCUGCUGGUGCCUAAGCUCAGUGCCUAAUCAACCCCUAAGCAGCAGCAGCUCAUCAUAUAGCUGGAUCUUCUAAGUCAGCGGUGGACAAGUUAUUGAUUCGUGGAUACGCUGCCUUUUCGCUCAACUGGUUUUGAGUCCAAAUCAACAUCUUCAACAGGCUGGGGAGUUUCGGAUCUGCCAACAUGAACACAAAGAUCAAGGAUCUUCAAUAAAACAAAAAAAUCUGGCACAAGCAUGCUAGCAGUUUGAAAAAGCCCAAAGACAGCAACGAAACUUUCAUUCUGCUUAAAAUGUAUGAAUCGAUGGUACAAAAUCAAAACAAAGGCUUGCACAUCAUGCACUACUGAGGUGAAAAAGUUUGAAUUUCCGUGUUGCGAAUGUGAAUUUUAUUUUAAAAACUUGAAAAUAUUCAUCAUGAUUUCUUUCACCACAUCUCAAAAGAUUUUCAACAAGUAUCCCUACGCAGUUAUUUGACCUAUGUUUAUCAGUGUUUUCAAUAUUGAUUGCUGGUCACGCAUUAUCAGCUCAUGGGUUACCUGUUUUGAGCAUGACCGUACCUGCUUAUAUUAAUAUUAAGUCAGGUAACCUUUUGGUACAUCUAGUUUAAAUACACCAUGUUUUUGUUCAUAUUUCAGGAUAAAUAUAUACACUUGUCAGUCUGAUUUCCUUCUACCAAAGGGUUGCUUAUUCUAAAAUAAGGAAAUUGCUAUCAUUUCAUAUGGCACAGGCAUACAGGUACGCUUCAGUGACGAUAUACCAUAAAAAAGGUAAGCAAAUAAAAAGGGUAUCACAACAUAUACAUGCCUUAGUACGUACCUUUCUCAUGGCUUUGGCUUGUAAGAAUGGCAGCGUUAACUUCACUUGCUGUCUUCAAACGUUGAGAAACAUCCAGUAGUUCCCCGUAUGGGCAGUUUUUUACAUCUUCAAAAACCAAAAGCGCUACAGUUUUCUCUAUUUCCUCGAGAAAGGCUUCCUGCAAAAUUUCACAGACCAAAAGUAAGGUCACAGAAUGGUCUUAAAUGCAGUGGUAUUAACGGAAAAAAGUCAGCUAACAGGAGGAAUUGCAUUUUGAUUGAUGCAAUUUUGAACCCUGACUCUUAACUAAGGUAAGGGAGAUAAUUUGUUUCACUAAAAAUUACAUUUUCUUCGCCUCUUGGUGCGAGUUCUUCUUGAGCAAACUCCAAAGCUUCAGGUAUUUUCCCCACACGAAUCAACUCUAUCAGCUUUUGUUGCUGCAGAUGGAAGUAUAAUUCGGGAUUCGUAUCCAGAAUCUGCAUGUCAUAAGUUGAGUCAGGAUAGCAAGUCAAAAUUUAAUGAACCCCACUAUGAAAAACGCACAAUUGGAAUCUCGGUUAUAUAGAACUAACACAAAACUUCACUCAGCAGUAUACGAUAGAUCUAAAUAUACCACCGGCUGAAAAACGAGAAAAUGUAGUUUUCGCAAUCAAACGUAGAUGCAAUUUCUGAUACGCAUAUACCUAAGUUUCACAUAGAAAAAGAACAACUUCUAACCAAAAAACAAGCAUGGUCCAAAGACAAACCACAUCUAUCACCAGUACUGGAUUAACAAUUUGGUCUACUGUGACAUGUGAAAUUAAUUAUUGUUACACCAUUGCUCACCAGCAACACAUAAUGCAGAACCCAGAAUGUCCUUAGCACAUAGAUACAGCGAAGUGCCCAGAUACUGCAAGAUCAUCGCCCCCUUCUCCAUUCUUACUAAAAUUCUAAGCAACAAAUGCAGUCUUUCUUUUUCCUUCUGAAAGAAAGGGGUUUCCCCCCAGCCCCCACUUUAAUUAUGCAAUGGCCAAAACCGGACACAAAAGCAGUUUUCUUAAUCAAACAAAGAUGUAAUUUCUGAACCGCACAUUCAUAAGUUCUACUCAGAAAAAUAACAACUUGUAGCAAAAAGCAAGUAGGGUCCAAAGGCAAACCAAGUCGAUCAUCGGUACUAACACUUUGGUUAUUUCUCAGAUCUGAAAUUGGUUGUUACAUCAUCAGUUCAUCACCCACCAGUUAUCAGUAAACAUAAUGUGGAACCCCUAUGGUCGUUAUCACAUAUAUACAGGCAUACAGCAAAAUUAACCAAAACUGUCUCCUCCAAUCUUGUACUUUCCAGAAUCCAGAUAGCCCAACACCGAAAUAGGAACUGAAUUUGGGAGAAUGAGGGGCAGAAUGGAACCGUGGGGUUGAGAUCGUUGAUCCUCUCGACGGCCUCCUGGAUGUUCCCCGACUGAACCGCCUUCUUCACCUCCAUCCGGUCGGUGAUGGUCGCCAGGUCGAUCUCCGCUGCAACACGAAACCGCGCAUCGAUCAGACCUUGCACAGGGUGCCGUCACUAGGACAGCGAGCGAGAGGGGCUCGAGCUCGAUGCGUGUAGGCAAAGGCGUGGCGUACGGUACGUUGGGUGCCGGACUCGAGGCGGAAGCGGUGGGCGGCGUCGACGAGGCCCUCGGUGACGAGGAAGUUCAUCACGAGGCGGUUCAUGUCCUCCUUGCGGAUCUUGGCGUCCCGCAGCUUCCCCUCCCACUCGUCGCGCGUCACCACCUUCUUCGAGGUCGCCAUGGAGGGCGCGGGGCAGGAGCUGACUGCGCCGCGACGACGGGGAGAGGGAAACGGCGAGGGCAACAACGCGCGCGUGAGGCGGAGGUGUUUGGGGGCGUGGGGUGUGGGCGGGAGGGGGCGUCGGCGGUGAGGUACGGCGCGGCGGCGGGGCAAGGGCAGGCGGCGGUGGAGCGUGGAACCGUCCUGGGCUGGGUUAGGUUGGUAGGGUAAAACGAUGGUGGUUAUUAGGUUGGUAAUUUUCCUAUUCUUUCACAGGACGGGCCGGGCCUACCACCUGUACUUAACCGAUUUUCUUUUCUUUUUUCUGCUUUCCGUUUUCUGGUUUCUUUUUCUGUUUUUUCUCAAAUAACCAAAAAAAUAAAAACUAUGUUUAUUUAUUUUACUUAAAUUAUUGUUUUGGUAUUUGUGUUAAUAGUUUAUUAUUGCUUUGCUCAUCAGAUAAAAAAUCAAAAACAAAUGUCAGGUAUUAUUUCAAAAAACAUAUAAUGUGUAUGCAAAAAAUAAUGAUUUUUUACAAAAUAUAACAUGUGUAAGUAAGUAUUAAUAUAUUUCCAGAAAAUGUUCAUUGUAUAUUCUACAAAUCCGUAGCACGUAUUUUCAACAAUAUGAAGCCCAUAGUAAAAGGUUAUCUUAUAUUGAAAUUUUAAAAAAGCGCACCCUGUGUAAAAAAAAUUAAUCAUGUAUUUUUUAAUGUUCAUCGUGUAUUUAAGAAAUGAUCUUAAUUUGUUCUUCAGAGGUUGAUGUGUAUAUAAAAAAUGUCAUCACAAAUUUCAAAAUAUUCAUAUUUUUAUACAAAAAAGAGUCUCCAUGUAUUUUCACUAAAUUUAAGAACUUUGCUUUCAAAUUAUUAGAAAUCUUUUGAAACAGGCUCCUGGUGUGUCCCAGUACACAUUCGUCGUAGCCAAUAUAAGCUUCUACCUCGCUACAACCUGCAACGUAUUUGAGAGCAACUAAUGGACAAGCACCCCUUCGAAAGCCUCCGAAGGAUCAUGCAGAGAGCGCGUCGCUUGGCGCACUCUCAGCGUCCGCCACAUGUCAUGCUCUGGAGGCUACCUCUGUAUAUUUUUCUUUUAUUUUAUUUUGCAUNGUGACAGGCACAGAUUUCCUUUCGUGAAAGGCAUGAAUUUGCUUCCGUGAAAGGCAUGAUCAUCCCUUUCGAAAACAAAAAAAUGUAUAUUUUUCUCUUUCAUGAGAGGCAUUGUUGUGCCUCCUUUUUGUCUCUGUUUUUCUUUGUAUUUUCAUGAAUUUUGUUUUGUCAAAAACUAUUUAAAAUUGAUCCAUUUUGAUAAAAUCUCAACACGUGAAUUCCGACAAUGAAAAUGGUUCAUGAUUUAGAAGCAUGGUUCAAAAAAUAAAAACAUUUUUAAAAAGUGAAUCUAAAAGAAUCAUAUUGAGACAAAUGGCGCAUAUACAAUACACUACUUGCGAAGGCGACAAAAGAUAAUAAUGACCUUUGCAAGCGGUAUCCUUUAGUUUUUACUAUGGAAAAUCGAUGCGUUAAGACAACGACGGAUCCAACAACGACCAACCGAGCAUCAGAUAGCUCAGCCCACAUGGCCCUAAUAUGCAAUGACUAUAGCUCACUGGGAGAUGAGAUGUCCAUAGCUCCUAUUUGGCGCGUAAGCUGUUGUAUAGUGACCUUGCGCAUAUACACCCCACCCCCUGUGCGGUGAUGCGCAGCUGACCAGUGUAUGGAUCGGCCCGCUCUGGUUUUGUCCAUGCAAAAGGGUCUAGAACAUACAUGGAAUUUGUUUUUUCUCUCUUUUUCUAGUUUUAUUUCUUUCAUCUUUUAUGUUUUCCUUAUGAUUUAUGUUUCUAUUUUUUGUUGUUGUUGUGUUUGUUUUUAUUUCUUUUUAUUUUUCUUUCUUUUUUAUCUCGCGAACAUAUUUCAAAUUCCUUAUCAUUGCUUGAAAUAGUGAAUCAUUUUAAAACCAUAAACAUUUUUCGAAUUGGAGACCAUUUUAUAGAAACCAUGAACAUUUGUUUGAAAUAGUGAACAUUUUUUACAAACUCAUAGACAUCUUCUCAAGUCAUGUUCAUCGUGUAUUAAAAUAAGUGUUUUGUAUAUAAGAAUUUAUAUGAUUUGUUGAAAAUGUUGCCUGGGUAUUUGAAAAAAUAUUAUUAUGUAUUCAAAAUAUUGAACAUGUAUUUAAAAAUGUUUAUCUUGUACUGUAAAUGUUCAUCAUGUAUUAAACAAUGUCCAUCAUAUAUAUAUAAAUUACUUACCAUGUUUUUUGAAAUAGUUGACAUAUUAAAAAAACAGUCAUGCAACGGCUAGUUCCGCAUCACAAUAUGCCCGGCGUCCUAACAUCAAUAGUGAUUAUCUUUGGUGGGCGCACAUGCAUGAUUUUAGAAAGAUACGUUGUCUAGAUAAUGUUUGAAACACACCAGGGGUUGAAAUCAUGGCCUGUGUUGGUAGGGCUCAACAGAUGCGGACUUGCGUCGUUAAUUUAUUGAAGACGUUGUCUCAGUGAUGGCGCUGGCGGUGGCGGUGGCGAGGUGUAUCAUUUUACGAAGACGUUGUCGCGGAAGAAGUUGACCUAGUCCUAGGUGGUACAUCCAUAUAUUGUACUCCCUCCGUCUCAUAAUGUAAGAGUGUUUUUCGAUACAUGUAAAAAAAACGUUCUACCAUUAUGGGACGGAGAAAGUAAUGCUUAUGCGGUCUUUGAUUUUUUUGAUUUUUUGUAUGUACUUCAUUUUUUUGAUCACUUUGACCUUGCUCCUUUGUGUUAACUUAAAUAAAAGAUGGUUGCCUGUAUCAGUUGUAGAUGUAAGGGGGUUCCAACUCCACCUUCAUGAGAAAAUACAUCUCACUUUCUGUUUGUUUUUUUUUUUGUUUUUUUUUUUUACUAUCUAGUCUAGGAUAAAAGAACCUCUCACUAAGACUGGAACUAUUUUGGCAUCCCCAAUGGCACAAGUACGGGGGGAAUUAUGAUCGACGACGCACAAAGGAAGGUCAAAGGCUCAGCGAGUUAGUUAAUCCAGCAGCAGCAAUGAGCAUGUGCUUCUUCGCUUCUCUUGCUUUGCUGCUGUUGGAAUAACAAAACAUGAGUCUUAAAGUAGAGCUACAAAAUGGGAGCCCAGAUGCUGCUGCGCCUGCACAUGGACGAAUCGGCGGCACCGACAGAACGGAGUACUCCAUCCUACGUAGGGUAUGCUCGAUCGUGCUGGCCAUGUACUCGAUGAACAUAAUGUAUGUAGUACGUGUACGUACGUAUAAGGAUUCCACGCAAAUGGUACUGAGUAUUAAGAAGCGACUAGAUUAGUUAAGGUAGCUUAAUCAGCAUUGUACUUGAUUAGUUAAGGAUGGGCCCUUCCCCACGUACGUACGCAGCAGCUUCUAAUCAAGUGCGAUUAAGCCAAGUGAUCCACGGCCGAGAGGGUUUUGUCUGAUGCGAGAGCUGGCGACCGUGCCCUGUCAGUUUUGUCUGAUGCGGGUCUUUUCCUAUAUAAUCGAAUCGCAGAUUGACACUUUUCUGCCGAAAGAAAUGCAGGAGCUGGGCAGUAACCGGGCCUACAAGCAGUUUGCAAAUCUCUACUAAUAAAGGGGGCAGUUGGUAGCUGGAUCUCACCGGUUUAAUUUCGUCACUGGUUAAUUUUCGUCCACCUCUACCUGGUUAUUUUUCGUCCACCUCUACCUGGUUAUUUUUCAUCUCUCUUUCCACCAACUGUUGUUUUUUUUUUUUGUCUCUCCUUCCACCAAAGGAUGGUUUUUUUUCGUCUCUACUUUCUCAUCGGUUAAUUUUCGUCUCCUGAUUUUUGACCAGCCACCGGUUUAUGUUUCUAUCUCCUCCCGCAAAACAAAACUCUUUGCACAAAACAAACGCCAGUCCUCAUCCCGCACAGGGUUAGGGUUCCUGUGCCGCCGCCGCCGCGCUCCUCGACCUCCUACUGCCUUGCCCCUCUCUUCCCUCGACCUCCAGGAACCGCCACGCUCGACGAUCUCUUGCAGGCGGCCCUGCACCGGCUCCCGCCCGCGAACGUCGCGUGGGCGUCCUGCUUCUGCCGCCUCUGCCGCGCCGGCGUUUCCGACCGCGCCGUGCUGGAGGCCGCCUUCCAGGCGUGCUGGGGCGUGCGUCGCGACAACAAAGUGAACCAACGUCGUCCUCAACCGCCUCCUUCGUGAAUCGCCGACGUCGUCAAUCGCCUCCGUCCAUAACUAUCGCUGCCGGUUUGAACCAGCCGUCGCCGGUCAACCGCCGCCGUAAUUGCCUUCUGUUUUCUCUAACUAAUCUAGGUAUUUGUACAGACCUAUGUACGCCCUUUUGUCCGAAUACAUCUGAGCCGGAUCUACAUAUGGUGUCGGAUCUACAAAAUUUCAUACACAAAUAUAUGCCUCAAAUCUGCCUUACAGUACAUAUGGACGUUUUACGAGCGCGGGUGCAUCUGGAAAUUUCUUCGUCUCUUCAAACUUUACUCUGCAUACAACAAAUGACGACUUCCUUUAUCAAUAGCAGAUAUGUUUUCAAAAAAGUUUUCAUCGAAAAAACAACAAGGAGAAAGCUUUUUAGCAGGCAACACUGAUCUGGUUUAGUUUACCGCUCUUAAGCAUGCAUUCAUUGUAGGUAUGGGGAAUUCAAAAAGCAAGGCUAUUGGAGGUGACAACGUUUCAGAUGUCUCUACAGGUAUAUGCUACGCUAUGAAGUUAUAAGCUCUUCAAAAUGAAUUGUACCUACAAGUGUAUUCAUUUCAAUCAACUAUCCACAUUUUAUAUCGCCUAAUGAAUGGGUCUUUGUGGUCUCAUCCUAGCUAAUUUUGUAGUUAUUUAAUCCUUCCCUACAAGUUAAAUAUGUACCUUUUACCACUGUUCGGAACCUCAUGGAUCUUAUUCAGUUUAAAUAAUUUAUCCCUUACAACCACAUAUUUUUGAACUGCCAAAUAGUUUUACCUUGCAGCUUAUCAGUUCAUCUUCCGAAUAGGCAUCACUUUCCAAAGCAUCAUGUAAUUCAUUAAUCUUUCCACUGGCAUAUGAUUUACCAAUAUCAGAAACCUGCAAGCACGGGUACUUAAGUCAGCCCAUAUUUCAAAUUGUGAUGCAAUGGUGCUCCAGUCGCACAGAUAAAAACUUUCUGAAUACAAUAACCUGAUCUACGGCUUCCUUGCAAAGUAGCAUUUUAUUUUUUACUUGCAGUAUGCAAAUAUUUGCGCUAAGAGUAUUAUACACCAUGUUAACUGCGACCUAUGAAACAUAACAGUAAGGGAGAAAUAUUACAGAUUCAUAUAUCUGAAAAUUUUCAGAAAGUGGCCAGUAUUUUUGUCAGGUUGGGCUGUUCUUCAGCAUUGUCUUCCAAGCAAGAGUAUGCUAAUUGCAUACUCUGAUUUGCACCAGAAGUACGAGCCUCGUCUGCGAAGGAGGAAUCCAUCACAGACAUGAAGUCCCUUUGUCUAAUAUUGUCAACUGCCUAUUAGAACAAAGCCAAGUCAAUCCUUUCCAUAGAUAAUGUUCAAAGUAACAUACCAGUAGUCAUAUAUUACUUCUAAUGAGAAGACACUGGUGUAAUUCCACAGCAAAAUCAGUUUCUGUAAUUAUGUUGAUGGAAUAGCUAACGUCGGAAAUGUACAAGAUCUGAUUGAGCUACCCAUUCAUUGUAGGUAUGGUGAAUUCAAAUAGCAAGGCUACUGAAGAUGACAAAGUUUCAUAUGUAGCUACAGGUAUAUGGUACGCUAUGAAGUUUACCUACAGGUGUAUGCAUUUGAAUCAACUUUCAUAAAUUAUCCUUCUAAGAUCCUGAACUUGAUGCGCACAUCAAUACCAUAAACUAAACGGAGACAAAAAUGCAGGUAAGGAAAACAGUGGUAACUUAUUAAAUAGGUAACAUCAAUCUUUACUGAUGUCUUGGAAUGAUUAGUAUCGGCUGUGAUUAUCGAUUAACUUGACGAGGAAUGGGCCUAUGGCCUUAUGCGAACCACUCGAAAAAUAUUAUGAGAGGAAUCCCAGAAUGUAGAUGUGGUGGACAAUCUCCGUGCAGCCUGCUCAACAUAUAAUCUGGAGCCUUUGUGGUCUCAUCCGAGCUAAUUUUGUAGUUAUUUAUUCGUUGCCUACAACUAUCACAUAGUAUUCAUUAGAAAAUCAUGAAGAUUAAUAGUGAACAACAUGAAACUAUGAAUAACAAACAAAUAAUGGUAGGAUUUCUCUAACAACUUGCUACAUAUAUGUUAGUAUCUCUACUCCUAAAGUGGCAGUUGCAAGCUUCUUAUACUGUCAAAUGGAACAGGUGAUUUUAUAGAUCAAGGCAUGCAUGCUGAUGAUGACGAUGCUGAUCAAAUUAAUAUAGAUGUGGCAAAUGUUGAUGAAUACAACGCAAAUGGCAUAGCCGUAGAUGACAAUGAUGACAAUGAAUACUCUACUGGACCAGGUAUUUGUUUUGCUAUAAAGUUCAGAUGUUCAUUUAUACCGCCUACUUGUAUGGGCCUUUGUGGUCUCGUCCGAGCUAAUUUUGUAGUUAUUUUAAUCGUUGCGUACAAGUUAAAUAUGUAGCUUUUACCAAUGUUCUCAACCUCAUGUAUCUGAUUCAUUUUACAGUUCAUAGUCAUGCAAAAUGAUGGAUCUGAUAGGGCUGACCAUUCAUUGUAGGUGUGGGGAAUUCAAAAAGCAAGGCUACUGAAGAUGACAUAGUUUCAGAUGUAGCUGCAGGUAUAUGCUACGUUAUGAAGUUAAGCUCUUCGAAAAUAUUAUGCUACAUGUCUCAUCCGAAGCUAGAAAAUUUAAAGAUGCCAAAUAUAAUGAUUUACUAAAAAACAAUAUACAUCUAUAAUCGUUAGCAUAGUUCUUGCAUAAUAUGUUUUUGAGGAUGAUGGAGUAUCUCUUGCUGAAAUAGCCACCCCAACUAACAUGACAGGAGGAGUUGUCUUGGAUAAUAGCAAAGAAACAAGACAAAUACCUCCAAUUGGCCGCAAAAAGGCUCCUACUGACGAACAAAGGGAUCGUAUAAACGCAAAGAGGCGGGCUUCUUAUCUGAAGAAGAAAGAUAUGCUUAACCCAAACGAGAAGACAACUCACCAAUCGACGACAGGUAAGAUUGUGAUAUGUUUCGUCAUUCUUUUUAGUAUGAAAAUGUGCUGCCUUAUUCUGGAAUGCUAACUCUCAUGUCGCAGGCCUCUUUAAUGAUAUCAGGAAUGUUCAUCAACCUUGCCAUGUGAUAGGAGGUACACUUUUCGUAUGAAAAUUUAUGUUUCAUCUUUUCGAUAGCACUACAUGCGUUAUUUUUCGUAUGACACCACGAGCUGACAUGGAAAGUAUUAAACAAACAAGGCAGACACCGGCAAUUGGACGCAAUGAAAUGUUGAGUGACGAAAAAAAUAAGCUUAUACCCUCAAACAUGCAAGCUUGUUAUGAUGCAUCGUUGUCGUUAUCAUGUACCCUUAAUCAAGAUGAAAAUGUGGAUCCCCUUACGAUAUCAGGUAGCCUUCUCAUCUAUUUUAAGUUUCAACCUAAUGAUAAAGCAUUAUACAUGGGUACUGUCUUUUUAGUAAAAUGGAUUGUUUCCUUUGUUCAAAUAGCUAACCCAACUAAUAUGACACACCAACUAACAUCACAGGAGGAGCUGUCUUGAACAAUAGCAAAGAAACAAGGCAAAUACCUCCAAUUGUCCGCAAAAACACCUUGACUGAAGAACAAAGGGAACAUAUAAACGCAAAGAGGCGGGCUUCUUAUCGGAAGAAAAAAGAUAUGCUUAACCCAGACGAGAAGACAACUCACCAAACGACGACAAGUAAGAUUGUGAUAUGUUUUGGUCAUUCUUUUUAGUAUGAGAAUGUGUUGCCUUAUUCUGGAAUGCUGACUCUCAUGUCACAGGGCUCUUUAAUGAUAUCGCGAAUGUUCAUCAACCUUGCCAUGUGAUAGGAGGUACACUUUUCGAAAACAGUCUAUGGGUUCUCUUAUGUAGGUUGUUGAUGGACGAUAAAAAUUUAUGUUUCAUCAUUAUGAUAGUACCACAUGCGUUAAUUUUCGUAUUACACCAGGAGGUGACAUGGAAAAUAUUAAACAACCAAGGCACACACCGCCAAUUGGACGCACUGAAAUGUUGAGUGACAGAAAAAAUAAGCUUGUAACCUCAAACAUGCAAGCUUGUUAUGAUGCAUCUUUGUCAUUAUCAUGUACCCUUAAUCAAGAUGAAAAUGUGGAUCCCCUUACGAUAUCAGGUAGCCUUCUUAUCUAUUUUAAGUUUCAACCUAAUGAGUUAGCAUUGUACAUGGGUACUGUCUUUUUAGUAAGAUUGAUUGUUUCCUUUGUUCAAAUAGCUAACCCAACUAAUAUGACACAAGAAGUUGUCUUGAAUAACACCAAGGAAACAAGGCAGAUACCUCCAGUUGGGCUCAAAAAAAAAUUGACGGACGAACAAAGAGAGCAGAUAAACGCAAAGAGGUGGGCUUCUUAUCGAAAGAAAAGAGAUAUGCUUAUAGGAGAUGAAAAUCUUGCUCCACAUACAAUGACAAGUAAGCUUGUGAUAUGUUUGUGAAUAUCGUAAUGAUUUAUGAAAUGUGAUUAUUUUUGGCAUAUGUUUUCAUUGUAUUGUAUAACCAUCCAACCCAGCUAGAUGCGGUGUUACAUCAUCCUCACAUGACGAUGCAGCGUUGUCAUUAUCAACGACACUCAAUCAUUAUGAAAAUGUGUCUCCCCUUACUAUAUCAGGUAGCGUUGUUAACUAUUUUAUGUUUCAUCCUAAUGAUGUAGCAUUGCACUUGAAUAAUGUAUUUUCCAAGUAUGAUGACAUAUUCUUGUUGAAACAUGACAACAGGGGUUGUCUUGGAUGACACCGAAGAAAUUAGGCUAAUACGUCCAGGUGGAUGCAAUAAAAACUUGACUGUCGAAAAAAGGGAGCAGAUAAAUGCAAAAAGACGGGCUUCUUAUCAGAAGAAAAGAGAGAUGCUCAUCGAAGAUGAAAAACUUACUCUCCAUACGAUAUCAAGUAAGAUUGUACUAACAUCUUUUUACUUCCUAAGUCCCAAAUGUUUAACAACGCCCGCUCUAUAUCUUGUAAAUAAUGAAUUGAUGAACAUGUCAUCUCACUUGAUGAUGCAGCAUCGCGUUCUUCAGCUACACUAAGACUGAUGAAAAACUGACACCCCUUACGGUAUCAGGUAAUUUUAUACCAUGCUAUAUGUUUCCUGACAAUGAUUUACCGUAAUUUGACUAUAUUCAAGUUUCUUCAUUAUAUUUGAAAAUAAUUCGAGAUGAAUGAUGACAUAUUAUUUGUUGAACCAGACAACCCAAUUAGCUCCAGCUAUACAUCCUUCUCAAUUGACGAUGCAAUGUUUCGUGCUUCAAACACACUCGCAUGUGAUGACAUUCAUGAGGAAUAUCUAGCUCGCCAUAUACUACAUUCUUCCAUUACACCUGAAGUUGUGUUCAAUAGCACCAGUGAUUUUGAAUCAGCAAACCCUACUAAGUACAACAUUGCAUCAUUAUUGACUGAGGAUGAAAAUUUGCCUCCAUCAAGUUCACAAUAUGAUAGUGCUCGUCAUAAAACCCUAGCCAAGAGGACUUACGAUAAAGAGCGCAAUUCUAAAUUAACAAUCGAGCAGAAGGAUCAUGAUAACGCAAGGAGACGAGCUGGUAAACAGAAGAAACGGGAAGAGGGCACAAUCAAUGUUCAAGAGCAAAAUCAAAGGCAACGAGAGACACGCAUGGAGCGCCGGAAAAUUAUGACUUCCGAUGAGAAGGUGCGGUCAAGUGCAAAGAGAAAGGGAAAUUACCAUAGAAUAAAAACACCCCAUCCAUAGAAUCUAUCGCAAUGCCACGGCCAGAUGUUCUGGCUCUAUCUGAUUCCGCCCCAUCAAUUACCAUUCUGUCUUACACCGUCGGAACCGAUGGUAAAAAUUUGUUAUUGUCACAAUCUUUAGAACAAAAUUUUGCUUUACCCUCUUUUGCUUACUAUCUCUACGAUGUUGCAGAAGAUAUGGGGGCAUUCAUAAGCACCAUCGUGGACGAUGAUACGAUAUCAUCCUCCUUCAUUGAUGAUGAGUAUUAUCUGUUUCGCUCGCAAGGUAUCGUUUAUGGUGAAUUAGGAGAUAGUUUGACUUUUUUGAAAUAUCUGUUUAUGCUGCUCUGAGUGCGGUGUUUGAACAAAUGCAAAUAGGAUUCGAUGAUGAUAGCCAUGAUGGAGAUGAAGUCACGAACAUGUCUAGCGCUGAGUCUGUUGACAUUGAUCCGUUCGACUUUGUCUACUCAAACCUCCCAGAUAGAACACACAUCCUGAAGCACGCCAAGAACCGCGACCACUGCAAGGCCAAGAAGUUUGAGUCUCAGACCGACGGUUUCUGUUGUCGCAAUGGGCAGAUUGAGCUCAAGGAACCAGAUCCCAUCCCCGAGCUAAUGAGGCUUUGGUCCAGCAUGGAUGCAGACUCUAGACACUUUCGGGAAAACAUACGAUUCUUUAAUGGACACUUCGCAUUCACAACCCUUGGUGUCAACCUCGAUGAAAACUACACAAACAUGAAGUCUGGUGUGUACACUUUCAGGGCGCACGGCACCAUCUACCACAACGUGCAUUCCUUCGGGCCAUGCUCACGUCCAGAACAUCUCCAGCUGUACUUCUAUGAUGACGACCCAAACCUGACCCAUCGCAAGGUUGCCACCAAACAAUUGGACCAGAAUGUCGUCAAGGUGUUAGUGGACAUACUACGUGCAAACCGUACUCACAACAAUUUCGGAGUUUGGGUGCACACAAGGAUCACCUCGAUGAUUACAUGAUAGACCUCAACACCGACCAGAGGCUUGACCAACGGAGAUAUAAUAGGCCAAUGUCAUCAGAGGUAGCUGCAAUCUGGGUCGAGGGCGCCGACGUAGCGAAAAGGUUUGAUCGUAGCAUUACACUUUUCGGUAAUGAUAAUCACAGGCACAGUAUAGGUGUCAUUGAUGGCUCUUACGACCCGUUGUCCUAUCCCCUAUUCUACCCUUGUGGGGAGCUCGGUUGGCAUCCAAAACUGCCUAAACGUAAUGUCCCUUGGGAGGUUGUACAGCAACCAAGAAGGUGGCAUGAUAAUGAGGAGGAUGCAGGUAGCCUUUUUCUUUAUUAUGUUAUUAUGAAAAUAAUAUAAGACUCAUAUGUAUACUAACUAAAGGUGCUACAUUACCUGUUGCAGAGGGUAAUAGCAGGUUAUGCGUGUCCGUGAGAGACUACUACUGUUACAGACUGCAAACACGAACUGCUAUAUUGAAUCCCAUACUUUGUGGAGCACGAUUGCUCCAACAAUGGGUGGUCGACAUGUACAUCAAGAUAGAGAGUUGUAGGUUGAGAUGGUACAGAAAGAACCAAACAAAGAUCCGUGCCGACCUUUAUAAAGGAGUUGUUGAUGCUAUCACUCCUGGGGAGACACGAGCGAGCGCUGUCGGAGUAAGGAUAGUGCUCCCUGGAACGUACCCUGGUGGCGACCGUGACAUGAAACGGAGGCAUACGGAUGCCAUGUCAAUUGUCCAUACAUAUGGGAAGCCUGACAUCUUCUUGACCAUGACCUGCAACCCUAAAUGGGAAGAGAUAUCGAACGAGCUGCUUCCUGGUCAGACAGCUCAGGACCGACCUGACCUUGUGGCUCGCGUGUUUUAUGGCAAGCUAGAGGCUAUGAAAGAGUUGUUGUUCAAAAAGCAUAUCCUGGGUGUUGUUGUUGCGUAUGUAUACGUAGUCGAGUUCCAAAAAAGAGGCCUCCCCCACGCACACUUUCUGUUGAUCAUGGAUGCAUCAUAUAAGCUCGUCGUCCCGGAGCAAUACGACCGAGUCAUUUCCGCUGAGCUCUCGGACAAGCAUAAGUAUCCAGAACUCUAUGCCUUGGUGGUCAAACAUAUGAUGCAUGGUCCAUGCGGUGCUCUCAACCCCAAUAAUGUGUGCAUGCAACAAAACAAGUGCAAGUGCAGAUACCCUCGGGCAUUCAAUGAAAACACGGCACAGGGCAAGGACCAUACCCAGUUUAUCGACGUAGAGACGACGGGCAUAGGGCUAAGGUCCGGGGUAAAGUGUUGGACAACAGGUGGGUAGCGCCUUAUAACCCUUACCUUUUGCGGAUGUUCAAUUGCCACAUCAACGUCGAGGUCUGCUCGAGCAUAAAGGCCGUCAAAUACCUCUACAAGUACAUAUACAAGGGCCACGAUAGGGCUUCUUUCAGCAUCGACCAGCCGGACGCCGAUGGAAUCAUUGAUGAGAUCAAAAGAUAUGUCGACGCGAGGUGGGUUACUCCUCCGGAGGCCAUGUGGAGAAUAUUUGGCUUCUCCUUAUGGGGGAACUCCCCGUCUGUCCUACAGUUGCCUCUUCAUCUUCCGAAUAUGCACAUGGUGGCAUUCAAUGAGCAAGCUGACUUGACCAAUGUCCUCGCCUCUGAGAAUGCUUCAAAAUCCAUGUUGACGGAGUAUUUCAAGGCUAACCAAGACCACCCGUGGGCUAGGCAUAUAUUAUACAAGGAUUUUCCUGGGAGCUUCACAUGGCAGAGAACAAAGUAUUGGAAGCCACGGGUGGAACGUUAUCAAAUAGGGCGGAUCGUGUCUGCCAAUCCAGCCGAGGGGGAGCGAUACCAUCUGCGUGUAAUACUAAACCAUGUCGCGGGCAAGACAUCCUUCGAAGACAUGCUCACCUGGAUGGCAUUCUAUGUGGUAGCUUUCGUGAGGCUGCAGAGAGGUUGGGACUCAUUGAGGCAGACAACACGCUUGACGAUUGUCUUACUGAGGCGGAGCAGUGGGCGAUGCCUUGUUCGCUCAGGAGGCUUUUCGCAACAAUCUUGGUGCAUUGCGAGCCGGGCGAUGUGCGCGGUUUAUGGGAUAGGCACUUUGAGCCUAUGUGUGAUGACUAUCGUCGAGCACACAAGUGUACAAAUGAUGUGGAGCAGAUGGUGUUGUUGGAUAUUAGAGGUAUAUUGCAGUCCAUGGGGAAAGACAUUGUAGAUUUCGCUCUUCCGUGCAUUGACGAUGAGUUCGACCCGACCGGUGGCGAGGCAAGAGAGGUGAUUGAGGAGUCCACCGUCGAGUUUGACGUGAACGACACAAAAUUGGCUUCGUCACUAAACUUGGAGCAGAGGGUUGCAUACGACGAGAUACUAGCAGCAGUUGACCGCAGUGAUGGAGGUGUAUUCUUUGUUGAUGGCCCAGGAGGUACAGGGAAGACCUUUUUGUACAGGGCGCUACUCGCCAAGGUUCGGAGCAAGGGCAACAUCGCUAUCGCUAUCGCGACUUCUGGCGUCGCCGCUUCUAUCAUGCCUGGAGGAAGGACUGCCCACUCGAGGUUCAAGAUCCCAUUGAGUUGCGAUGAUGGUGCCUCAUGCAGCUUCGCCAAGCAGAGUGGGACCGCAAAGCUACUAAGGAUGGCUUCGUUGAUACUAUGGGAUGAGGCCACCAUGACUAAGCGACAGGCGGUCGAGGCACUUGACAAUAGCAUGCGCGACAUCAUGGGAAGACGGGACCGACCCUUCGGAGGAAAGACAGUUGUUUUCGGCGGCGACUUCAGGCAGGUGUUGCCGGUCGUCAGGAGGGGGUCCCGCAGUCAGAUAAUCGAUGCAACCCUUUGAAGUUCUCACCUCUGGAAGGGUAUGCGACAGCUAAGGCUCGUCACCAACAUGAGGGCUCAUAAUGACACAUGGUUUGCGGAUUACUUGCUUAGGGUAGGCAAUGGCACCGAGGAAGCUGACGAGCAUGGCAACAUACAGCUCCCUGAAGAUAUUUGUGUGCCAUCUACAGGCGAGAUGAACGACAUGGAGAAGUUGAUUGACCAUGUGUUUCCUGGUCUAGAUGAAAACAUGUCUGAUCCCAAUUACAUGACUUGUCGUGCAAUCCUCUCCACCACAAACGACAACGUUGACAAGAUAAACUUACGCAUGAUAGAUCGUUUUAAGGGUGAAGAAGUAAUAUACCAUAGUUUUGAUAGUGCACAGGACGACCCGUAUGGCUACUACGCUCCUGAGUUCCUGAACGGAUUGACCCCCAACGGGCUUCCUCCACAUGCACUCAAAUUGAAGCUGAACUUCCCUGUCAUACUUUUGAGGAACAUUGAUCCGGCUAAUGGACUAUGUAAUGGCACUAGGCUUGUUGUUCGAGGUUUCGAGAGGAACGCCAUUGAUGCAGAAAUCAUGAUUGGACAACAUGCUGGUAGGAGGGUAUUACUUCCUCGGAUACCCCUAUGCCCAUCUGACAACGACAUGUUUCCAUUCAAGUUCAAGAGGAAGCAAUUUCCUUUAAGGCUUAGCUUUGCUAUGACAAUUAACAAGGCGUAAGGACAGACCAUCCCGAUUGUCGGUGUGUACCUACCUAACCCGGUGUUCUCUCAUGGUCAACUUUAUGUCGCGCUGUCUCGAGCCACCGCGAAGAGAAACAUAAAGAUCCUCAUUGAGAAGGAGAAGGACAAGGGAAAGAAACAGACCAAUAAAUCAAAUAAGCGAAAAAGACCCACGCUAUGCUUACAAAGGACGAUGAAGAAUAUCGUCUACAAGGAAGUCCUUACAAGCUGAAGUUUAAUGUUUCUGUGCUUUUCUCUUAUUUCUCCUUUCCGUUUUAUUUUCAUAUAUUGUUAGUGCAUUUAGAUUUCAUGAAAAAAAUUAGUCAAUAAUUAUCUAAUGUGUAUGCUGCUGCACUAACUUUCAUGAUUAAAAAGUUAUCAAUUGUGAUUAAAUAGUUCUGAUUGAGCAUAUAAUUCAAAGAAUGGUCGAGUCAAAGCGGAAGAGUGCCAAUGCACUAGGUUAGGGAGAAGGUGUGACCUGUGUAGAAAAUUUACAUCGUUAUAGAAUCCAUGCACAUAUCUUCUCCCGAAAAUGACUUUUUUGUAAUGAACCCAAUGGAGGAGUAACCUGAUAGAGCCAACGGUAAUUGUUAUUUGCUUAUAGAUAAUUUAUCACAAGAAACUAAAAACUUAGGCUGCGCAUGUGUUUAACCCAAGCAUGCACAUCAAACUGACUUUGCACCAUGUUCAGCCAUCUCAUAGCGAAGUAUUAUUUCAGUACCUCAACACCUGCAGUUUUUACCAUAAAAAACCUCAUAGUACAAAAGCACGAGAAAAAAAACUUUUGAAGGAGAAUGUUCAUAGGAAGAGUCUAUUGUAGCAUGUGCAAACUGUACUUCCUAUUAUACCAUGGUGUUCACAGUAAUGUUUUUAAUGCAUUUCUUAUGUUAUGUAUAAUAUGUUACGAUUAGCGUUCUCAGCAAUUCAUUGAAGGAUGUAAACUAAGAAGUCAAAUGCAUAUAAGAUAUAACAGUAGUCACGUUAUGUGAAGGAAACUGACUGGGAGUGACCAACCUUACCUCAGGUAACUUCAAUGAUGUAUAACUUGUGAAUGUGUGAACCUCUUAUGCCUUGAAUCUUCCAUACAAGCAAUAUAAAAGAGGAUUGUGGUUGCCAAUCCAAUCAUCUGCAGCGGACAAAGUUUUGUGAAAGUAGGCUAGCAUUUUGUAUAUGGUUAAAAUACUUUGUCCCUUAAUAACAUGAAUAAACUGUGAUAUUUAAUUAUUCAUAGAAAUAUAUGUGAGCAUCUUAUUAAAUGAAUAAUACUCUUAAGGCAAGAAUAAUAAUUUAUGAUGCUGAUCGUACGUGGAGAAUACAGAGAUUGGCCAUGUAGUCUUCAUUGCCUAAUAGGUUAUCAAUUUUAUUUUCGGCGGCUUCGUGAAGAUGGGUCAGAUAUGUUACUUCAGCAAAUUAACCUUCCUAACUAAAAUACAGUACACCACUCAUUUCAGAUUUCCACCACAAUAUUGGCAAACAUCGCUUGCAGCUUUGUGAUCAUCGGUUACCGUAUUUUAGUUACAUGAACAUAGGUUAAUUCCAAAUGUUUUCAUCAGUGGAAUACAAUGCAAGAAUUCCAUUCCCAAAAUGUUGGACAAUUUUUUUUGCUAUAUAUCAACUAUGCAUAAUACACUAAUGAGUGCAACAGUCUGACAGAUGGACGAGACCGAUGAGAUACACUAUCAAGAACAAACUAUUUUAAUUCUCUAACGAAGUAUGAAUAGAGAAAUUAUAGCCAGACAACUUAUCGUAAGCAUGAUCUCCCACAUGGCAAAAUCAUUAACUCCUUCUGAUAAGACCAGCCAAAAAGCAUAGACAGAUGCCAAGAAAACGCCAAUCUACAUAAAUUCCUUGCAAAGCAACAGAAAAUACUGAUCAAUUACUGGUUAGUCUCAUCCAGAUAGAAGGACACAAAUGUGUGCACUGCUGAACCUAAUAUUGAAUUCAAAGAGGAUACAUGACGCAACAAAGCGACUUCAUUACCAUAUAUCAAUGUGUGCACCGCCGACAAAACAAUCACGAUUUAUUCAUGAAGCUUGAAUAAAUUUUCAAGUGUCUGCUAUAACUAUUUUUUAAAGGUGGAUAAUAAAUCUUUAAAUGUUUGAAUCUGGUACCAUAAAAAUUAAAUCUUCUACACUUGGAAAGAGAUAUCGCAUUCAUUAUAAAACACACAAUUAAUGAUAGACUACGUUGACUACUUAUCACAUGGUAUUGUGGAUGUGCCAGAUAUAUUUUAUCAUGAUAUCUAGAAAGGAUAUUAAUUAAAACAUGCAAUUAAUGAUACAAUCUGGUGCUUCCAUCUAUACAAAUCAUUCAUUGAUGUACAACUGGAAAGUCUUAUAGCAAUUUUGGUGCAUAAUCAUAUAUAGAAAACAUGAGAUGCAUCAAUAUUUUGAUACAAUCUGCAACUUCCAUAUAUACAGAAUUUCCCCGCAGUCCUUUAGGCUUCCAAAAAUGCCCAUCACCACUAUAUAUAUAAGUCUCCAUCAUUGUACAUAGGAUCAUCUCCUCUUUGACACCCUCUCCUCCACGAUUAUGGUAAUCUCAUACAGGUUGACGACCUCAAGGAGAGUGAUGGCGUCGCCAUCAUUUCCUGUCAUCCCUCGUCCCAUCACCCCCCAAUUAACAGGCAUGAAAAAAUUGAGCUGCUUGUACGUCAGUUUGCCAACACCGCUGAAUUUUGUUUGUCGUUCAUGAGGUUUAUUCUAUACACAGGAACUUGACAUUUCGUCACGUCGAGAUGGAGCAUAUAUACCAGAAUUGUUGGACCAUUCGUGCAAUGGUCCAAUGGAAGGCACAAAUCAAAGUGAAUUCCAUGGGAAACAUAUACCUUCAAUGCAUACUACUGGAUCAGGAAGUAAGGCAUUGCUCAUCACUAUUUCAUAGCAUAUAUUUUGUUGUACACAUUUGAUAAACGAUUUUAUUUGCUAAUUAUGUUGAUGAUUCGUAUAUUGCUUUAGGGGACAAAAAUGGAAGCCAUUGCGUUCAACAAUCAAGUUGUUCGUUUCAACACCAUUCUUCAAACCGGCAUGUCCUAUGAAUUCACUCGUGUAGGAUUUAACCCCACUGAAAUGGCAGUUGUACAUUUCUUGUAUCUAGACAUGGAGUUUAUCAUGACACUAGAUAGUAGGACUGUGGUUAUGAUUUCGGCGCACAGGAUAUCAACGGCAAUUUGUCCAUUGUGUUUCCCACAAUUUGGGGCCAUCUACUCACUACAAGACAAACGCAUAACUGGUGCAUUUUUUAUCUUUGUUCUUGCAUAUUUUGUUAUAGAACUCAGGGUCUCAUUCUGAUUAAAUCUUCGCAGAUGUUAUUGCUAUUGUUGCCUAUGUUAGUAAGAUACAAACUCUAUGGGAUCCAAUAUAUGAUAGACAUGUCCCUUUGCUCGAAAUUGGCCUCAUGAACUUUCGGUGAGAGUCGUUUAUAAUAUGAGAUUUACAUAUGCUUUUUUGAGUUAAUUGUUGCAAACAUAAACUAAAAUUUGUUUUUGUCUGUAGACGUCAGAUAAUUUUCCUACGCAUAUAUGACGAGCACGUUGGCCGUCAAUUUGACCAUUUGCGACGCAGCGUAAAUCAGUUCGAAAAAAUAUCAAUUACUUACAUACAAUUUAAUCGAAGGCGUCAAUGCUUGCAAACUAUGCGGGAGAGCACGUUCACCUAUUCUCCUAAUAUUGAUCAUGAGGGUCAUCAUCUACAAGGCAGGUGUUGCGUACUAUUUCAAAUUUUUGUCUUUAUAUUUUCUUGUACAAUACUAUGUCAUUAAUAUCACUGACACUUAUUUUUAUUUGUAGAUAUCCAUGAAGCCAGUCUCAUGACACUUGACGAAACACGUGCCUAUGUCAACAAUAUUGUCAUGGCUAGGAACAAUGGACUCUAGAAUUAUCUUCGUGUACUCAUUAUCACAUUUCUUCAUUGAUGUAAAAAGUCAAUCGAAAUUGUGAGUUAGGCAUCUCGUUGCCAAGUGUCUUCAUGUCUUAUCUUAUGUAAUAUAAUCUUAUGUAAUAAAAAUGUAUGAUAUUCAAUAAAAAAAUCUUUGUGUGGUAUGUGUUUUGUGCAUUCAAUAUUUUGGUUGGGAAAACCUGAGAUAAGAAAACUUGCCUAUAAAUGAUCGACCGAUAAAAUCGAUAAAUCGGACGAUAAGCCGAUUUAUCUCUUAAUCGUGUGUCGACCGAUAAGUUAACGAUAAUAGACAUCCUAAACAGGUGUAAUAAAUGUACGAUAUUCAAUAAAACAAAUCUGUGUGUAGUAGGUGUUUUGGGCAUGCAAUAUUUCGGAACCAACAUCUAUGUCAGGAAGGAUAUCAAUUACCGUAGACAGACUUAAUGCCUCUUGAUUUUAAGGUAAGGUCAAUCAAUAGUUUGUUUAUUAUUUGGAAGUCAAAUAAAUUUCUAUUCCAAGUUAUGUGUCAAUCAGGAUCACAACCCUUCAUAUAAUAUCCAUUCGGUCCUAUUUCAACGCCCAGCUCUGUCCUCACAAAUUUCUGAGCACACAACACUAUAUUUUCACCAAUGGAUGGUGUGCCGGCACCCCAAGAGGCUGUCCACGCACCAGUGGAUGUUCAGCUCCAAAUGCACGAGGCAUUGCCUGCCCCACUAGCGGAUGCAUACAACGUGCAUGUCGUAGAAGAUGCUGUCGACUACAUAUUUCAAUGGAUCAUAGACGCACAAGAAGAUGAGGCAUUAAAGUAAGUUAUCUUUUCUCCAUGUUUUGUUGUAGACCAUGCUGUAUUACUCUCCUACACAACAGGAUAAAUAUAUGUUCUGUUUUUGUGAGUUGAAUCAUUCGAUAGUUUGAAUUAACCACGAUAUUUUAGAUGUGUCCAGCUCACAGCUGUUACCCAUAAGUAUGUGCUUAGUUGUGUGCUAUAUUACUUUUGUAAGCGCGCUUUGUAACAACCAGAUCAAAGCAAUAAGCAAAAUAAGCCAAGCUGGACACACCCCUAUCGCCAAACAAAUAUUGAUGAAGAAAAUGUUUCAUACCAAAUAUACUUUUUUCAUAAAUAACAAAGUAUAUUUAUAUUGUAGGUAUGGGGAAUUCAAAAAGCAAAACUUAUAUAAUUCUGUUAUUUUCAUGUUAUUAUCAUUAAGCUAACUUUGGUAUAAAACAGUGUAAUGUUUGUUCAUCCACCAAAUUUUAAUGAAUGUUUAUUUUCUCCUAUUGGCUAACAUUGUUUGGAUUUAUUUGUGGUACCCUAAUGUAGAACAGUACAUUUUUUUAUCUGUGAUACAUGUGGCCAUGUUUUUUUAGACAACUAAUAGAUUGUUACAUUAAAAAAAGAGCUACCAGAUUAUGACACAUUAUUUAGCAGAUUUUCAAUGGAAGCAACUAUUUCACUUAUCUUUGCUUUCAAUCAAUCGUCUUUAUUUAUUCACGAUUAUCAUAUUUUUGGAUAAAGUUAUAUUUUCAAAAUAAGUUCGUUACAAUAUCCUAAUGGUGAUGCAGAUAUAUGUGGAUGUUUUUUUAUUAAAAGUUGUUCUGCUUAUUUUUGGUAGCACAAUAUGGAUAAGAAGCGCACGACCAUACCAUAUCGAGAUCAGCCUACGGGUCAUCCGGGAAACAAUUUGUCUUCAUGGACAAGUUCAUCCUGAUUGCUUCAAUAUCGUAGUUCGUAAACUCGCCAGCGCUGAAGUGGAGACCACUGCAGGCACAAGGAUGUUUGGAAAGAAACAUUUCUUUGACCUGCGGUUCCAUUCUCAGGCACGGGCUCUGAGACACUCUUGGACGGAACAAGGUCCCCGCACCACGGCUCUGAUUGACAAUGCUAUUGUCGAGCCGUUUCCUAAAUAUGAUGUGUUCAACUCUACAAUUGUAAGAGACUGUUGGUAAUUCCUAUCUUAAAAUUUAAUUUUAUUAUUAUAUUAACAGUUAACAUGUGUCUAUCUACUGCAUCUUCCACGGUAUCUACUACCAUUUACUUGUGUGGAUUCAAACUACGCACUACUUGUAGUCAAUAUGGAGUGUGGGAGGUUUGUCCAUUUUGAUCCAGCCAUCGACAUCUAUAGUCGUGGAAUUAGUUUUCAUAACAGUGAGUUGAUGAAGGAAAUCACAAUGUUGAAGGAAGAAUUCAACAAUGUGUUCCAUAUGAGGAUUCCUGAUUGGAAUACCCAACUCAUGGAAUGGCCUGCUGAUGGCAUAUCUUGUACUGCCAGACGGUAAUAUACUAAAGCAGAUCACUUACAGUAUGAGCACAUUUAUAUAGUUUUUAAUAUAUACAGUUUUUAACAGCAAAGACUCCGCUUUUCAAGUGCUACAAGAGAUGGCCCACCAGACUGGUACAACGGCGUCGAUGAGGUGUAAAACAGACGUAAGUACAUAAUAAAUAGGUUUAGUGUGCAAUUUAUUUUCUAGACAUUUAUUCCAUUAUGUUUUUUUGCAUCUUUUAUAGGAUUCAAUACAGCUCAGGAAGCAACUCAUGAUCCAGAUGCUGACGAUCAAACAUAGUGAAGCGGCUGGAAACAUCCCGGUUGAAAUUAGAGAAGCCUUGAGGGUCAUAACAGACUGACUAUGGACUGAUGGGUCUAAAAAUUACCGCAAAUAAAUCUGCAAUACAUCUUUUUUAGGUGUCUGCUUCACAAUUAUCUAUUUGGCAAUACGAAUAAUUAGUUGAUAUAUUUGGUUAUCUAUUCAUUUUGUUUUACUGAUAUAUUUAAAACUCUAAAUAUCAAGUCUUGGUCUAUGUAUGAUGUUUUAGUGGUAUUGGCAUCCACUAGCUUUGUAUUACCUACAAAUUUUUAUUGGGUUGGUGUCAUACCAAACCGGUUUGGUAGUACUCAUAAACCGUAUUCAUUUUGUAUUGGACCAUGCCAGGUUCACAUGAUUCUACAAGAGCAGCCAGUUGUCGGUGUACACGCACUAGUAUCGUGGCUCGCAUCCUAUACUGAUUCGUAUCGUAUAACUUCAUCCAUACACACACUGGUAUAUGAUACAAGGUUUACUUUGUCGAAUAUCAACCCAUACAAGCUACGGAAUAUUGAACUUAAAGAUAUGAUGGUUGUAAGUCAUGUACCUUGCAUUGCCUUUAAUCUUCAAGUAUCUUCACAUGUUUGCACAUGAUCCAAAAUCUAUAUCAGGAUCAUGAUAUUCCCAACUACGUGAUUGUUCACUUUUACGUUGACCUGAAUGGAAUAACCAAAUUAAAUGAAAAUGUGUUUUAUUCUUGACUACAUAAAGUAGAAGAUGAUACGAACAUUUAUCAACCAACAGGGAGGAGGAAGAAAUUUAUUAUUAAGCUACUAUAAAGGAGAUACAUAUUCUUUUAAUAAGCCAAUUGUGAUCAGGCAAUAUUUUGUGUUCUAUGUAUGAAGCAUGUUUUUCACUCAUCUAUUACCACUAUUACGAGACAAAACUUUGAGAAGUACCAUUAGAUUAUCCAACACCUUCUAUAACCUAAGAAUAUAAGGUAUUAUGUAUGAAGUUUAAUACUAAUGAUACAGAGAUAAAAUGGACAAGUGCGAGGCUACCGAAUAACAAGUUAAAAAUUGAUAUAUGCAUGGGAGUAUGGAUCGAGAAAUUUGAAACCUGAGAAAGAAGGUCUAUGAUUUAACAUGUAAAAAUAAAGAAUAAUAGAAAUCUCGAUAAAUACAACUUGUCAUGCUACUACUUAUCUUAUGAUUUAAGCAUAUGCAUCCAUUUAUAGAAUCAACCUGUACCAAAGUAAAAUCAUAUGCUUGAGAUAACUUGGCAGAGUAUAAACAGAGUAGAAUUCAUAUGCUUGAAAUUGAAUUAGAGCAGAACUAAGUUACUAAAUAACCUACCCGUUUGACUAUGACAUUGUUGGCAUCCUCUUUAGCCACUUCUUACUUUAGUAAUGUACUAAGAUCAUGGCAUAUUUUCAAAGAUAAUACUAUCUAUCCAAACCAAACAAGAAAACACUUCAUUACAACGGGGAAUAAUUAGGGACAAUUUCACUAUGUAAAAUGCAUUGAUAAAUUUAAAAAUAGUUAUCACAGAAAAUUAAACGCCGUGCGUUGCCAUGGGCUUUCAGAAAAUAAAUAAGAUGUUACUAACUGAGUUAACCAAGAACAAUGCUGACUAAGCUAACACACAUCUUUUUUAUAUAAUCAGCUAACACAUAUCAUACUAUGAAACACAAUAAUCUUAGAGCACCUAUAGCCGGUCCCCUCAAAUCCUGCUCAAACGUCCACGGAAACUAACCAGUGGAGAAAUAUGUAUAGAGAGACAUGGGUGAGAAAGGGGCAGGCACCAUUCACUAUGUGACAUAUUAGUGUAACAAGCAUCGGUAUUAUAUACCUUGAAAUGUACAAGUACAAGGCCACAUUGCAGACCACCCAAAUAGGUUACAAUCACUAUAUUGAGAUGAUAAAGCAAAAGAACAACCAGUGAGCUUACUUAAAGUACCGUUGAUUUACAAAUUACUAACCAAUGGAGUCAUCCAGACUCAAAUGUAUCCUGACAACACCAUGGAGCAUCAGGUUGGAGCGGUUUAUUUUCUGUGAUAAUAUAUCUUCCAUUCCUGUAGUAAUAAAGUAUGAACAAUGAUUAGAGAUUAAAUAAAAAAAGAUAGAAAGACACAGUUACGAUAAAUCUUGCAUUCACACUUCAUGUAGCAUACUUAGCAUACAUAAAUUAUUUUUCUACACGGCACAGAAUAUAGUAAGUAGUUAUCUACCAGCUUUGCUUCUAAUGAAUCCAUAGUGUGUAGGGUUUAUAGCUAAUGCAAGAGCAAACAAUUGAGAACCAUAUAGCUAGAUCAAGCAAUUAUAUAUUUGAACCAUGUAUAAAUUUGACAUGAGAAUUGCUUGACACCUGAAAAUGCCAACAAUUUUGAGCUUUAAUUUGAAAGGACCCAAAGCUGAUAGAUCACUCAGUAAAUAACUCUGAAAUAUAUCACCUGCAUACCGUAAGUAUGAAUGGAAUUUGUCAAAAUAAUUCUGAAAUAUUUCAGCUUUAUAUAUACCACUUUAGGAGUAUAGAUAUGUUAGUAUGUAUGGAAUUAAUGAGAAGUUCUUUAUUUAAUUAUGAUAAUUUGAUUCUAUAGUAAGUUCAGAUUGGUUGACAUCUUUCUAAUUUAUUAACAGGUGUGCAAUCAAUGGAAAAAGGAAACAAAUCUACACCAUACAAGAAUCAAAUUUAUUAACAGGUGUGAAAUCGUUGGAAAAAGGAAAAAGAUACGACAUACAAGAAUAUAUGGUAGAAUUUGAAUACGCCAGGAUGUGCUACCCAGUGGCCCUCCGCUUUGCCUACCUAUAUAGAUAACCUCCUCUGUCAUCCUUCUUCCCCCUCCUUGUUCUCCCUUCGCCCAUCACAUAUAGCAAAGGAUAUAUCAAAGGAUCAAAACAGACAAGGCUGGAUGGUAAAUUGAGGAGGAGUACAUUGCGUAAUCAAGGAGCAUCAAGAAGUCGAGUUCCUCUAGGUAUGAACUUUCCUAGAUCUUUCACUUUUCUAAAAGUUGAGUAUUUAUUAGAUUAUGAUCAUCUGGUUCAGGUUCACUAUCAAAUUGCAAAUGAAGAAUGGCAGUGGAGAUACUGCCAACUAAUCAAAACCUAACCAAGCUAACCUAUUAGGUGGGUUAUAGCUCACAACAUGUAUUCCCAAGGCAGGUCAAAAAAUAUGUAUUCCCAAGUAGCCUCAUUAGAAAUAAUAAUAUUACAAGGUGCCAACUAUCACAAAUAUAUACAUUAACUUGGAUCUCAGUGACUAAUGAGUAAGGCGGCGGUGGGAACAAUAAGCAGGGAAAGGAAGAAGGCAAUUGCAAUGGAGGGGGGAGGAAUACAAACCAUGAGGAGGAGAUAUUGAGCAGCAUGUCGAUGACCUUCGAAUGAACAUCUCCAUCAGAUCCUCCUUGGUGCCUGCGGCAACCAAUCCUCAAACAAUUCAUAACCAUCAGCACAAAUACUGACCAUAUCGAAUUCAGCCUCUGAACAAAUUUUAUGAGGCUGCAGAGACCAGGACAGCAAGAUAUACGUAUGGGCUGGCAGUGGUAGGUGACUUACUGAUGGCAGGCGGUCUGGAUGACGGCGAGGACAGCACGUAGGGGUUGGAGCCCGUGGUCGCCACGACCGGCGGCGUCGGUGGCCGCGCCAGGUCAUCCGAGGACAUGCGAGGGUACGCCAACGGCGGCGCGACUGCCGUGUGGGCUUCGGGCUUGCAGUCCAUGUGCGCUCGGCCUCCAGUGGGCAUAGUUGACGGCUGUAAGAGAGACGUGGUGGUCGGGGUAGUGACACGGGCACGCAAUAAAGCACGUGAGACACGCAUGGAUCUAGAAUCCAGGUCAUGGAAAUCGAUCAACCUCCACUGGUAGAGUAGAAGGAGGAGGAGGGAAAUGACGGCGACCUCUCCGUCGCCGCCGGCGCCACCGUGGUGGAGAGGAUUGGAGGGGAGGGGAGACGAGGGGCGUCUGCAUCUAGAAGCCAGGCCAUGUAAAUCGACCGGCCUCCAUCGGUAGAGUAGAAGGAGGAGCAGGGAAAUCACGAAUACCUCUCCGUCACCGCCGGCGCCACCGUGGGGGAGAAGAUUGGAGGGGAGGGGAGACGAGGGGCGUCUGCAUCUAGAAGCCAGGCCAUGUAAAUCGACCGGCCUCCACCGGUAUAGUAUAAGGAGGAGCAGGUAAAUCACGAAUACCUCUCCGUCGCUGCCGGCGCUUCCGUGGGGGAGAAGAUUGGAGGGGAAGGGAGACGAGGGGCGGUUGGAUCUAGAAGCCAGGCCAUGGAAAUCGACCGUGCUUCACCGACAAAGUAGAAGGAGUAGGAGGGAAAUCACGGAUACCUCUCUGUCGCUGCCGACGCCACCGUGGGGGAGAGGAUUGGAGGGGAAGGGAGACGAGGGGCGGUUGGAUCUAGAAGCCAGUCCAUGGAAAUCGUCCGGCUUCGACCGGCAGAGUAGAAGGAGGAAGAUGGAAAUCAUGGAGACCUCUCCGUCGCUGCCGGCGCCACCGUGGGGGAGAGUAUUGGAGGGGAGGGGAGGGGAGGGGGUCGGGUGUGUCCGCAUUUGGCCGACGGCGAAUGGGUGGAGGGGAAGGGAUGAGAGGGGACGGUGGUGGGAGACGAAGGGAGUGCAGUGGGUCGAGUGAGGCAAGGAGUGGAUAGAGUUCGACUGGAAACUGAGAGAGUGAGUUUGUUUAGCCAAAUGGAGAGAGUGAGGUUAAGGGAGAUCGGCCUGGUUGGGCCGUGCGGUAUAUUGGGUCAAGGUUGGGCCCUGCUGGAUAGUCAAUUUUCAACUUAGCUAUAUCAAAAAUGCUUAAAAUGUUUUAAAAAAUAAAAAUGCCUAAAAAAAAUCUAUGAAAAAAUAUAUAUAUUAAAAGUUGUUUAAAAAACAUGUAUAUUAUAGUUGGAUCAUACAAAUCAAUUUUUAUACUUAUUAGAUAUAUUCAUAGUAUCAACAAAAAACACAAUUUUGAAAGAAUAAGCCGAAUAUACUUGGUUUAUGUUGUAUCGCUUAGCCUAUAUAAAUAUAUUUAAAUGAUUUAAGAAAUUUCAGAAGACUGCUUAUUUAAAUAUGAACAUUAUAGUUGGUUGUUUGCUGAAAUAGAAAUGCAAUGUAUUUUUUAAUAAUAUGAAAAAGCAUUGUUUGUUUAUACAAAAUAAAACCGCUGUGUUAGUUUCAGUUUUAUUAUAUAAUAUGUUUAUAUGAUGCAAUAUAAAAUAUCAUUUAUAUUUCAUUGGAGAUAGAAAGUGAUGGGUUCUACUGAUGUAACGAUGAUGGACCAGACUGAAGCAUCACGAGAAGAGGUGCAUAUAGUUAAUCCUUUUUCGUAUGUAUGUUACUCAUGAUAAUACAAAAGAUUUAUUAGUUUAUAUUAAUAUUUUCAGAAUAUAGGAGACAUAGAUAUGGAUUUUGGAGAUGCACAAAAAGAAUCCAUCGACAUGGCUUCUGAUGCGGCAUAUCUAAAAGGGGCCGAGAAUCGAUCAAUUUCUUUACAAAACAAUGACGUGGAACUAAUGAUAUCUCAUAAAAAACCAAAAAGUAAUGCCAAUUUGAAUAUUACCACACAAGGUAUUUGUUCCUGUAAUUGACAACUAGGUACUCGCACGUGGCAACUAUAUAAACGCACAUAUGCACAUCCGACCCCAAUAAGCACCUUCGAGAGCUGAGCCAGCAUAUCAUUUUAAGAUGUACAAAAUCAUCAUAGACGCUACAUCAUCGAUGGAAACGUAUCCUCCCACUAAAUACGCAUCGACAAAAAUCCUAAAACAGAUUCAGAGAUAAUACAGUACGAACAAUAAAACUUAAACCUUGUUAGACCGGAGAUAACAAUGUCUUCUAACCAUCCAAUCAUAAGUUGGUUCGUUAUUCAUCGCUGGUUCUUACUUGAUGUGGUAUCAACGUUUUCCUAUAUAUUUAUUUUUCACCAGAUUCAGCGGCCAUAAAAUGCCCUGAAUCAGUAUACCAACAAAAUAAAAUAAAAUUUUGAAUUCCUUUACAUCGGAUGUACAAACGAUCUCUGUCGUCAUCCCUCGGGCAUAUAAUCCUGCACCCUAGCUACUGCCGCCGGAGAUGGUCGAGCGCGAGCGCAAGCGUCGGCGCGAACCUUUCGACGUCGACGCGCACGUUCUGCUUGCCGAGGUAGAACUCGGCGACCUUGUCCCACCCGCUCCGGUGGACGGAAUCCGGGUCCUUGAUCGCGGGGUGGUCCGGCCCGAGCGUCUCCAGCAGCGUGCUCUCCUCCGCCUUGAUGCUGUACUGGAGGUACCGGAGCCCCAUGUCGGACGCGGGGUCGCCGAACUCCCGCUGCGCCAUCGGCUCCAGCUUGCCGUACGGCACCACCUGGAUCACCACCGCGCCCGGCGGCAGGAACGCCGCGUUGGUCAGCCCGGCGCCGUGCACGCCCAGCAGCACGUCGAACGAGUUCACGGACAUGGCCAGCUCCUUGACGCGCACGUUGAACCGCGGGUCCGCUAUGACCACCUCGAACCCGGCCUUCUCCGCCGCCUUGACGAUCUCCGGCACGUUCACGAGCUUCCGGUAGUGGCCCCGGUCGAGCAGCAUCAACCGCGGCUUCUUCUUCUUCCUGUCCACCGGCGGGCUGCUCCCCUUGGUCAGGCGGAUGGGAGCGGCGCGCGGCAGGGAGUAUGUCUCGCGGAGGAAGGCGGUGAAGUUAGCCAUGGAGAGCGGCACGCCGCCGGGGACAAGCUCAGGCACGAUGUCGAACUCCCUGUGCAUGUUGAGGCCGACGGUGACGCGCCGGAAGCACCUGAUCUGAUCGUCAUGGUCCAGGUCCACGACGUCGUACUUGGUCAGCCGCCGCACGACGGCCUCGUACUUGCCGAGCCACCAGGGCUGGAUGUUGCUGGCCAGGAGCUGGACCUCGCCGUGGUACCGCCGCGACGCCACGAACAGCGGCACCAGCGCGUCGCUGAAGUCGUGGAAGUAGUUGCCCAGGUGACCGCCGAGCCCGAUCACGAUGGCCGGGACGCGGUGCGUCACCGUGCACGCCGGCGCCGGGGACGCCGCGGACGUCGAGUCGAGCUGCGUCACCGUGAUGUUGGGGAUGCCGGUCAUGUUGUAGCGGGCGUAGGGCUGGAUGCUCCACUCCCGGCGCUCUGUUAGGGACGUGGCCGGCACCAGGGUGACGGUGUGCGCCGUGCCGUUGGUCCGGACGUCGCCGGAGACGUCGCAGGUGUAGGAGAAGGGGCUCGCUCUGCACACCACCUUGCCGUUGUCUGCUCAACAAAAAAGGACACCAUGGUUAGUCAGCUUCAUUGAGGAUUGAGCAUUUUUACUGAUCAACUGAAAUCAAUUAGAUGCAGGAAGAGAAAUGCAGUGGUCAUCUAAUUGUUUCAAAGAAACAACGAGAGUUCAUCACUUAAGCUAGCUCAGCCAGGAAUAACCCGUUGCUACCCUACUUAAAAUAGACAACCCGUGAACUAUUCUUUUUUAUUUCAGGAAGGCCCUAAAGUGCAGUCAAAUGACCUCAAUGAUUCUUGCAAAUCCUUUACUGAAUUGGCAGAGCAAGUGUUGUUUAUUUGUGAAAGUUGAACCUAGUAGUAUAAUAGAGAUGACACCAUCAAAUUUAUUUUCUGGCUCCACCCCUGCUUAUAAAAUAGUCAAACUAAGAACUAAAUUUUAUUUCGGGAAGUCUCUAAAGCGGUAAGAUAUGGUUUGGUAUCGUUAGGUCCAAAUACAAGAAACGUUUGCAACACAAAAAUCCGAAUGGUCCCUAAAGUGAUCUGGACUUUGCCAUGUGUCCCGUUGAAAAGUAUUUUCACAAUGAUGCGCUACCCUACACUUUGCGGCCAGGUCAUCAUCAAACAUGAAAAACAGGAAAGAAAAUCGUCGGCAUGUUACCGUUUACAAGGGGAAGGAAUUUGGUAUAGAUGACCUAGUAUAUAUACUAGUUUCAUCAAUAAAUUUGAUCCAAAUACCAGUACCACCACCAGUGACCACCGGAUACGUUACUAUACGUCCCAAACCUACUAAUAAUCGGAUCGGAUCAGCACAUUUAUGGUGAGCAAUCAGUGAGCAGACAGUAGGUACUCUACAUACGUCUGAAAGCCGAUCGAAUCGAAUCAAACCUUCUCUACAUUUUCUACCAGUAUCAAAUGCAUCAUCACAUCGCAUCAAAUCACAUUAAUUUUGCUUGUUUUAAAUCAGGGGAAGGAAUAUUUGGACACAUACCGAAGGGCUUGGCGGCACCGUCGUCUCUGUCUCUCUUCCCCACGCCGCGUGCGCGGUGCUCUGCUUUCGGCGGCCCUGCUUUUGGUGAGAGAAAACACAGCUGCCUUUCGUUCACUCAUUCCGUCCAUGCCGUGCCACCGACACCAAGAAGAAGAAAGAAAGAUAUUUGUGGUGCUUACCCUGUUGCCGCUGCCGCUGCCGCUGCUCUUGAGCUGGUCCGGCCUCCGCCGUCGCCUCUCCUCCUCGAUUCCGUUGCGUUAAUCCUGGUCAAUUUAGCAUAUGAUUCGAUCAGUCAGAGAGGGAGGCACGCAUCACUGUCUCCAAAGAACAAGCUGACUUCGUCGGAUUCUUUCUUUCCAGCGGCGAGGUAGUGCGGCAUUAAUGGUCUCCAGAGUCCGUACUUGAAAUUGGGGUGCUGGGAGUUACAGCAGGGGCAGGGGUGGUGGUGGUGGAUCCUAACCUGCUUCGCCGGCGCGACCGGAGGACUUGGUCGCCUGGUGCUUCUUCCGGUGCGGCGUCAUGGCGGAGACGGCUGCUGCAGAUGGACGAACACGGACGAACGAACGUAUCAAGGGAGGGGCAAGACCGGCAAGGAAUCUAGAACCGAGAGAAGAGCGAGCGAUGCGCCGGGCGGGAGCGAAGGCACGGCGGCUGUGUCGAUCACCGGGGAGUGCGUACGUACCGUCAGGGGAGGCGACGGCGAACUGCUGGGAGACGACGAAGUAGGCGAGGAGCACGAGGAGGAAGCCGGCGACGAAGCAUAGGUUGAGGUGCCGCUGCGCCCAGGCGCCCACCGUCAGCCCCUUCCCGGCAGACGCCGGCGCCGGCGCCGACUGCUUCUCCACGCUGACCAUCUCCUCCUCCGUCUACCGGCCGCGGCACGAGGUUCUUGCUCCCUUGAAUGAGCGGCGGACUGGCGUCGCUGGUUCACAUGGGAGAGAGCUGUAGAUGGCUAGGGACGGGACAGAUGGUGUGGCAUGCAGAUGCAGAUGCAGUGUGCGACUUUGGGUUGGGGUUCCCAAAGCUUCGGCGCCCGCUGGCUUUCUCCUCCAUCGAUCGGUGGCCAUUUUGUACCCAUCCGGCGGCCACCCGGGCGGCGCCUUUCGCACUUAACCCCCUACUACUACUACUACAGAGUACAUAGAACCCAACCCAACGGUUUGGUGAAUGAUGAGGAGCAAUUAAGUCGACCCUUGAGCGACCGGUGAGAGCAACUCUGGUGAGAGCAACUCUAGCAGACCCGUAAAAAAUUUACCCGUAAAACACAUUUGCGGUUUCACGAAGAUCGCGUUUGCGGGUUGAAAACAUAUGUGAUCGAACAGAACCCGUAUCAAAACCUGUAUAAUUUAAAAAAAACACUUUCGCGGAAAAAAUUACACAAACAUAGUUCAUCACAUGAUCAACAAACUACAAGCAUAGUUACACUACAUACUACGUUAAACUAGUAAUAGAGGGGUCGGCGCUCCGCCUCCUCGCGCACGCUCCGCUCCAGCGGGCUCCUCCUUCACCGGGACGAAGGCGAACGGCGCCGGCUCCUCCGGCUCCUCCUCGUCGUCCGACCACUCCCUCUUCACGGGAAGAAAGCCCAUGCCAGAGGACGAGGAGGAUCCGGCAUAGGAAGAUCUCGCGGAGGAGAAGGACGUGCUACGGCGGUCGUACUCCUCCAUCUCGCGGCGGUUGAAGCUCGCCGGCGGCGACAUCCUGCGGUCGGUCCACCUCCGGGCGUCGCGCUUCCUCGCGCCGUCCGUCCGGACGAGCCGCUCGCGCUCCGGGUCCCUCUCACGGUCGGAUCUGCUGCCGGAGCCGCGUCCGAAGCUCCACAUUCGGCCCCACAUGACGGCUGGAGGCGAGGCGGGUGGUCGCCGGCGGCGAGAAAUGUGGAGAAAGGAAAGGGGAAUCGGGUGGCUCGCGGCGGCGGGGCGAUAGGGUUUGGACCCGCAAAAUGGUCGCGGAACCGCAGUUAUACUGCUCGGGGCGUGCGGUUUAUGUGCUACGGUAAAAAAAUGUGCGGACCGGGCGAGUAUGCGGGCUCUGUUCUAACCGAAAAAUUAGGUCGAGUCCGCAUACUAGCCGGAAUUUUUAGGGACCGGACGUUUUGCGGGAUGUGCUAGAGUUGCUAUAAGGAACAAUAACUAUUAUUAGAAAGCAACAAUCCUUAACACGGGCAUCAAGCCCGAGUGAGCACAUGAUUCUAUCGUAGAGAUCAGUUUGUCCUUGUCUCAGCACCAUCAUUCAGACUGGACCUGCCACGAGUGUUAGAUCUAUCAACCAGAAUGGUCAUAUCCCGCACCAUCGUCCUAACACCAGCCUGAAAACCAUCUUCCUUACAUUUAAAUUCUACUACUAUAAAGUCGCACAAAUUCAUAUUAGUAUCACUAUACUGUUUCUUAGAGGAUGCGGUUUAGCGGAUUUGCUAAAGAUGCCAUGAGCCUCCUCUCCCCGCGCUAGACACGCAUAUGUUCCUCCCCAACCAUCCCGACCGUGACGGCAAUGAUGAGUAUACAGUAUACAUGAUCCGUAAUGCCCAAGGGACGGAUUUCACCAACUGGCGAGGUGAUAUGUGAAAAAACAUAGUAGUUUUUCCAAUGCUAAUAAGCGCGUGCGGGCCCGGAUACUGCCCGGGUCAUGCGUUUCUUUUAGCAUAACGAAGGGGCUGUUGAUCUGUCAUUCGGCUUGAUAGAAACAAAACAUGCAUGUCGUAAGCUAAACCAGCAGCUCUUGCAUCAGACAAAAAACCUUACGGCUGUGGGUCACUUGGCUUAGGUUAAUCUACAUGUCUGAUCACACUUGGAAGCACAGUUGGAAGCUGCUGCCUGGGGUCCAUGAACCCUUUUUUUUAGAUAUAAUCAGUGUGCCGAGACGCGGACAUGUGCAAGACGCAGAUGCAGACAUGUGCCCAAGUCCACCGACGAAGCCGAGGCUGGGAAAUGUUGUGAUGUGCAAAGCGUGGUGCGUGAAGACGUUCCUCCUCCCCGCGUUCGAUCAGGUUAGAGCAAUUCCAACCGUUCGAUUCACUUUAUCAGCGCGUGUUUAUUUGGUUGCCGCGGACCAAAAAUAUAUAUCAAAUGUGUCUAUGUAAAUUAAAUUGUGUCCGUUACAUAUCCGUUAGGACUGAAAUUGGUGUGAGGGGACUCAAACCAAACCCAGCACGUUGGGGGCGUUAGAGGCGCUGGGGAAAGGAAUUCNNNNNNNNNNNNNNNNNNNNNNNNNNNNNNNNNNNNNNNNNNNNNNNNNNNNNNNNNNNNNNNNNNNNNNNNNNNNNNNNNNNNNNNNNNNNNNNNNNNNAGACAAGCCUCCGAAGUCUUCGAGGUGUACUCCAUCGAUCGCAAUCCCUAUUCGACGCUCGUGAGCGUCAAAAGGGGGCACGCAGCUUCGCUCAAGCUUGAUCUYAMRUWCGUCGWSGCUSGUUCGUUUCSUUUCUUUSUUUCUUUUUUGUCUUUUCUUUUCUUCUUUCCUUUUUAUUCUUUCCUUUUCUGCUUCUGUUUCUUUUUUUAUUUUAUUUCCUUUUUCAUGCAUAAUGAAAGGUUCAUUCUUCUUUGGAAAAAGAGUUCAUUCCGUGUUUAUACACAAAAAUGUUCAUCUUAUUCCAAACAAAAAAAUGUUCAACUUAUAUUUAACGAGUCUUCACCCCAUAUUACGAAAAUGCUUAACUUAUUUUUAAAUUUGCUCAUUGUGUAUGCUAAAAUUGUUCAGCGCAUAUCACAAAAUUGUUCAAUGUGUAUUUAAAUAUUUGUUUCAUCUUAUGUCACAAAAAUGUUCAAUGUGUACUUAAAUAAUGUUCGCAUUGUAUAAAAAUAUGUUUGAAGAUUGUUCAGAGCAUAUUAAAAUGUUUAUCGUACAAAAGUUUCAACAAUCUUUUGGAAUUUUAAAAGUGUGUUCACAUUUUUCAAACGUUUGUUCACUGUAUGUAAAAAAAUGUCCAUUGCCUAUACGAGAAUUGUUCAGUGUGGAAAAAAUAGUUCACCAUAUAUUAAAAAAUGUUCAGUUGAUAUUUGAGUAAAGUUCACCAUAUACUAAAAACGUUCAAUAUGAAGUUUUAAAUUCAUUCUAUUAAAAUAUUGUUUGGAAUUUUCACCUUAUUUACAUUGUGUCUUGUUCUUAUAGUGGUGCACUGCAAUGUCGACACAGAAGAGCAUCAGCUCGACUAGUUAUACUCGCAUGCGUGUAACGAGAGGUCCCAAGUUGGAUUUUGCCGGUCAUUUGUUUUUGGUAUAUUUUGGCGGUUCGAGAUGUAAUGGGCCAGCCCAAUUUAGGGAGUCCGGAACUAAGGGGUCCUCUAUCGGUUAGCUCAUCCCUUAUAGGCCGAUCAUAUGGACCGCGUUGUUGAAGAUCAGAUUGUGUGACGACCUCAUGCUUGAGAAAGAAUGUUCCGAAGACUGUCAUGUCAUCCAAGCAAAGUAGUCUAGAUCGUCCUAUCUGUCCCCUGCUGGAGGUCGUUUGUAUGUAACCCUAGGAACCCCUGGUGUCUAUAUGAACCAGAAGUUCUCAUCCGCAUUGGAAGGUUGAUUAAUAUAGGGUUUAGCUCAUACGAUCUCAGAGAGAUCAACUCUGUAAUUCUCAUCCACAUCAAUAUAAUCGAACAGGACGUAGGGUUUUACCUCAUCAAGAGGGCCCGGACCUGGGUAAAACAAUGUCUCCUUCUUCUCGUGUAACCUAUCGAUCCAUGGUCCACAGAUCGGGACCCCCUACCUGAGAUCCGCCAGUUUUAACACCAGUAUUGAUGAUUUCAUUGAGAGUUCUGCUGUAGGAUCGCCAGAAGGAUCGAUGGUUAGCUUAAUCAUCAGCAAUCGAAUCAGCAACGGGGACAUCUUCGUUCCCGGACAGGUUCUUGCGUUCGGCAGCUUCACACUGCGCGCCAACCCGACCGACUGUUUUGACCAGAUCGGAGGCUUCGUCUCGAGUCAGGAAAUAAGGUUUGGGAAUCUCGAAUUCUCCGCCGACUCGCGGGGCAAUCUGUUCCCCGCUAAGAUCACGGUUUCGUCCGAUGAGCUCCAAAAUCUCGAAGCCUUGACUUCGAGUCUCUUGUCGGGCCAUGACCUCGGUUCCCUCGUUGUCGAAGAGUUGGCCUUGAGCCCGAACCCGACCUAAGUGCGCGCGCAACAGCAAACGGUCAUUGCCGAACACGCAUCCCUAAAGUGGCAUUGAACUGCGACAGACGCGUCUUAUGGUACCGAGUCGUUACAUGGUGGCAAAGUGUGGUAGCUCCUUGCAAUUAACUCCAGGUGUCAGGAUCUAUUCGUCCGAUCAAUUUCCAUUUUUUUUCUUUAAUCUCUUCCUUUCCAUUUAAACAUAAUCAUAUAAAAUUGCAUGAUUGGUUGCGGGAGCAUCAAUAAGAAGAAUAUACGAAAGCGCAUGCUAAUACACAAAUAUCAUCGACCGGCCCUCCCGUGUCAAAUUUAAAGGUUGGUUGAAACAUGUGGUGCCGCCAUAGCUAUGCUUAUGCACGAAAAGUACCCAAUAAUCAAAAAUUAUAUGAUUUCAUAUCACGCUUACCACAAGUAAAACAGCAUAUAUUCACCACAACACAUUGUGCGCUGUGAGUAGAGGCAUGGCGAACUGCACAGGACAGAGUGUGCUUUUUAUUCGACUUCAUCUCCGACUAGAGCGUGUGGCAUGCCAUCGCCGACGGUCACCACGCGGACACCGGCCACCUCAGGCAUAGUUAUGCUUAUGAGGCUGUGUUGAGCAUGCUGCCACAGCCAGAGCCACAACCUGAACCAUGGCCACCAGAGUUGGCAUGGUUAGUCUCCCAUGAUCAUGCCACCACAUCCACCGCCACCGCACCCGGCGCCACAGCCUGAACCGCAGCCCCCAGACUUGGCAUGGCUCAUCUUGGAGCCUUCCAUGAUCAUGCGGCCACAUCCGCCGCCACCGCAGCCGGCACCACAGCCUGAACCACAGCCCCCAGACUUGGCGUGGCUCAUCUUGGAACCUUCCWUGACCAUGCCGUCACAACCGCCGCCACCGCAGCCGGCGCCACAGCCUGAACCACAGCCCCCAGACUUGGCAUGGCUCAUCCUGGAACCUUCCUUGACCAUGCCGUCACAAN